AGUUAUAUACUUAUAUAUAAUAGAUACAUAUAUAAUUUUAAAUUUUUUUAAUAUAUUUCGGGUCAAACUGAGUCAAUUAUUGACCCACCGAUUAAAUCAUUAACCCACUAUCUCAACCGGAUCAAAUAAUCGAAUUGAAUUUCAUAAGUUUGAUUUAAAUGAUAGAAAAAUGAAUGGACAAGUACCUCUCCAUCAUCACCGACAUCAAUUAAUGAAAUGGCAUGUCAUUUCAUUUUCUGUUAAUUUUGUAGUAAUUAGUUAUUUUGAAAUAUUUUUCCGUCUUUUUGUUGGGAAAAAAUAAUGAUGGCAUUAAGAUAAGCACACAUAGUAAUAUUAAUAUAAGUAUGAAUCAUAUGGGCGUUGGGAACAUUUUCCCUUUUUACCUUGCUGAUGAAAUGACCAGCUAUUUGAUUGGUUUGAAAUACUAUUAUUAUCUAAUGGGCAUUAAAGGUAUCAUAAUGCAUGGUGAGCCCCACUUGAAAUGCAGAAUGGCGUUGGAAAUGUUCCAAAUCCAUGGCUUUUAGUGAUAAAGAUUAGAUAAAACAAACACGGAUCAUGAGAAAGAGUGUUAAUGUGAUCUUGUCACCACCUAAAUUUGUUAAGCCUACAUUCGGUUUUAUUCACCUCACCAGCCAACAGUUCUCACUUAAAAAAUAAUAAUGAAAUAAUUUGAUUAUACUUUACAUUUCCGUUUUGGAAAAAACACUUUUAGGUGGAGUCAUGGACCUACCUAUUCUUACCACAAAUGCCCGCUGCUUUGAAAAUCCAAAUCUUAACAUAGAUAAUCUAAUCUCGAUCAAAAACCACGACUAGAAGCUAUAAUAUAUUAGCUCGUAGCUGCUAAAUGAAUAUUUUUUGCUCCACCACUAUUUCACCCUGUCUCUGGCUCUCGGUUUGAACAUAAUUUUCUGUCGUUGAUUAACAAGCAAUAAUGUUUUUUCUUUUGAGUCUAUAACAUCAUGGCUUUUCGGUGUUUCUAUUUUUUGUCCAUAGGCUUUUCGUUUUUAAUGAAGGUUUUGUGAGGCCCAACAAGGGAAGGCUGCCAGGGCUGGUCAUCCAAAUUUUGGAUUGAUUCGAUCGAACAAUUCGAUUUUUUAAUUAUACAUUGAAAAAGGCUCGUUUAAAAGUUUUUUAUCUGACCAAAAUCUUACAAAACGAACUCAAAGCCUUAUCCUUGACAAAAUUGAGACCCAAAACGGGUGAGUUUGGAAGAGAAGAAUUAAUAUGACUUUUACACCUCUACCAUUCUACUUUAAUUCAAAUAUUUUUUCUCUAUUUUUUUUCCAUCUACCAAAUCACCCAAGAGGAAAAUCUUACGCGGAACAAGACUUAGUAAAUCACCUCAAAAAAGGUAAAUUAAAUUCAGAUUAAUUUUGGAUUUCUUUUGUAUAAGGCCCACCAAAUAACCAGCCCGACUCGAUGCUCAGAGAGUCAUAUGAUGCGGCGCCUAAGCCCAAAUGUUAUUUAAGCUUCGAAGCAUUUAUUUAUCACGUUUUCGUGAGUUGUAGAGUUUAGGUAAGUCUCACAAGUAUUCUACAUUGUCUUAAUGUAUGUUUGGUUUAUGGAAGAAAAUAAAAGAUUAAAUUACAUUAAUUACUUCUAAAGUUUUGUGAUAUAGUACAACUAUUCCCUGCUUUUUUUUACUCCUAUAUUAGUUUAGUUCCCUUAAUUGUUUGAAAAGCAUGCACUUACAUCCUCUUAUACAUUAUAGGAAUCCCCCUAAUUUUUUAAAAAACAUUAUACCGUGUUCCCCAUAAGGAGGUUACAAUAAAUGUUAAAAAAUAAGAGAGAAUGUGUAAUUUCUUAAAAUCUCAGGAGUGAUUAGUAUAAAAAAAACCAAAAAAAUAAUAGGCAACAAGCAAAUCACAUUUCUUAAUCCUUAAGACCAACUAUGAGUACAAAGCAACUUAAUAACUUAAAUUUUUCGAGCCAAUAUCAAGUUUUUCAAGUUUAUUGAAAAAUACUCAAGUUCCACAUUGACUAGAGAUAGUCUCAAGAUAGAGUUGAUAAGGUAAGGGCAACCCUGAUCCUAUGAGUUAGCUUUUGGGAUUGAGUAGGCCUCUCAUAUUACACAUUCUAAGAAAGUUGUUCACUAUAUAAGAAAUGGGGUGGGUCCUUUUUUGUUCUUUUGUUCUCCUUGUCUUUCAGACUCAAGGUAUAUAAAUUUAUUUGAGCACUCUCAUUUCUUUCGAAUUUGGUUUGUGCUAGUUUGAGUGUUACACUUGCACGGUGGACUCGAACACUUUGCUUUUGAGGAACACGUGAAGUUAUUUGGAAUUGGAGUUUAAUCAAACUUGUUAGUUGUUACUGUAAUUGGAUUAUGUUGCAAAAGAUUGUUCAUUGUUGUGAACUAUGUUAUUGGUUUAAAGAGAUUUAAUUGCGGUAUGGAUUAUUGAUUAAUCAAAUUAUGUUAUAUAUAUAUAUAUAUAUAUAUAUUGAGUUAAACCGGAUUAAUUAAUAAUUCAUUGAUUUGAUCUUUGACUCGUUAACUCAUUAUCUUAAUUGGGUCCAUUUUCACAACAUUGUGCAAGAAAACAUUCAAAGAAUAUGAAGUCUAUUAUUGUUGCACGAUUAUUAGGUGAUCAUAUUGUUGAUCGUGCUUCCGGAAUAACUACCCACAAGCAAAAACGAACCAAGAAUAACUAUUUUGAAAUAGUUAUUAUUGUUUUAAAAUAUGACUUUCAUAUUUCAGAAUAACUAUUCCUCAAUAAGGAUAAAUAAUUCAAAAACCUAUUUUGAAAUAGUUUAUGUUGGAAUAUGAUUUUCAUGAAUCCAAAAACUUACUUAAAUGGAGGGUAAUAUGGAAUUUUAAAACAUUGAGUAUAGAAAUCAAAAAAUAAGGUGCAGUAAGUAAUUACCGAAGUAGACCCACAAAACAACUGCACUGCUAAGCACAAUAUUUAAAUGCCAGGAAAAUGAGAUCCAAUAAUCAUAAACCGUUGCAUAUAUUCUCUAUGCUGAUAUGUUUUUCUCUUUUAAAAGAAAAAAUAUAUGUGGUCUAGAUUUUACUAUUUUAGGAAAUAUUUAUUUGAGUAUUUUUUCAGAUAUUUAAUAAAAAAAUUAUAAUUAUUUAUUCAUAAUUGGAAAUGGUCGCUGCAUGGCAUCAGUGACCUGUCCUGACACUAUAGAGUACUAGUACAGCUUUAACUUACCGUUAACACUUAACAGCACAGAAAAAGUUUGACCCCAAGUGCAGCUUUAACUUCGCCACUUAUUGAGUUAAGAUUGUUUAACACGUGGACAGUAGUAUGACUAUAUUUUCUUUCUUUCUUUUCAUUGUUAUUUUAAUUUUUAAUUUUUUGAAGUUUAAUUAUAUUUUUAGUAGUAUAAAUUAAAAAAUAUUUUUAAAAUUUCAAAUAAAAGUUAUAUAUAUUUUUUUAAUUCAAAAAGUGUUCUUUUAGUUUUUUAAAUAAAAAUUUGUAUUUUUUAGUUUCUCAAAUUUUGGAAAAAGGAAUAAAUUUUUUUUUAUAAGUUAAGAUAUUAAAAAUAAAAAAUUUAUUUUGGAGAAUUAAAAAAUAGACUCUUUAAUUUAAGGGAUUACAGAUAUAAUUACACUUACAUUUUAAACAAAUCAUUUUUUUGAAUGACUUUUUUUUUUUAAUUAAGGUAUAUUUCGGACUAAAAGUUAAAGAUUAGAUUCAUUUAAAUAGUUAAUUCUUCUCAGAAAAUACUUUUUCAAGAUUAUUAUCAUGUUAUACCACUUUAGUAAAUGAUAUAUUUUUAAAGUAUAUUAAAUGAAUUUUAUAAACUAUUUACUUUUUUCACAUUUUAUAUAUAUUAGGGGAAGAGAGGCACGGAGUGUCUCUCUAAAUUUUUUAAAUAAUAAAAAAUAAAAUUUAAAUACAGUUAAUAAAAAAUAUAGAAUAAAAAAAUUAAUAAUAUAAAAGUAGUAUAAAGUUAAUGUAAGUUAAAAGAAAAUUUUAAAAUUUAAGAAAUAGUUUAAAGGUAAAAUUAAGUGAAAAAUGGUUAGGGAGUGGCGUGAGACCCACGAGAAGCUUUGAGGUGUAACGUAACGUUCCUUCCUAUUACAUUCACAUACUACCUUGAUAGGGCAGACAGAGGGUGCACACUGCAGAGCCAAAUUGCAGGUUCGUGCGUGAAUCUAACGAAAGUUUCUCGUUCUCUCCAUUCCACUUCUGCGUUAGAUUCACGCACAAACUUGUCAUUUCUCUUUUCUUGACUUUUUUCUUUUUCCGUCAAAUCUUUGUUUGUUGCAUUCGACUUCGAAUUCAGAUUCAGAUUUCUCUGUUUAACGCUCCUUACAACGAUGACGCCGCGGCUACUGUAUGGCCUCUUCCCUAUUGCACCCAUUUUUGUUUCUUUUCCCUAAAUUUUCCAUAUUGAUAUGUGUAAUUCGGUAAGGAAAAUUUUUACUUAUUUUUAUUUAAGGACAGCCUUAUUCUCUGUUUCUCUGUUGGAGGUAAUUUGUUUGAGUUAGAUUACUAAGAGUGACAAACAAAACUCUUUACAUGAUAUUCGGUGAGGAGUUGAUUGCAUGAUUUUGUUGGUACUUGAUUUGUGUAAUUUCAUAUGCAUUUAGGUUCUGUUUCAAUAAAUUAUCCUACACAUAUUUGUAAAAAAAGAAAAGAUAAAAUUAAUUGAACUUAUUAUAUAAAAAUUUAUGUAUUUUGAUUUUAAUAUAAAUUCUUUUCGUUUAAUUUCUUCAAAAAGUUAAGUUAGAUAGAUUUUAGUGUGUUAAAAGCCUCUAAAUAUAUGGAGAAGUUUAUCAAAAACUUAAUCAUGCUAUCUGUAAUUGUUCAAAUUUUAUUCGAGGUUGAGUAGCUUUUGUAUGCAAUUUGGUGAUUGACAUGUUGAUUUGACGCCGAAAUUAUACUACUUCAUCGUUUUGAUAAUUAUACAACAAAUUUUGCGUAAGUUAUAUAAUUAAGGCGAAAUCAACAUUCAAUAGUGGCUUACAAAUCAGUUCACAAGAUUCCGUUACUCGGUAUAUUUACUAUCUCGUUACCCUGUUCUGGAAUACCUUUUGCUCAACAACACCGCUAGAAAUGGCCAAGUAUGAGUAAUGGGAGCUUGGGUGUUAAAAACAUCUCUACUUUUAAUGAUGCGUUGUUAGCUAAAUGGAGGUGGGUCUUGUUUAACCAAAGUCAAUCUCUUUGGGUUGAUGUUUUAGAGUCUUAAGUAUUAGGGUGGAAGGAUCUUUUGUGUGAGGAAAGUAAACCUAAAAAAAACUUUAUUUGGUGGAGGGAUUUGAGUAGGACAUGUGGUGGGGAUGGUGUUGUGGAGUGGUUUGAUAAUGAAAUUAGUUGGAAGUUAGGUGAAGGAGAUAGAGUUCGGUUUUGGCUUGAUAAUUGGAUGGGAGACUCCUUUGAUACACAGAUUUCCAAGAUUAUAUCUCAUAUCUUUACAAGAAAAUUGGUGUGUUAGAGAAAUGGGUGUUUGGAGGGACAAUGUUUGGGGAAUGGUGACGUGGCAUGUUUGAGUGGGAGAGAUUACAGUUUCUUGAGUUACAACAACUGUUGUCUAAUUUUGUUAUUCACGGUGGUGUAAGGGACUACUACUGGGUCUGGGGCGAAGAGGUCUUGGGGAUUUUUACCGUGAGUGAGUUCAGCUUAGUCAGCUCUAUUACAAGAUAUUGUUGAGUCACAACAGGUUCUUCCAUAGGCUCUAGAAAGUGAAAGCACAACCAAAGGCAGGUUAUUUGAUCUGGAGAAUGGCACUGAAUAGAAUGCCAAUGAUGGAUAACCUCAAGAUCAUAAGCAUUAUUGAGAAUCCGAUUGAUUGUGUCUUCCAUUUUUUGCUCCUAAGUGGAAGAAUCAGUUAGCCAUUGGUUUUUUACGUGUGGAAUUUUUGUUGGUUAGAUUCUAUUUAUUCCUAUUUUCGGUUUAUAUAGGGCCUAACCAUAGGAAGUUUUGGGGGGCUUUUAUUUGAUGCUCUGUAAGUGACUAUGGUACCGAAUAUAAUACAUGAAUUUUUUGUUGAUAAAAAGACUGCUAGAAAUGGCUCUAAGGUGGAAUUGGUAUCGAGUCUUCUCUGCUUUUUCUUUUUCCUUUAUACCAAUAAUUAAUUAAUUGUAGUGCAUUCCCACAUUUGGUAUUUUUUUCAUAGAAAACUGGAUUUUAGAGUUUGUUUUAUCUCUUCUUUUGAAACAAUGAGUAAUUGUUAAUAUUUUUUCGCAAAGCAGUAAUUGUUCACAUUAAAUUAUCGUUUUUCAAAAAAUAAAAAUAUAGUCUAAUAGUAUAGAAUUAGAAGGGGAAUAAGAAACAAUAUGAAAAGAGCAUUCGAUUUAAACAUAAAAGAUAAAAAGAGACUAAGGAAAAAACUUGAAUGAAAAAUAUAUUUUUUUGAACGAGCUUUUUUGAGGUUAAAUUGAGAAUAGAUAUAGAAAUAGAUCAAGGUUUAUUUUAAAUUUUUUAAAUAGAUUUAAUUUUGUAUUUUUAAAUAUAAUUUUUGAACCUUCCUUGUUAUUUUUUUUUUUUUAGUUUGGUCAAAUGUUUAGAGCCACAAAUGCCUUGAUGGUUGAACUGUAGAGACUAAUCUGACUUCUUUUUUUUUUUUUACAAUAAUAACAAUAAAAAAAAUUUAUUUAUGAAAGUAGAGUACUAUAAAAGUUAUUUACGGUGUAAGGGUUGUUUUUGUCACGUUGAUUCAGGAAACGUCAUCCUAAGUGGCGUCUUAUUUUUACCUUUUGUCAUUUUACAAGAAGCAUCAUCCUAUGUAUAGUAUCUCCUUACAAUGCUGGCAAGUCUAUUUGUAUAGGAUGAUACAUCCUAGAUGUAAUAUCAGGAGGCGCCAUCAUGUGUGGCAUCUUCAAUUGUUUAUACAAGAGGCAUCAUCCUAGAUGUCAAAUCCAGUGCAUUUUUUCGAAAAUAAAAACAAUUUGACUCUAAAAGACAAGGUCCUUUUGUCGUUCUUCAUCCGUCAAAAUUACAUAUCAAAGGUUAACCAAACUCUACACAUAUAAUAAAUGAAAUAGAGAUGAAGCGAUUUGAUUUGACUUGUCUAUGAAUGCAUCAACUCAAAUUUUGUGUUAAAAUUGCAAAACAAAUGCAAACAAAGCUGAAAAAUUAAGAAAGAAACACUAAUAUUAAAGGAAAAGCAACAAGCAUUAUUAUUAAAUGAAAGCCACCAACAAGAACAAUUUGCAUUGAAAUUACAAGGAAGGAUUGUUUUGGUUUUCAUUUCUGAUGUAGGCCAUAGUUAACUCAAAAUUGCGAACAAUUAUUCCUAUUGUGUCCUUCACACCUGUAAUGGCUAUAUGUCUGCCUACGUUGUAAUUCGAUGAUGUGCAUUUCAUUUCUUAUGCGUGUAGAUUUUGGUCGACCUUUGACAUGUAAUUUUGAUGGAUUAGGAACAACAAUAGGGUCACAUCUUUUAGAGUCAAGUCACUUCGAAAAUUUUCACUUAAUAUGCCAUUUUGGAUUACACCUCCUGUUCACUCUUGGAAAGCAACAACGACUAGCCAAAGCUUUGUAAACAACAAAAGACACCACACAGGAUGAUGCCUCCGGAUACUACAUCUAGAAUGAGAGGCAUCAUAUACAAAUACCACAUGUGCCAGCAUUGCAACGAUACUAGGAUGACGCUUUCUGCAAAAGGGCAAAAGGUAAAAACAAAAUGUCAUUCAAGAUGAUAUUUCCUAAAUGUGAUGCAGCAAAAAUAACUCUACAGCAAAUAAUUUUCACAUUACUCUCCUUUCAUAAAUAAUUUUUUAUUACCUUUAUUGUAAAAAAGUCUACUAGUCUCUUGCCUUGAAGUGGUCUGAGAAUGGUACCAAGCAUCUCCCAGCGGUGUGAUUCCAAAAGUUGUUCAACUUGAGCGAAGAGGUCCAACACGAAUCAUCCAUGCAGUAACAUGAUAAAGAUUUGAUUCCAAAAGCCCAGGUAAUUCAUUUUUUGGAAGACAAAUAGUGUGGCUGAUUCGUGUGUCAAGAUUGUUCUCUUUCCCAACCCUUUGGGAUUAGGAGUAUCAAGAUUGUUCCUCUAGGGGUGCAUUCUAAGGUGAAGUGAUAAAAAUACUUCCACACCGGUUUAAUUAUUCGUUUGACUUGUAUACUUCCACAAUUUUUACAAGUAAAUUCUUAUAUUUGGACGUUUUAAUCUUUAUGUAUACACUUUUAAUUCUGUUUUGCCCAGUUGCUUGUAUUUAAUUCCAUUAACUAAGAUUCCUGUAAAAAAGUAAAUUCUAUCAAUUAAGAAAACCAUUAGAGCCCAAAAAAAAACAUUAAAUUAAAUUUAGCAUUGUUACAAAUUGUCUGACAGUUGUUAAACUACUAAUUUUUUUCAAGGGUUAAACCACCACUAAUGUGAUAGUUUUUUGCGAUAAGCACGCGAAUUUUUUUUUAUGAUAACUAAUUAUUUUCGGUGAUAAUUUAAUUCAUAAAAGGGAGGAUUUGAUUUAAUCCUUAAAUAUGUAAAAAAAUAUAAUAAUUAUAUUUUUUUCAUUAAGUGGAAUAUAUUGUAAUUAAACUAUAAUAUUUAAUAACUAAUUUGUCAUUAAAUUAUAUGGUAAAACAUAAUUUUGACACAUUUAUUGAUCAAAUUAUUAUAAUUUUUGUUCUUUUAGAUAUUUAAUUGUCAUUGUUUUAUAUUUUUGGAAAAAAAUUGUGAUUUAUCCAAUUUUGUACACAUAGAUGUAGAAUUUUUCACUUUAAUAAUACAAAAAAAUUAAAAAAUUAUUCAAAUUAUAUACCCCAAAAAUUAUUUACACAAAUGAUAUAAAUUACUAACGAUUUCUCACCUUUAUUUUUUUUUUUCAUUUUUACAUCAUGAAAUCAAUUUUUGAGGAAUCAAUUUCACAUGUUAUUUUUUUAUUUAGUAUCAGUCAAACUGACGCUAAAUAUAUUUUUAAUGAUUAGAUUCACAAAUAUAUUUUUACUCAAUUUAAUGUUGACGCAAAAUACAAGAAAAUUACAUAUGACCUUUAAAGUGUUUCAAUUAAUGUUUAACCUUUCACUAUAUACUCUUCAUUUUUGUAUUUAUAUUUUGUAAUCUUAACAAAAAAUUGAAAUAAAGAUUAAUGAAGUACAUUUAUGUUUUUAAAAGUAUUUUUUAAAUAAAAUAAGUAUUUUUUUAUUUUUUAUAAUCUAAUAUUGAUAUUUUGUAAAUCGAUGUUAAACUCUAUGAUACAAGAAAAAAGAUAACACCUUGUGGUAUCAAUUACUCCCAUGACAUAAAAAUAAAAAAAAAUGAUAAGAAAUCGAUUUUGAAAAAAUCAAUUUCUCACUUUAAAUAAUAAUUUAUAUUGUAAAUAUUUUUUUAGUAGUAUUAUUUGAAUAAUUUUUAAAUUUUUUUAUAUCAUUAGGGUGAAAAAUUCCAUGAAUAUAUAGGUAAUUUGAACAAGUACAUAGUCUUGAGUCUUCACUCUAUAUUUAUUUAUUAAAGUAAGAGAACAUCAGGCACUUAAUUCUUUGGAGAAGAUGCUCUGGAUAGAUGACAAGGGCAGGUGGGGUGUUUAACGUGUAUAUUUCAUUUCACGGUUGGGUAAAGGCAGAAUGAAAGUGCAGGCGAAAAGGGGGAAAACAAAUUGGCUAGUGCUGUGCGUCACGUCUAAUAUCUUAGUUUGUCUGAUCUAAUCUAAAUUUUCUCGCAAACAGAAGAAAAGUCAAGCGCGGCACGAAUCGCGAUCUUUCCUUCUUUCUUUCUUUCGUUCCUUCACAAUCCUACCAGCCGCCAAGCCGCAGAGUCAACUUGUACAAAUGCCCACCGAAUCCAUUAAAACUAAAAAAUCUUCUACCACGAACACUUGUCUUCAUUCUUCAACCUUCGUUUCGUUUCUACCACUCCAUUCCAGAAUGCUUCGUUACCUGUUGGUGUUCUUCUUAUUGGGCUUGGGAACCCGGGUGGAGUCACACGAGGAAUCGGGUCAUUGGAGCUGCGAGUCCGAGUCGGAGAUCCGAGUCGAGACUGAGUUCAAACCCGGUGUAAUCACACUGGAUGGUCACGCUGAUGAUUGGAAGGACAUUGAUGGGUCCUACUUUCCCCUCCUUCCCGCCCUUGACCCAGAUGCUGAAAAUGAAUUCAAAGGGGGAAAGAUGAGCGUUAAAGUAUACACCACACAUUCUGUUCCGUUAUCUCUGGCCAGUUUUAUUAUUUAUUUUCUCAUUUGAUGAUCAUGAAUUUAUUGCAGAGUGUCCAUGAUGGCCGCGAUAUCUUCUUUCUGCUGCAAGUAGAUGGUGACUAUGCCUACUCUAAAGGGUAAAUAUGUCGUGCCAAGCAGAUAAAAUUUCAUCUACUCUCCCUUGCUACGAUUUAUUAUUGUGCUUAUGUUAUUGACUUGUUUCUAUUGAUGGUGUUUUAUAUGUUACAGAGUGUCCAACAUGUUUGGAAAGAAGAUAAGAUAGAUUAGAAAUAUGAAUUUAAUUUAAAUAUACUCACAUUGUAAAACUAUUUUGCAUUUUAUGUCUGAUCAUUUUAUCAUAUCAUACUAAUUAUAAACAUUAUGUGUCAAUAAGGUGAAUUCCCAUUUAAUGUGUGUAAGAAAAGUCUUACACCAAUACCACAUAUUAAUUAAAUUCUUUAUAAAUAUUAUCGUUUUUGGUGUGUUAAUCUAUGAUGAACUUUUGUCUGGUUGUUGCAUUGGUUUUGCAACGCAGUGAAAGCAAUAAAUGUCCAUCUGUUGCUCUCAUGUUUCAAAUUGGAGAUAGUGCCUCUUAUCAUGAUGUAAGUUUUGCAGUCUUUUCUUGCUUUCAAUUACAAUCCCAACCUUGCUAGAAGAUUUUGUAAAACUGUAUUUGAUAAAUAUUAUGUUAACUGUUAUAAGAUGGGUGGCUGUAAAGAACAUUCGACCUCAUGCACUGACAAGACCUGCAAAGGUCAUGAAGUUGACAUUAUGCACUUUUCGAUAGGAAGUGCUAUUCCAGGACGACUUUACGGUGGCAAUCCCCUAGACAAUAGAGAUGGGAAUGGUGGCGAUAGGUUAUGAGCUGAAAAAUUCCUUGACUUUCAAUUAUGAUAGUCGUGGGCUAUCUUAUUUGUUGGUUGUGUUCAUUCAGCUUCCUAUAUUUGUUAUUGGUACAGGUUUGGUCACUUGGUUGAUCUAUAUGCUUGGAAUCCACAUUGUAGAUACUUGGAUGGAAUUGGUCCUCCAGGUUCUGGUAUGUACAAAUGCAACACCAUUGAUAAGAAUUAUAUGCUUCUAUGACUGAAAAAAAAAAGCAGAACAAAUGGAUUAAAUUAUUAAAACACCAAGUGGAAGUAUCACAAAUGGUUCCUAAAAUUUUAAAAACUACUGUUUUGUAGUUGCACUAAAUAGGACCAUUGCUUGCAUGACUUCACUCUUGUUCACUAAGCACAUCUUCCUUGAUACUUAUACCUUUUAUUCAGAUGUUCAUGCAAUUCUUUUAGGUGUUUUGUACAUAAAGAGAAUUGCUUAUGUGGAACAUUUGUAUUCUUCUAUAUACAUUUUUUAUUGUCAUAUUGCUUGUCUUUUCCUAUUGAACAUUAUUUAGUUUGCUUACUUAUUAAUAUCCUUCAUAGUUUACUCACUUUGGCCAUAUAAAUAAUAAUAAUAUCUUGUUUUGAACCGUACACAAGGUGGUCCGUUAUUUUAUUCCUUUAGCUUAGCCAUGAAAAAUCAAGGUUCACGUUUGAUAUUAAUCUCUUCUGACUUUGCUCCUUAAUUUUUUUAUCAGUUUUUGUAAAAUAAUUUAUCUUUGUCCUACAAAUCCCAAUUUAAAAUUGAUGUAACUUUACAUAUGAAAGUGGAUCCCAAAAUGAUUAAGUAGUGAUUGGAUUUUGGCAUGUGUAUGAUGCGUUUUAAAUUACUUUAAGAUGGCUUCAUUCACAUUGGAAGAAAGGGAUGUGUCAAAAUUAAUUAAGACAUCUGUUAUUAGUAUACUACAGGACAAGUAGAGAGAUAAGUGCUUUUUAUGCUAACAUUGUUGGAGUACAAGUGUGAGGUGAAGUCCCACAUUGGGUAGAAGUAGAAAAGUUGAGUACCAUAUAAAUGAGAAGAAGACCCAUAAACCUGAGUUCCCUUAUGUGAUGACUCGUGGUCCACCGGUGUGAAUCUCCCUGGUGUUUACUCCCCUCAAAUCUCCCCAACAACUGGUAUCAGAGCCGAUAAGCAUCAUUUCCAAUUCGGCUACAAACCAAAACUAAAGAUAUUAUUUAUAAUGAGAUUCUUCUUAACAACUUUUUUAAUGUCCUUCUUAAUUUCCCUCUCCCCUUUUACAUAGAAAUAAAAACCAUGAAAUCUACUCGUGUGUUUCUCGUCGCCUUUGUACGUGUCCAGACUACUUUACCUUGAUUUUCUGCUUUCCCCCCCUUAAAUUAGUGCAAUAUCAAUAUUAUAUGAUAAAACUUGCUCUUGAGCUUUGAUAGGUACUAUGCAACCACAAAUAACCUCAAAUACUUUUCUCCAUUUUUGUUAUCCUGUUUAUAUCUUCUGUGUGACAUCUUUAUUAAUUUCCUCGUCAUUUUGUAGUAUUGAUCCCAAAUAUUUAAACUAAGAAACUGGUGGCAUGACAUCUCCCAAUUUUACUUCAAGUCAUAUUCCUCUUGCCUCUUACAAAAAUUGCAAUAAUAUACUUUGUUUUACUCCUACUUAAGCGAGAAUCCUUUGUUUUUAAAGUUUUCUUCAAAGCUCAAGUUUAAAGUUAACAACUUUCCUUAAUUCAAAACUAUAUCAUCCACAAAAAACAUGCAAUCAGGGAUAAUCUUUUGUAUGUCCCUAGUAAGCACACCCAAGACUAAAUUAAAGAAAUAAGGACUUAAGGUUGAGCCUUGGUGUACGCCUACCCCUGUCGAGAAGUUCUUAGUCUCGUCUCCUGGAGUUAUCACACUAGUAGUUUCCCUAUCAUGCCUGACUUAUAUAGUUCAGAUGUAAGUCACAGAAACACCUUUCUUUUCCAAAGUCUUUCUAUUUGUGACCUUGAACUCCCUUCUUAAGUGAUUUAAUGUUCCUCCUCCUUCUUGAAACAAGUGUUCAUAAUCCUAAAAUCGUAAGUAAUAGAGAAAUCAAGAAUAAACUGUCAUUCCUUAUUUACUUCUCUAAAACUAGAACCACCAUGGGCUUCUAUAAAUUGCCUUGUCUCACUACGAAUAUGUUCUUUUAGAUCCCUUCCUGAGAAAAUCUUUUCUUCUUGGGGAGUUCCUUGAACCAAUCCCACCAAAUUUUCCCAAUACUUUUCUUUAUAAGUGCUUGUAAUCCUACUUGUGAUGCUUAAGUACUGAUGAUGUUGGUGGUCUCCUAUGCAACCAGUAAUUUUAAGGCUAACAUUGUGUCCAAUUCAUCUUGCAUCCCCUAGACUAUUUCUAAUACUUGUCUGCAAUAAUACCACACCAUUCUUUUCUCUAAUUUAAAUCCUAUAGUACCUAACUCCUUGGUCUCUUGUAGGCACAUAAUGUUACUCCUCCUUUGAAUUAUGGAUCUGCCACCUUCAUGAACUUACCUGUCAAAGUCCCAGUAUUCUAAGUAGCAAAAAGCUUUGAACUUCUUUAUCCACAUCCAUUCAAGAAAUUGUGAGGACUCUUGACCAUUUAACACUAUAUCCGAGCACUUUAUGUCCUGACUCUAAAUCAUUUGACUUUGUAUUCAAGCCAUACAAUGCCUUACUUAAUCGAGUAACUUUUGAAUUUAAUCUCUUAUGAGAAUCAUGAAUUAAGUUUAUGUUGGUAAAUUCUGUACAAGGAAUUGUUAAGACACUUUGUUGGUCAAUUAAAGCUCGUUUUGUGGUCAAAUGUGAUAUGAUAAGAUAAAAUAUAAGAGCAGUAUAAGAACUUUAAAAGAUAAAAGUAGGAUAAGCUUUAAUACUAUUCAAUGUUACACCAUCAUAUAGACUAGAUAACGAUAGGUGGUGGUUGUGUCGGCAACGAUAACCGUGAUAAUAGCGGUGACAAUAAUAAUAACGAUGGUGGUGGCGAUGAUGGUAUUGAUGGUGGUGAUAAUGGUGGCAAUGGCGAUAGCGGCGACAAUGAAGGCAACAACAAUGACGGUGGUGGUGGCGGCGACGAUGGUGGCGACAAUGGUAGGAGUGACAACGCCAGUGAUGGUGGUGUGAUGGUUGUCAUGGUGGAGAAGCGAUGAUGGUGGUGAAGAUGGUGAUGAUGGUGGUGGCGAUGAUGACAGUGAUAGUGAUGGGGUUGGUGAGGGCAACUAUCCUAUUCUGUUGCUCUCUAACCAAUUCACCCCCUCAGGAUAAGAAAUACACUGCAUCAUUAAGAUAGAGUAGGAAAUAGGGUAAGGAAAUCAUAUCCUACUAGUGCACCAAACAAUUUAUUACAACAGCCUAAGAUAGUUAUCCUAUCCUAUUAUACCAUAUUCUAACUACCAAACAACAAAAUUUCCAUUGCUUCAUAAGUUUUGAAUAGAAUGACAAUGCAUCUCUUUUUUAAAGAGUUAGAAAUCUGUAAGGAAAGACAUUUUCCCCAAGGCAAUUAAUUUUUUCUUUUAUGUAUUAUGACUUGCCGUGUUGUGGGUUAUAUAUAAUAUUGUUUUCAACCCCUUCAUUUUGUUGAUACUUGAUCACUUCUAAGUUAUAUUAUAGACUGACCCUUUUUCUGUUGUCAGCUAAUGAUUCAAGUGCGCAGAAUGACUGGAAAGGUGCUUGGUGGCAUAGCAGCUUCACAGUUCACUCAGGUGUCUGAUUCAUUUAUUUAUAGAUCAAAAAAUAAUAUGUCAUAUCAAUUAACUGUAGUUGGAGGCUGAAUCCAGACUGAAAUUUUGGUUGGUAGUGACAGGAAUCUCAAAACAAUAUUUUCUGAGCAGUAGUUAAAAUGUGUUUCCUUAUAUAUCUAUAUACUACUUAUGAAGUGAAUGGUUCGUAUAUGAGAUCAAAGCAUGCCUUGUACUAAGCUUCAUUUAUAAAUUUUGUUUUAAGAUAUGUCAACAUGACUUCAAAAUUUUUCAUAUAUGUUAGUGCCAGUUGCUUUCAAUUAUAUAUAAAUGGUGCCAUCUUGGAGGGUUAAUCCCCCACUAAGUGCCAAAAGUUCAGUGAUCCAUUAAAGGACAACCCGCUUUGUUUCUUAUGGCUUCUUGCCUUACAAUUUUUUUUUAAGAGUAAUUCAUUUUUCAUCCUCCAUAGUUUCAAGCCUUGUCACUUUAGUCUCUCAAUUAUUCAAGGUAUCAUCAAAUCGAUCCUUCUUUGAUGAUAUUUUGCUUGAUCAAGAGACUAAAUUGAUGAUAUUUUGUAUUGUUUAGGGACUAAUUGAUGUUUGAAAUAUUUGGAGUGUCAAAGUGAUGACUCUUAGCACUGUUGAGGGAUUAAUUUGAUGAUAAAAAUCUUGAGGAUCAAAUUGACGACACUUAUUUGCUUGGAGGACAAAAGUAGGGAUUUACUCUAUUUUUUUAUGUUAAAGCAUAUUUUGGAUUCUAUAUUUCUAGUGCAUGAGUGUUGUCAAAUACUGAGUCAUUGACUCAAUUAGGUGCGGAGUCACCGUUUCAAAAAGUAAUUGAUUUACUGGUUGAACCAUAUGUAUGUGUAAUUAAUCUGAUAAUAGGAACAUUAUAACUAACAUGGAGUUCUGGUGAAAUGGUUUAUGUUAAUUGAGCUGUUAAUUAUUAGGUUGUAGGUUAAAAUUAUUAGCUCAUAGAUUCAAAUUUUGUCUGGAACUUUACACUAAAUGUUUUACAAAACCAGUAAAAAUCAUUAACUUCAUACUAGUUCAUACUGGUUGCAACUUGCAACCUUGUGUAUGCAAUAUGAACAUCUGCCUCAAAUACAGUACCUUAAAUUUGAUCUCUCUGCUUUGUUUUGCACUGUCAUUUAGUUAGUUUGCAUUUUUAUUUUCUCAUAUUGGUACUCACAUGCUUCUCUGUAACAGGAUUCGUAGAGGAUGAGAGUCCAUAUGCAGAUAAUGGAAAAAAGGGCACAUACUUUUUUGAAUUCUCGAGGUCUUUGAGGACUAUGGAUCAUCUUCAACAGGUUGGAACUUAGAAAGUAAUUUGAUAUUCAUAAGUUUUAUAGGCUAAGAGUUUGCAUUGAUUUUUUCAGAUUUUUUUCCCAAUUAGCUGAAUUUUUUGUUCACAAGUUCUUUUUCGAUUAAUUUUUGGGAUCAUUUGUAAAUCUAAUGGAUUGUGGAUGAAAAAACAUAUGAAAUUAUUUAUCAAUUUUAAUCAAUGUUGGCGUAGAGUACCCCAAGUCAUGUGAUAAACAUUCCUUUUUAACUAGGUCUCUGUGUUGUUUGUUGUUGAAACAAGUUUGACUUUUGAACUUGUACUGGAUUGUUUGUAUUACCUUGUUUCCCAAUGCAAACUUGCCUUCUGAAUGUAUAUUUCUUAACCAUGGCCAAAAGCUUAAAACAAACAAGAUUGAGAUCACUAACUCUUUUUUCUUGUAUUUUGUUUGGGGUGGGGGCAUGGAUGAAAAAGAUCUUUUCAAAUAUAAUAAAUGUGAUUGUAGGGAUCUUCUGAAUCACGUGGUUUUUGUUUUAACAUGUGGUUAUUGUGUUUAUCUUUGAGUUUCUUCCUAUCCAGGGACUCAUCUUGUAGCUUGAAACUAAAUAUAUUUUUGUUUUAGUAGCAUUGUACCAAAUAGUAAAUAUAUUCCUGAAUAUCAUUUAUAAGAUAACAAGCAAGUAAAAUGAUGUAAAAUAAUACCUUGCAGGACGUGCAAUUUAACAUUGGUGGAUCCAGUAAGAUGUCUGUUGCAUUCUGGUAUCCAGUAGAUGGUCAACCUUGGCAUGGUUCUGGGCACUACUCUGUUUACUGUGAUUGGGUUCCCAUUGACAUAUCUGUUGGUAAAUCUUUGAAUGGCAAGUCAGUAGAUGCAGCAUCAAAUAGCUCGUGGAAUGUUGCUAGUGCCUUUUCUGUUAUACUAUCAGUAGCAGCACUUUGUGUGUCUGUUUUUGUGAGCUAUAGGGUGUUCAGCCCCAAGAGUGUCUCUUUUACACCGAUAGAGAACAACAACCUUUAAAUAUUGAACCAAGAGCUUGAGUUUGGGAUUGUACUAUUCAUUUCGCUUGUACUAGAUAGGUUUGUACUGUUUAGUGCUUUCUCUUUGCUCUAUUUUUUUAUUAUAACUAAAGCAUUACUUUAGUUAUUUUAAGCAGUGUCAGAAAAGUAUUAAUUCAUUAUCAACAUUAUGGAGUUCCAUCCUCUUUGGCUUAGUUAUUGCAAUUGCAGUACCGUUUGCUUUCAUUCAUUUCAAAAUGGAACUUGAGUUGCAAUCCGGCGAAAGAGAGGAAGAUUUUGAGUAUUAAUAUAAAUAAAUUGAGACAAAUUGAUAGCAUGGCUCCUUCCUUUUGGUUCACAAUCAGAUAUCUUGAUAGGCAUAACAUAACUGUGAGAUUGACUCUUGCUGAAAGUGACGGUUAGGUAAAAUUUUCUUUAGGUAACAGCGUAAGAGUUUAAUUUCUAACAUUUCAGACAAAGUUUACCUGGAGUUGUAGUCUAUUUUCUCUUCAACUAAUUUAAGUGAUAAAUUGUUCGAUACAAAAUACACACAGGGGCAGCCAAAUUGAAAUGACAUCCUUGACGAGGGAUAGGUGAUAUAAUUAAAUUUAACAAUCCUUGUGUAUAAUUGUAUCAAUGUUGCCACUGUAAAUGGUUAAAAACUAUGUCAAUUUAUCGAAGAAACUAGCAAGAAUAAUAGCGAUAUAAACAUAAAAAUACUUAUCGAUUACUACUAGUAUAGCCGUGCUGUUUUUUUUUAAUUAACGGGCUCGGUCUUUUAUUUCUAUAUUUUUGUAAAAGUUAUAUUAGCAAUGCUUGCAUUGUUUUUUUUGCAUAAUUAUAAUGGUUUUAAUUGAACCAAUAAAAAACACAAAAAGAGUUACUGUCAAAAGAACACGAUGAGAACAAGGAUAAUAUUAUGAUAUUGGGCCUGUGAUCGAAUAGUUAUAGAUCCUUUUAAAAUGUGGCAAGCCACUUCAAUGGGCACUCAUAAGUUAGUCUCUUUCAAAAUUAUGAAGGAAAGAAAAAAAUUAAAAUGUGAUGAAUUUCUGCCUCCCUAUCAGAUUAGCCUACCUCUAUCUGUGAAAAAAAAGUGCUUAGUGUAAAGACCUUGCAGAAAUUGUGACAUUGGAGAAUGUAGGUUUCAAUGUCAUCUGAAAAAUUACAACUUGCGCAGAGUACAGGAUAGUGCAUGUACAUAGAUUUUGUUAAUAAACGAGUCCUCUAACAACUAAUCCCACCUGAAAAAAUGAUGACAAGAAACAAAAAUACCUAAAAUAUCACCUAAAAGCAUACAGUAUCAACUAUAGACUCUUUAGCGUAAGUGACUCCAUGACAAAAAACAAAAAUACCAUAUAUUUGUAAAGUUAUUUGAAUAUCAUUGAUUGUUUAAUAGGAGAGAAAUUUUUUGUUUACCGGAAAUUAUAAGUAGAAAAACUUAAUUUUUUUAUGUUUCAUAUAUUUUAAAAAAAUAAUAUUCAAGAAAAAUGAUGUUUUUUGGAAAGUUUUUUAAUCAAUUUUUUAUUUACUUUUCUGAAUUUUUCUACUAGAAUAAAAAUAUCAUAUUAUUCUUUAUUAAUUAUUUAAUUGUUAGAAAAUUUAUCUAAAGAUUUUCAAUGAUUAACCAAAUAAUUUUUAUUUGUUUUUCACAAAACACACUGUGAUUUCUGAGAAUAGAAAACCUUUUUCCCUAAACGCCCCAUUAGGAAAACCCUUAGGGAAAUUAAAAAACUGAUGUGGCAGCUUCAUUGGUUUUCUAAAAUCUGAAUUUUCUGAAUUUUAAAUAACCCUGAUUAUUUAAAAUCUGAAUUUUCUAAUAUAAUUAUUUUUAAUAUAAUUAUAUUACUAAAUAUAAUUAAUUUAUUUAUGUCAUUAGAUUUAAUUAAAAGUGAGAAAACUUUUUAUUUAACAACACUUUUUGUUUAACAAUUUAUUUAUAGAAAAAUAUUAUAUUGUAUUAAAAUACUUAAACAAUUACACUUGGUAAAAACUUCAACUCAAGGUUGUUAGGAUAAUUAUUUCUGUUAUGAUCAUGUUGUCGACAAUUUCCACUUCACAUUUUUUUCUACUUUUUUCAUUUAUUUUCUUCUUGGUGAUGAUCCUUUGCCUAACCCAAUCGGAUCACGUUAGAUUGUGUCUGAUCUGAAUGCCUAACCCAAACCAAUCUAUUCAUUGGAUCUCAAUUAGACUAGUCCGAUCGGUUUGUUUUGAAUUUUAAAACACUAAUUGAAAUGGUUGUCAUUGUGAUGUCCUUUGGUUUAGCCUAACAACUUUAACAUAAAUUUUGACUUUUAAACUUUAUUCACCUCAUUGGCUCGAAGUUGAAAGAAUAUUUACCCUCCUAGUUUAACGCCUAGCUAUAUGUCAUUUAUGUUUAUAUUCGACCUUAUAAGUCUCAUUUGCCUAUUUGGCUCAAGGUAAGAGGGUACACAACCCUCCUGAUUUUAGGUCAAGAUAUAUGUCAUUUAUGUUCUUCUUAAUUGACCUUUUAGGCCGAGAUAUAUGUCAUUUGUGUUCUUAAUUGACAUUUUAAGCCUAAUUUGCCCUUUAGCUCAAGGUUGAAUGACUCUACCCUCUCAAUUUUAGACGGAGACACAUACAUCUUAGAUCAGUGGUCGGAAUGCAGUCCUAAACUGACAUCACAGAAAUAGGUCUAUUUUCUAAUGCCUUUUGGGAUCGACGAUAGCAAAAUAUCCCCUAAUUGGAUGAUCACCAACUAACUUUAAUUUAAAAUCCCCUCAAAUCUAGAAACAUAUAGAACUCACUAUUAAAUGCUCUAGUCUUAUCUCUAGAUCAUCAUCUGGAGGUUUCCAGUAACAUGGACAAUCACCUAACAGGUAUAUCAACUAUAGACUUCAAGGGUUUCAUAUUUAAGUUAAUCAUAAUGGAGUCGUGUUAAAAAAUUUGGAAGAGCUUUGCUAACAGAUGCUAGUGCUCCUAGAUAAAAAUUAUUUUUUUUUAAAAAAAACUAGACUGAAAUAAUAACUAGUGAAAAUAAAAAUAAAACCAUUUCCUUCGUGAAGUAUUAAAUUGUAAACGAUUAUGCAGAAUCUGUUUCUUAUCUUAGGGAAACCAAGUUAACAGAUUGCACCUACAUGCUGCACAUAAUUGUUUUUCCAUGAUAUCUAGUUCUCCUGUGCAUGGUAGACUCGAGAAUCUUCCUUGAAUCCUGGAUCAAUUUCAGGAGACAAUUCGGACGCAGUAAUGUGAUUUUUAAUCCAGGAAUCAUCGAAAUUGUUAGCCUUGAGAAUCUUGGACAACUCAUCAACACCAUCCACAUCCGUCUCUUCUUCAUAGUACUUCAGAAAAGCCCCAAGAACUUGUGGUGAAGGACGCCAUUUACCACCCUUGACUUCUGAAAGCGCUGCCUCCAAGUACCUCACAGCAGCAUCCAACUGAUGCUUCUUCAAGAAAAACUUCAUGAACUCUUCCCGAACCCUAAAGAAAGGCCCUUUGCUCCUCCUGCUAGCCUCCUCAAAUACCGAUUCAGCUUCUUCCAGCUUGUUCUGAUUCAAGUGAGCACUAACACAGACACUAACCAACCUCACAUCAUAGCUAACACAACUAGCCUCCCACUCCUUAAAGCAUUUUGUUAACCCCUCUAUAUCAUUAAGCCUUCGGAGGGUACUAAGCAUAACAAGAUAGCUGAAGUUGGUGACAGGGGAGACAGACUUGAGGGAAUUCCACACUCUAUGAACCUCCCCAAGAUUACCGGUCCCUGCAUAAAGGCCAAGCAAGCAAUGGUAAGCAUCACGCUGUUUCGGCUUCACUUGUUUUUCCAGCAUCUUAAGCAUCAUCUCAGCUUUCUCAAAGUCCUUAAACUUAACAUAAAUAGAAGCAAGGUUGCUGUAAGUCUGCCAACCAAUUUGGUCUUCAUCUUCAGUUUUCAUCUCCUCGUAGAUUCUCUCCACCCCAUCAAGAUCGUUCAAAGAGGCGCAGCUGUUCAUCCAGAUAUAAUAUGUGAAUGCAGACAUGGGAAUGCGCCUCUGCUUCAUAAGCUCCACCAGCUGAGCCACUUUCUCGGGUUCACCCAGUUUCAUAAACAGAGUCAUGACAUUGUUGAAAGCCAGAUUAGUGACAUAACCCAGUUCAUUCAUUCUGUCAAAAUGACUCAAUGCCUUGUCUUUCAUUAGUUCCUUACAGUAACAGUUCAGAAGAGCACCGUAGGUAUACAUGUUCUUGGCUGCAGGAGGAAGACCGCUGAAGAAAUUCUCAGCUGCAACCACCCCUUUGGUUUUGGACACAAGAUCUAACUGCACUGCAUAGUUAUUCCAGGAAAAAUUAACUUUCCUCAUCUGCAUCCAUCUAUAUCNNNNNNNNNNNNNNNNNNNNNNNNNNNNNNNNNNNNNNNNNNNNNNNNNNNNNNNNNNNNNNNNNNNNNNNNNNNNNNNNNNNNNNNNNNNNNNNNNNNNGGUUGGAGAGAAUGACCGCGCUAGGUGUAGUUGGUGGUAGUGGUGCCCCAGUGCCAGUGGUAUGUUCUAGUGUUAGGAACACACGGUUUCGCGUAUCCUUCUCUUCUUCUCCGUCAUCGGGACCCAAAACGGUGCGUAUCUUCCACUUUGGUUUUUCAUAUUCAUGCUACAAAAUUCGCUUCGGGCAAUGCACGAUUUUUCCCGAUAUCCCGAAUUGAAUCAGGUGGAACAAGUGGGAAUUGCUGCUCCGAAAUCUGAAUACAAGCCCGGUGUGUUUGAUGACUUGUUUCUUAAUUUGUUCCGCAACAAAUUGGUACAGGUAAAGAAAAGUAGAAAACCUUUUAGACUCUUCUUGUUAUAAUACAUGAUGGUUAUUGUAGUAGCUGAGUGUGAAAUGUGAUUAGUAUAACAGGAGGUGGGUUGGGACUCGGAGAAACCUGGAUAUGAUGGACUAAUUGAAGUUGCCAAUCGUCUAAUGAUGAAGGGCACUACCAAUACUGCUACCGUGGAAGCAGCGGUAUUUCCAUUUGUUUCUCUCUCUCUCUCUCUCUUAAGCUUUCAUUAACUCGUUACUCAAUUACCCCUUUUCAAAAUCUUUCUUAUAUGCAAUAGCAUUUUCCCCAAAUUGUGAACCUUAAAACUAGUAUUAUAUCUGUAUAAAACUCCUUUAAGAUAAGAAAAUGUAUAACAUGAAAAAACCUAGUUAAUUAGUUUAAGCAUCUUCAGUAGGAGCUGUUUAUGGAGUUCUUAAACUUAAGAAUCAAUUCUUAUGCAGUUUUACUUUUACCAUUCAAGCAAUCGACGUGGCAAUUCUUAUAUAAGAAAUUAAGAAUUGUUUGUUGCUUAUUUAAGCAACGUUCUUAACAGAGUUUUUAAGAAUCGAGAUAAUUACAGAACCCAUUUUAAGUUUUUAUGAAUUGUAUCAUUGAGGAGGAGGAAACUUGUUGAAUUUCUUAAAUUUCAUGUGGGAUUGUAGGAUCUAUCAAAAGUGAGUUAAGCAAUUCCAUUAUGAUUGCACUGUUGGAGUUGCUCUAACAUAUAUUGAUUGAUAAAAUCAUUUCAAAUAAAGUAGACAGUAAAACUUUUUGGCUCAAAUAAAACGUAAAAAAGCUUAUUAGGUAAAAAUGAAAACUUGUUUUGUAUGUGAUUUUGUUUGAGCUAGUUUUAUCUUUAUAAGGAUCAGAAAUUGAGGUCAUAUUGACUCUAUAAGGUUUUUCAUCAAUUUUGAAUGGUCAUGUUGUCCGAAAGUAAGUUCACUAGCUGUUGUGACUUGUGUCAGGUACGAAUAUUGAGAUCUCUAUUCCCUCCAUAUCUUUUGGAGCUCUAUAAAAUGCUCAUAGUUCCCAUAGGAGGAGGCAAAAUUGCAGCUAUGAUGGUUGGUGAGUCUGAUCAGAUGCAUUUCAUUUUUCUAUUCUUCUAGAUGAAUACCAAAUCUUUGUUCAUGCCUGAUGUUCCCCUGAACGUAACAGGCUAAUAAACUUGUUUAGAUAUCCUAAAAUGUUUUGGUUUUGACUUUGAAGCAAGGGUUACUGUACUGACUUGUCAAUGGCUCAUGGGCCCCUGCAAACUCAAUUCUGUAGACCUACCAGAUGGAAUCUCAUGCAGUAGUGGGGUGAUCACUUGUACUUUUCCAUGUGUUUGAUCAUUUUUUUUAGAGUUAUAAAACUCAUACCAAAUGAUCCUGUAAUUUUCAAAGUGGUUUUAUAAAAUCUUGUAGGUGUAUGUGGAAAGAUGCAAGUAUCUGGAGGAAAGCAAGUGUGUUGGUAUUUGCACCAACACCUGUAAAUUUCCGACACAGGUUAGUGAUUCUUCAAAAUACUUGCUCUUUUUUCUCAUGUUGCAAUGAGAGCUAAGCAUGUUGUGCAUGCUUCGAAGUGAAGUUUUUGCAUUCACUGGGUGAUUGCAUGUGAUCUGACUCUAUUUUCUAUCUAGAGCUUCUUUAAGGAUCAUAUGGGGGUUCCACUACUUAUGGAGCCGAACUUUGGCGAUUACAGCUGUCAGGUAAUAUUAAGUAAUCUUUUUUGGAGACCACCUUUGUAUGAUUACCUCCUUGUCAAUUAGUCAUUACUUUCUUAUCUUUUAAAAUUGCAGUUCAAAUUUGGAGUUCUUCCGCCACUGGAUGAUACGAUCGUGAAGGAGCCUUGCUUGGAAGCAUGUCCAAAUGCUUCCCAACGACGAACGGUUGCCAGAAAUAUUGAUAUAACUGCGUGCCCAAAGACAUGAAUAUAUUUUUCUUGGGCUUGGGGUUUUAACAGUAUUUUUGUAGACUUUCAAGUUUGCAAAGCCUCUUGAAAAUUUUGGUCCCAACCUGUACUUGAAGAUGGAACUCCAUAGCGAUAACUCAUCUUUGACCGAGCUCAGAUGAAUUUAUUAUUAAUACAAUUCAUCCUUUUCUAAUUAGAUUAUUAUUUGUUAAUAUUUUUUAGAUUAAAUUAGUGUUUUGGUACCCUAAUUUAUUAUUUUGGUUUAAUUUGAUCCAUUAAUUUUUUUCGGGUUCAAUUUAAUCCUUUAAUUAUUAAAAAGUGUUCAUCAUUUGUUCUCAUCUAACGAGGUCAAGUCUGUGUUCAUAUGUUCACCUAAAAAAAUGACACAUCUUUUAUUAAGUAGAUUCUACCGUUAAUAAUUGCGAUGCAAUGGAUGACGAGAAUAACAUUGAAUCUCUUCUAAAAAUUAGAAAAUUAAAUUGAAUAAAAAUAAAUAAAAGAUUAAAUCAAUUCAAAAUAAUAAAUUAAAGGACAAAAAAUUAAUUUUACCUAUUUUUUACUUGUAUACAUUGAUAUUUAAUCAUCUUAGUUCAGAUAUUUUAAGAUUAUGUUAAAUAUAAAAUAUUUUUUCAUUUUAUGGUUGAAGAUAAAUUAAUCAGAACUGUUUAUCAAAACAAGGAGGAGGAACCUCAACCUAUGUCAAACAUAACCUUUUUUUUUUUAUAUUUCCAAAUUUCUCCAAAAUCCUCCUCAAGUAGUAUGAUUACCCGAACUUUAUCCCACCAUUGUUGCCUCUCUUGGCCUAAUCUACCUCACAAUCUAUGUCAUCAAUUUUUUCAAGGAUCGCGAUGUUGAGUCCUCAAUUUUGAAUCCUAAAACAUUCACUUUUCGAAUUGAAAAUGAAAAGUUUAAUGUUACUUUUGAUUUAUUAUGUUUUUCCGUUAUUUUAUUUUGAUACAUUAAAUUUUAAAAAUUUCAUUUUGGUCCUUUAUGUUUUCAAAAUGUAUUAUUUUGAUUUUUUUUAAUUUUUCAUCAAAAACCCUAGUGUUUUGUUAACUUUUAAAUUUUAAAAUGGCUUAAUAUUACUUUUGGUCCAUUAUAUUUUACAAAUGUUUUGCUUUGAUAUAUUAUGUUUUAAAAGUUUGAUUAUGAUCCUUUUAUAUUUUUGAAAUGUAUCGUUUGAUUCUUUUAUCACUAUUUCGUUAGAAACUUAGUGUUUGUACGUGUUUUAACAUAAUGGUAGCUAAAAGUUGCAACUAUCUUUUUUAUUUUAAAAAAUAAAAAUUAUUAAGUAAAUGAAAAAAAGAUGAAUAUGAACAUCAACCAUCUUCACUCUCAUGUUAUUAUUAGUAUUUUUUUCAUUCAAUUUAAUCAUUUCAUAAUAAAGAAAAAGUUGUAUGGAAGUUUUUCAGUGUAUAAGAAUUUUCCAUGGUUCUAAUAAGAUUAUGUAUUGAUGCUGUUUAAUUUGUGUAGUAUUGUAUUUUUUAUCUUUUCAGAUCUAAAAGAAGUUGAAAGAGAUGAUAAUUUUUUUAGUUGUUUAUUUUUUUAAAAUAAAAUAAAAAUAGUGACGAUUUUUGGUCAUAACUAUAUAAAAUUAAUUAUUUUAAAAGGCCUAAUGUCACUUUUAGUCUAUUAUGUUUCAUAAUUAUUUAUUUUGCUACAUUAAAUUUUAUUUUGAUAUUUUAUAUUUUAAAAAUGUAUUAUUUUUUAUUAUUUUUUAAAAAUUAAAAGAACACUAAUAUUUUUUAAUGUAAUAUUAAAAAAAUAUCAAAAUGAUAUAUUUUAAAAACAUAAAAAAAUAAAAAUGAAAUGUUUAAAAUUUAAUAUAUGAAAGUGAAAUAAUUGUGAUAUAUAGUAGACUAAAAGUGAUAUUUAGGGGAAAAAAAAGAACUGUUAUUUGAGCUGAAAAAGGAGUAUUUGAGCAUUCCAUUUGUUUACAAUAUUAACAAUUAGACCAAGUCCAUGAAAAACUCCUUUUGCAUUAGCGACAGCUCCCACAUGUGUUGCUAUGAGUGCGUGAGUACAUGGGGUCCAAACUUCUGCAUGAGAAGUUUAUUUAGAUUCUUGCCACAUAGGAUAAUCGAAGUCACGUCACGUCAUCAACCGAAAAAGAUACGUGAAUGAUGAUGAUCUUCACGUAGGAUGCUACAUAAUGUAUGAUGAAUAUUGAAUGGUGAUAUAAAAUGAAGAACUAAUAAAGUUAUUGUAUUCUGAAACAUAUAUUUUUGUUAAAUAUUUAAAUAAAAAAAAUUGCCACUUACAAUCAUUAUAUUUUAUUCGGCUCGAAUAAAAUUAAUUCUAAUGGUCUAAAUAAAAAAUAAAGAACUAAUGGAUGAUCUGUGAUCGUUUGAUAAGAUAUUUUUUUUACUACAAACUUGUUUUAAGCAAAAUAAAUAAAUAAUGACAAUGUUUUUAAGACUAAAAUAUAUUCAAGUGAAUAUCGUUAUAUUUUCUAAUUCCUACAAGUUAAAUAAUUUGAAAAUAAAAUAUUUUAAAAAAAUAUAUAUUAUUAAUAUUUCUAUUUAAUUUUUAUUUUAGAAUUCUUAAUAAAUAUUGUAAAAAUACUCCUUGCACUAAUCUUUUAGAUUAAAAUAGAUAUUUGAUAUUUGUGAUGUUAUGUCAUUAAAAAUAAUUCAAAAUUAAGAAAGUAUACAUUACAAGAUACAAAAGAUAUCUUUUUUUUUUAAUUAUGUGAUUGAACAUUUAAAUAAUAUUUGAUUUUAAUAUUUGACAAAAAUUAUUUUUUAUCAAACUUUACUUACCCUUUAAUCGAACUCUAAAUUAAGAAAAAUCUAUUUUCCUAAUAAAUCAAAUGGUUAAAAAAUAAAAUAUAUCUUUUGGUUCUAUUACUAACAAAAUAACUAAAAAAUUAACUAUAAUUUUAAUCGUAUUCUAAUUAUGUUUUUCUUCUAACUUAAACACUUUAUUCAUAUUGACUUGAGCAUUAUGUGACCUAAAAUCUACAUUAUCUUGUUGUGUGUGAUCAAAAGAUUAGACAUGUCCAAGGAUUAGUUUAAUACUUCAAAUUAUCCCACAAUUUCAAGAAAAAACUCUUAAAUUAAAAAUAAAACCAUACUAAUAAAUGUUAUAAAGACAUUAGUAAUAUUUUUUAAUACACCAUAAUAAAUAUUUUUUAUUUUAAAAAGUAAUAAUGUAAUUAUAUUUAUUUUCCAAAACAAUAAAUAUUUUUUCAUAAUUACUACUUUACUUUGUUUCAUAAUUACUAAUUAAUGCUUGUAUAAAAAGUAUACUCCUGUUUAAAAAUAUCGUGAGCUAUUUAAAAAUUUAGUAAACAAAUACUACUACUUUGAAAAUGUUACUCAGGGAGUAUUAGUAUUACAUUAAUAUUUUUGAACUUUAACAUAUUAAAUAUUUCGUUUAAUUUAGCAAUUAUUUUUUCAUAAAAAAACAAUUGUUUUUAAUUCAUUAAAACAGUGUUCUAAAGUUUUCUUUUAUCAAAUUUCUUUGGAAAAAAACUUUUAAAAUGACGGCAAAACAAAAAAAAUAUUGUUUUUAACUACUAACAAAAUAUAACAAAUAGUUGCAAACUAGUCUAAUAUUUUUAUUUUUUGUAAAGUGCAGAAAAGAAAUUUAUCAACUACUACUAAUAUUCUUGAAACGUUUUAAAGUAAUAUUUCUGCGUUGAAAAAAAAAAAUAAUCCCGGUGUGGUGACGAGGCGUGGAAAAAAUAGAGAAGAAACGUGAUGAGGCUUCUUAUAGCUUAUGCAAGUAACUACUAAGUAACCGCUAACAGUAACACCUUCGAUUCAACUCAGUUAUGCCCACUUCCUCCACUCCGAGUCCAAGUCACUCCCUCAACUCACUCCCCGCCGUUCAUUUUAUCCCACCCCUGUAGAUCUGAUCUGGACCCUUCCCGGCGUCGCUGAUGUUGCUGCUCGUCGUUUCCACCGCUUUAACCGGUAAUGAUAGGUUUUCGUGUGUGGACCAAUCUUAAGUUUUUUUUUGGUUAGGUUGGGUUUGUUUGACAUUUUUGCAAAUAAUGCAGGUGCGUUGAAAUGGUUGCUUGUGUUGCUAUCUUGCAUGGUGUGGUUUGUGGUUGAUUAUGGUGCGUGUGGCAGAGCACUGCAGCUGGAAGCACCUUCUUUGUCUCCAGCUGCAGCACCUGUUGUUGCUGUUGAUGAUCUGCCACUGCCGACGAAUGCUCAUGGGUUAAAGCAUUUGCCUGCACCGAUUCCGUCACGCGCCAAUUUCACCAAAGGGAGAGGAGAAUUACAGCCCCCGGUUUCCGGGUUUAAGAAUAUUGCCCCUAUGCAUCCCAUUGCUGAUGCUAUUCCUUCUGCUCUCGCUCAGCCACCAUUGUCCCCUUAUGUUUCCGGUAAGAAGAGAAAAAAAAUUACAUUUCUAAUGAAGGAAACCCCAUUUUAGUCCCUGAUUUGUUAUAGUAGUCUAUGAAAUUAGAAAAAAUGUUAAAUGAAUUCAUUAUAUAGGUGUAAUCAUACCAUCACUAAAGCACCUAUGCAUCGGAUCCCAUCAGAACAAGCGUGCUUAGACAAUAAUAGUAUUAGGAUAGGUAAACUCUUGGGAAGGAUGUCCUCGUGUUACACAUCUUCUGAAAAAAAUCCUGAAAUUAAAAUUCAUCAGUCACAUUAGUCUAUGCCGUUAGCUUUGUUAAGAACUAUAGUGAUGCUAACUACUAAGGGUGUAUUUGGAUUUCCGUUCAGACAACCCAAACGGACGUUCAUCUCAUAAGUUAUAAAAUUUAGGGACUAUAAUGAUAAUAAAUUAUACAUUUCAGGGACUAAUGUCAGUUUCAGGGAUUUGUUUGAUAUUUUUCUAAUUUGAGGAACUACUAUGCGAGUGACUCCUAAAAUGGGAGUUUGCUCAUUUCUAAUGCUACUGUGUGUUACUUGACUUGGAAUGUGCUUUUUUUAAAUUUUAAUUGCUGAAUUAGUUUCAAAGUAAAACAUUAUCUCUCUUUGUUGUGCCAGAUUGUUGCAAACAAGACAUGGUGUGGAAACGUGGCAGUGAGGUUUGCCACUGUGCUUAUCCCAUAAAGCUAGACCUACUUCUUUUGAAUGUCUCUGAAAACCCCGACCAGAAUGCUUUUCUCAAUGGUUUGGCCACCCAACUUGAGCUGCAGACUACCCAAAUUGAAAUUAUUAAAUUUUAUCUACUCAGCUUAUCGACGUUGAAUAUAUCAAUGGAUAUCACUCCACAUAAAGGGAUCAGUUUCUCGGCCGAGGAAGCAGCUAAAAUAAACUCAUUGCUUUUACUGCAUAAGGUUCAACUAGACCGCAGAUUUGUGGGCGACUACAAAGUAAUCAAUAUAACCUGGUUUAAACCUCCACCUCAUUCUCCAGGUAAGUUCAGAACUUUAAAAUUCUGAAAUAUGACAUUACAAAUCGUGAUGCUUUGGUGUUCUUAAUAAUUGAAACUAACAGUGACUGUGAAAUGAUUAUUGUGCAAAAAAACACACAUCUAAUGUUUAUUUGCACAAGGUACUGAAACCUUUGUAAUGUAUGUAAAUCUAAAAUCUUACUGUUUUAACUACUUCCAUGCUAUUGUUUUAAUGUAUAUAGAUUUCAUGUCCAUUUGUUUUUCGUUUUUCCAUUGUUGCUGCCUAGUGGUGACUGGUGAGAAAAGGAAGAGAGCGAUAUGCUGAUGCUAAAGGGACUAAUCUAUUGAUUGCUCAUUCCUUCUGAUAGCUGUUAUGUUUUGAUGUUUCUUGAUUCAUUUUGUAUUGAACCUACAAACGAAAAUCAUAUAACUUUGAUGCCUAGGAAAGUGUUCAGCUACAUUGUCAAUUGUGCAGUGCAAAUUUGGAUAGUUGUUUGUAUAUUGCUAAUAUGCGACAUUGUACUGUUUAGCUAUCUGUGUUUGUGUAUUGAUUGUAAAUAUGGCCAAAGUAGAGCUUAUAAGAUUUGGACAUUCUUCACCUCAUAAGCUAGUUUUUUAGGUUGAGUUAGACCCAGCCCAAAUUUAAGAUGGUAUUAGAGCUUAUCAUAAAUCCAAAAAUCUACCUAACUCUGCGGCUUUCCCAGUGCAAUCUACCUGGUCCUGCAACUUUCCUAGUGCAAUAUAAAAAAAAAAGUCUUAAAAUAUCCACAUUUCAAAUAGUCCAAUCCUAGGCAUGAAGAGGGUGUGUUGAGAUCCCACAUCAACUAUAGAUAUGACUAAAGUAGAGCUUAUAAAGGCUUGGACAAUCCUUAUUUUAUGAACUAGUUUUUUAAGUUGGAUUAAGUUGAACCCAAAUUCAAGAGUUUGCAUAUAUGGUUAUGUUGAAGACAUGAUUUGAUUACUAUAAUUAGGGAAUAUUCUCAUUAGCUGAUAAUUAGGGAUUAUUGUCAUUAAUAGUCUUGAUUAUGUUUAGAUUUCUAGGUUUUUCGAUCCCUUUCUCUUUCUUUUCUCUUUUUUUUCUUUCCUUCAGCCGCAGCCCCCCUUUUUUGUCUCAUGAACAGUAACCGCGACCACUGCGAGCUCUGCUGUGCCACCACCGAGCCGCCAUUUCUCUCCUCAACUUCAACGGUAUCUAGUCUCUGCUGAUGUGACAUUCUUUGAGAGUACUUUUCUCCUUCCACUGUUGAAUAUGCCCCUCUGCAGGUUCCACCUGUUGUUCCAACACCACUCAUUGCUCCUGCUCCAAGUCCACCUCCACUACUCACAUACCAUUGACGAACACAGGCACUACCAGUAGUGCCACCUACUGAUCCUCCAACAUCAUCUUCUGCUCCAAACAUCUGUCCACCAUCGUCGCCUGCACCUGAAUUUUCCAUUGGUGUUCGGUCCACUCGUAAUCCCAAUCCUUUAUAUGCUUUUAAUCUUAAAUGUGACCUUUUAUCACCCUCUUAUUAUUCUUCUAUCUCUUCUUUGCAUUUUGUGUCUAUUCCAAAGUCUACAGGUGAAGUCAUGGCUGACCACAAUUGGUAACAGGCGAUGAUGGCAAAAAUGGCUGCGUUGGAUGCCAGCAACACGUGGGAGCUUGCUCCCUUGCCUCCCAACAAAUCCACUGUUGGGUGUUGUUGGGUCUAUCGGUGAAGAUCGCACCAGAUGACACUAUUGAUCGCUACAAAGCUCGCUUGGUGGCUAAGGGAUAUACUCAGAUUUUUGGUCUUGAUUAUGGUGACACUUUUUCACUUGUGACCAAAAUGACCUCUGUUUGAAUUUUUCUUGCUAUGGCCACAAUCCGACAUUGGCCUCUUCACUAGUUGGACAUCAAAAAUGCCUUCUUGCAUGGUCAGUUGCAAGAAGAGAUGUACAUGGAUCAGCCACCUAGUUUUACAGUCUCCGAUGACUCCUACCUUAUCUGUAAGCUUCGCCGCUCACUCUAUGGCUUGAAGCAAUCUCCUCGUGCUUAGGUUGGUCGUUUAACUCCGCUUUGCUUGAGUUUGGUGUGACUCGCUGUGAAGCUGAUCACUCAGCAUUUGCCCUUCAUUCUAAGUCUGGAUUGUGCCUCUAUCUUGUUGUAUAUGUUGAUGACAUCGUCAUCUCUGGCAAUGACUCUAUGGGGAUCCUUGGCCUCAAGUCUCACCUUCAUAGUCAGUUUCAGACUAAGGACUUGGGCCCCCUCAGGUACUUCCUUAGCAUCGAACUUGCCCAAUCCUCAUCUGCCAUUGUCAUUUCCUAGCGGAAGUAUGCCUUAGACAUUUUGAUCGAGACUGGUAUGAUUGAUUGUUGCCCGAGCGAUACUCCCAUGGAUCCUCAUAUGAAGCUUCUUCCGAGUUAGGGGGAGCCAUUGAAAGACCCUGGAAGAUAUCAUCGUCUAGUAGGCAGGCUUAAUUAUCCCACUGUCACUACACCAAAUAUCACAUUUGCAGUCAGUGUGGUUAGCCAAUUCAUGAAGGAACCAUGUGAUAGUCAUUGGAAUGUUGUGAUACUUAUCCUUCGAUACCUCAAAAAUGCACCGGGUCGCGGAUUAAUAUAUGGAGAUAAAGGCAAUGCCAAAAUUGUUUGCUACUCUGAUGCUGAUCGGGCAAGAUCACCAUCAGAUAGGAGGUCCACUUCUGGAUAUUGUGUUCCCAUUGGAGGGAACUUGACUUGGAGGAGCAAAAAGCCGAAUACAGUUGCUAGAUCCAGUGCUGAAGUUGAGUACCGUGCUAUGGCAGCAACUGCAUCUGAGAUUACAUGGCUUAGGCAACUUCUCCAACAACUAAAAUUUGGAGACACUCAGGAUACUAGACUGCUAUGCGACAAUCAAACUGCUCUCCACAUUUCAUCAAAUCUGGUCUUCCAUGAGCGGACUAAACACAUAGAAAUUGACUGUCACUUUGUGAGAGAGAAGGUGCUCUUAGGAGAAAUCAUCACUGACUUUGUCAGCUCAGGCGACCAACUUGUAGACAUGCUUACUGAAUCCCUCAAAGGUUCUCAUGUUGACAACAUGUGUAACAAGUUUGGUUCAUAUAACAUACAUGCUCCAGCUUGAGGGGGAGUGUUGAAGAUAUGAUUUGAUUACUAUAAUUAGGGAAUUAUCAUUAGCUGAUAAUUAGGGAUUAUUGUCAUUAAUAGUCUUGAUUAUGUUUCCCUAAAUUGUACUGUUAUUCAAUUAUAAAUAAGAGUAUACAUGUGAGAUACAACACACAAUUACAGUAAACCUUUUCUAUAGGUUAUACAAUUACAAACGCUUUAUUGCCUGUAUGUUAGUCUUGUUGGCUUGUUGCCACAUUUUUGCUGAACAUUUAAUGUGAUAUCCCAUUUUAUAGCAACAUUGUCCAAUACUCCUAGUUUCUUUGGUCUCUCAAGGCUUUAGAAGAUGUACAUAACUACAUCUAGUUUUCUUGAACUUGUUAGUUGUAAUGUAACAUAGUAUCAGAUAUUUUUUUAUGGUUACUGCAUUCGGUCCGGUGGAAGAGGAAUUACUAACAACUGCCUCUUCAAUCUUCAUGGGGCUUGAUGGUGGUGUUAACAAUGAAUAUCUAUGCAUUUAUAUAUAAUAACGUCUUUGAAUUCUAAUGCAGCUCCUACAAUUUCUACAUCACCUAUGAAAGCUCCCCAGAGACGAGCACCUACAGCUACAUUGUCGAGUACUUCAGACAGGGGAAGGCGUUCAAACUUGCUUCUUAUUCUUGGAAUUGUCACUGGCAUACUCUUCAUUUCCAUUGUAUGUGUACUUAUACUUUGCUUAUGCACAAUGAGGCCAAAAACAAAAACACCUCCCACAGAAACUGGUAAAUAUUUCUAUUUCAAACUCCAUAUUACCUUUUAUUUUUCUUUUUUGCAUUCUCUAUAACCACCUAGUAAAGGUGAAAGCUGCUGUGUAUUAUGUUUGGUCACCUUUUUAUAUUUAGAUAUUGUAAAGGCAAUGAGUGUAGCCAUUAAAGGAGGUCAACUUGGGUUCCCUUAAACGAAAUUUUUCUCAUGACACAGAAACAAGGAGAGAAGUUCUCUGACUAAAUUAAUUGCAAUUGUUUAGGAUGAGCAUUUUCGGAGUGGAUUAUAAAAUGCUCGAAAAAAUAUUUACUGGAAUUCAAUAUGGAUGUCUACUAAUAUAUUGUGAAUUGUGAUCAUUGAUUGUGAAACUUGAUACUGUAUACAAUUUUAUCAACUGAAUCAAGAGUAGUUAUGCUAUUGUUGUAAAAUAAUGGCUGCCAGUUUUCAAGUAGUUAUAAAUCUGUUUGGAGGAAAAUAGCAAAGGCCCUUUUUAACUUAUUGAGAAACUUUUCAGGAUUUCAACCUAACUUGACUUUUUCAGCUAUUGAAAGGUAGAAAUACAUGUGACUCAAAAUGUACAUUUAAUAUUUAUGGAGAAAUGAGAUGCUGUCCAUUGAUGAACCCAUAUUAAAAGGAUGAUUGCUCUUAUCUGUUGACUGUUGCUUUGGUAUAUUGUCUUCUAGGCCUGCUACUAAGGUUUGCUCUCCUUUCUACAGAAAAGCCAAGGAUUGAAAGUGCAGUUUCUGCUGUUGGGUCUCUUCCCCACCCAACCAGUACCCGCUUUAUUGCUUAUGAAGAACUUAAAGAAGCAACAAAUAAUUUUGAACCAGCAAGUGUACUUGGAGAAGGAGGUUUUGGUAGAGUUUAUAAAGGUGUCUUAAAUGAUGGAACUGCUGUUGCAAUUAAGAGACUUACUAGUGGAGGGCAACAAGGUGAUAAAGAAUUUUUAGUUGAGGUUGAGAUGCUUAGCCGGUUGCAUCAUCGUAACCUUGUAAAACUAGUGGGAUACUAUAGCAACCGUGACUCAUCACAAAAUCUACUUUGCUACGAGCUUGUCCCAAAUGGAAGCUUGGAGGCCUGGCUUCAUGGUAAUAUAAUUUCUCAAAUCAUGGCAUCAGCUCUGUAAUCUUGAAAUGACAUGUUUUGCUUCUUCCAAAUUUACAAUAACGUUUAAGAAAGUAUUUUACUGUGCUUAAUUAAAAUUGGCCUUGAUUUGUCCUAGGUCCGCUGGGAAUAAAUUGCCCUUUGGAUUGGGACACUAGAAUGAAGAUCGCCCUUGAUGCUGCAAGAGGACUUGCAUACAUGCAUGAAGAUUCACAGCCCUGUGUAAUACACAGAGAUUUCAAGGCAUCUAACAUAUUGCUUGAAAACAACUUUCAUGCUAAAGUUGCAGAUUUUGGUCUAGCUAAACAGGCACCUGAAGGCAGAGCUAAUUAUCUAUCUACUAGAGUCAUGGGCACAUUUGGGUUAGUUUCAUUCUUUUCUUUCUUAUACUUGUUAUUUUCAUUUAAUUUAAAUUUAAGAUGAAAUGAAACUGUUAUAUAGGUAUGUAGCGCCUGAAUAUGCUAUGACUGGACACCUGCUAGUUAAAAGCGAUGUUUAUAGCUACGGCGUUGUCUUGCUGGAACUGUUGAUCGGAAGGAAACCAGUGGAUAUGUCACAGCCAUCUGGACAAGAAAACCUUGUUACUUGGGUUAGAUUCAUACCUAGACACUUACACAUUCUCAUUAAGUUCAAAAUUUCCAUUUGGAGUUUUACAUGGGAUAUACAAUAAUUUACGGGGUUAUUCUUUUCAGGCAAGGCCAAUUCUUAGAGAUAAGGACAGCUUGGAAGAACUUGCUGAUCCAAGGCUUGGGGGAAGGUACCCAAAGGAAGAUUUUGUACGUGUUUGCACUAUUGCUGCAGCCUGUGUUGCUCCUGAAGCAAGCCAACGACCUGCAAUGGGUGAAGUGGUACAAUCACUUAAAAUGGUGCAGCGGGUCACAGAAUCUCAUGAUCCUGUGUUAGCGUCAUCCAAUACACGGCCCAACCUGAGACAGUCCUCUACCACUUACGAUUCUGAUGGGACAUCUUCAAUGUUUUCUUCAGGUCCUUACUCUGGUCUAAGUACCUUUGACUAUCACAACAUUUCGAGAACGGCUGUUUUCUCUGAAGAUCUUCAUGAAGGACGAUGAAAGUACUUGGAAAGUAUGCACCCAAAGGUUUUUCCCACCAUAAUUUAGAGAAAUUUUCCUUCACAUAGCUGAAGGUGGAACCAUAACUGAAGGUGUUUUCUUGGUUACAGUGGGUAUUCUUCUGUGAUCGCUUUUGCCAUCCUCCUCGGUAAACCACCAUCCUUUCCCCCCCUAGGAGACAGUGUUUCCACGUGUGGAUGAAAUUUUGUAUAUAUAUGUAUUCUAGUUUGUUUUUCCAGAUUGGCUUCAAAAGCCUUUUUAAUUUAAUAUAUAUCUGCAUAGCUUCACUAUCAUCAUCAUAUUCAAGGACGGACAGUAUUGUUAACAGCCAAUGGCAAGUCGGGUUUCACUAUGAUUCCGCGAAAAGCCAACGCCCCUGUUGAUUUUUUUGGCUUAAAAAGAAGUGCAUAAUAUUGAUCCCAUGAAAGCUUGGGAGGAUCCGCGGAUUUUGAGUGAUGGCAUCAUUGGGGUUGCCUUUCUGCGUUAGCUGCGAUUUGUGUCUGUUGUUUGUUUACUUUCCACCGAGUAUAAAACAAGGGACACAUCAUGGGUCGGUUUCUUCAUUCAUCCAUAACUAGAUGUAUAUCUUCGCCAUUAUAAAUUUGGCUUGCAGCAGUUUUGUUUUGGUUAUAUUAAUACGUAGGUCUUUGUAGUUCUGGAAGUAUUUAACUAUAAGAUAGAGAGUCGGGGGAAAAAAAUAAGGGCUUUCCACUUUCCAUGUCAGAAAUGUCAUAUUAGUAGUAUUUAAUGAAAUUUUGAGGGUGUUAAUCAUUAAAGAUUGAAUUGUAAAUUUUAAUUUAAAAGUUUUAAACUAUAAGAACAUAAUUAAAAAUAGUGAAGCUAUAGACCAUAGGCAAAUUAAGAUAUUUCAAAUCCUUCAUUUUGGUUCCUUUCUUUUUUAGUUGGCAUUCUAUUCGGGCAUGGAAGGAAACAUGAAGCAUGUGGUCUAGAACCCAAUUCACUAAUUUUUACCAGGUCAACUUGUCCCUUUCUAUAUUAUGCAAGAACGUGUGGGUGACAUUCAAUCAACAUCUUUCAAGCGGAAUAGAAACAACGGCUACCAUGCCAAAAUUUGCGCGCAAAAUCCCAAGAAUAAAAUUAUAAAACCCCAUCCCAUACUUGGAACACAAACGCAGUCCGAGUUUGUCCAUUGUCUCUACUCUUAGAACGCGCGCUUCUAAAGAGAAGAGACAAUGGAUCACUUGAGAUUCAACAAAACCACCCUUGUCCUCAUCGGAACCCUCUCUUGCCUCCUCCUGUCCAUCACUGCCGUCCCCUCAACUCGCGUCUUGGAACUCGCUCCCAGCGAAGCCCCCACCGCGGAGCCUAUAGCCUCCGGCAUCAGCCUCUUCGACAAUCUUCUUGCCAAGGAAUCAAGCCCCAUGAUUCUGAAAUUCUGCACCGGCACCGAGAACCCCACCCUCUGCGCCGAAACCAUUGCACCAUACCUAACCGGCACAUUCGACCCGAUCCAGGCGCUAGAGACCGAGAUCAACGCGACCCUGGAGAAGGCGGAGGAGAUCGCCGGCAACAUCAAGAAGAUGCUAGACGACCCGACCACGACGAAGAACGCCAUGGACGCGUUGGGCAUCUGCCAGUCGCAGUACGAUAACAUUCUAGAUAACAUAAAGGAGACUGUGGAGUUGGUGGGGAACCAGAACGUGGUGGAUGCUUGGUACAGGUUCAGCUCUGUCCUUUCGUACAAAGAAGCAUGCGAGGAUGCUUUCAAAGAGUCUCCCGGGGUCGACAUGCCCUUCCCUGAAGAUAACACCAAGCUGUUCCAGUUGAGCGGCAAUUGCCUCGCCGUCAUGGACGGCAUUGUUAACAAUCACAAGAUGUAAAUUGUCGUGUGAGAGAGACAGUGGGUGAGAUCUAGAGAACAAUAGGUCCUUAUUAUUACUAUUAUUAACCACACGCGUUGAUUAACAACUCUGUGUGUGCAUGCAUGCAACAUUGUUUCUUGUUUCUGAUGAGACAGUACUGUUAUCUUCGUCAAUACGUACCACCUAUCUGUUUUGCAACUUUGGAUAACAUAUAAAUUAUUAAUCCCUCCAACAGGCUAUAAACAUCAGUUCAUUAACAAAUUUAAGUAUAUUUAAGGAUUUUAUUUAAAUACGCUGCAACAGUAGUGAAAAGAUAAUAGGUUUUCCCUUAAUUUCCGCAUCACUUGACACGGUGUCCAUUCUCUCUAACAAAUUUUGACGCCAAUCUCUCUCUCUCUCUCUUCCUUGCAUGUUACAUAUGCCUAAGUAAAAAUGAUUUUUACAUUCUCAUCAAAUGAUAGACGUUUUUGUAGGUUAAGUAUUAUUGAUUUUUUAAAUAGCUACCUAAAUAAUCUGUGUAGAACGUCAAUUUCUUGUGUCCCUGCUCCCUGGUCCUAAGUCAAGCAAAAUGGCCAAGAGUUCAGCAUGAAUGCUGGAAGCAAUACCGUGCAAAAUAUUCAUGAUUUUAUUGGAUUGGGUGAAAUUAUAUAGAGAGGGAUUCGAACCUUUAACCAUUUCCAUCAUCUAUUUUCUAGCUUUUCACUAAAAUCCAAAAAUCAUAAACAAUUAAUAGUUCUUUUAAUUUAAUUAUGUUUUAUUAUUUUGUUGGAACCUUGGUAUAUAUACUUUCACCUUAGUUGUGAGGUUCCCGAAAUGGAGUUAAGUAAUUAGUGAAGAAAUUGCAGCGCUUGAGGCCAACAAUUAAUAAAUGGACCAUUGUUUCCCCUUCUACCUAAUAAGCAAAAAAACUGGUUGAAGAUAUGGACCUACAAUACAAAAUACAAUUGAAUGGAAGCUUAAACAAACACAAGGUCCAAUUACUAUAGCCUUGGCUACAACGAGCAAGUUGGGAUAAACUUUGUUGAGACUUUUUCAUCUAUCACGGCUAAAAAAAAAAAAAAAUUAAGUUGAUUUUUUGACAUUUUUUGAGAUAAUUUUGAAUAUUUUGAAUUUGUCACCUGAAAUAGGUUUUUAAGCCAUCUUAAAAAGUAGGUUUCUACAUCGGUUUUGACGACCACCGUCUUAGAAUGUCUUUUUGCUUUAAAAAUGUAAAAAAUUGAAGAUUCGAAGAUAAUUUUUUUUUAGAAAGGAUGUUUUUUUAUGUUUUAUUUUUUUUAAAUAAUUAUUUAUUUUUUUUACAUAUAGGCCUGAAGGUAGAUUAGACCAUGUUUUAAACCUGUAUAAUUCUAAUUUAGUAGUGUAUAAUUGUUUAAAAUAAAUAAACCUAUGGCACUAAAAACUAAACUUUAAGAGUAUAGGGACCAAAACCAUAAUUAUUAAGAUUAGAGUGACAAAAAAUAUAUUAGAAUCAAAUACAUAUAUGUUUCAUUACACCAAUCCAAAUACAAUAUUCUCUCCAAUGGUUAAAUAUCUUCAUUGGGUAUCUUCGCAUCAAAGUUUCAUUACACCAGAGUUUAUGUAAUUUAAUUGGUGCUCUAAGUAAAUCAUCUAGAUUCCUACACAACUUUUUUAUACUUGACAAAGUAUAUUUAAUUCAACUAUGGAAUGAUAUUAGCCUUAGGGAGCUAUAACCACAAUCUUGCCUGAGCAAUUACCAAACCGAACAAAGUAACCAUUUCCCUGCAAAACAAGAAAUUUAAAUGUUAUCAUAAUAUUUCAAGUUUUACAAUUAAUAAAUAAGAAAGAUGAGGAACUAUAUCAUGAAUAUAAAAGUUUCAAUGUGAUGAAGAAAAAAAAGUGACUAUCAUGCCUCAGCUAAAAGCAAACAAGUAUGUCACAUCAUUUUAAAACAAUCACAACAAUCUAAUUUAGAGGUAAUAGUUUUAUAAAAGAACACUAUGAUGGUGAUACAUUGGUGCACCACCUAUUAUUUAGUUGAUGGUUGACCCUAGAAUUCACUAUAGAAGGAAAACAAAGGAAUUAUCCUCACCAUGUGCUAAAAAAACCCACAAAAAUAUGGUCAUGGAGGGAAAUAGGGAUGGAUCUGACCAAAGACAUCAAAAGAAUACAAUUCGUGGUAGCUUCUGCUGUUAUAAUUAUGUUCUGAUGAGUUACUUUUAUAUUCUAGAGUAUAUUUUGUCCUCCUAAUCAAGAACUUCUUCUCCUUUCUUUCAUGCUUAGUUUUAAUCACCUUAUGAGAAAGACUUAAAAUGCAAAAAGCUUCCAAAAGAAACAUUGAAGCCACCAAUGGCAUUGAAAGCAUAAAAUAAUUAACAACCUACAUCCUCCAUGAGUGAAAACAAAACCGUCCAACCUUAAAAACUGCAUGUAGAAUAGAAAAAUCCAUCUUCCCUUUAAAACCCAUACAUCCACAUCCUUUACAUCUAGCAAUCUAGCAUCAUAACUAUUUCCACAAUUACAACAUCCAAUAUUUGGUUACACUAAACAAGGCAACCUAACUAGGAAAUAAUUACACAAAUUCUUAACAUAACAAAGAACUCUUUACAAAUUUUACAUACAACCAUAUUUAUAAUCCAAAUACAUAGUUCUUAAAACACAAAAGUGUUAUGUUAGACCUCCAGUUACCUAUGUAUGCACUAGAAAGAAGAAUCACAAGAGCCACGACAGGACAAUGAUGAGCAAGAAUAAAAGAGAAUUGGAUUUAUCUUCUUAUAACUUAAUGUUUAAGUUGAAUGAGUAGAACUAGGGAUUAUAAUAGAAUAAUUAAAAAAGAUAAGGGAGUUUGUUAUUGGUGAGUUAAUUAAUCUAAAGGGGAAAGCUAAGAAAAAGGGAGCAGAGGUAUUGAUUUGGAAUGGAGGUUUCAGUCCCUUUAAGUGUUGUUUGUAUAGUAUUUCCAUUAUUUUUCUAUCUUGUUAUCAAUUCCUUGUUAUUGAUCUACCUAAUAGCGGCAGUAAGGGGAUUUUUCUAUUAUAAAUUCAAAAAAAUACCAAUUUCCUAUCUAUUCUCAUUACUUGAUUCCUAAAUGUUAGAAGUCGAAUACAUAUUAACAGUAAUACCCAAACCAAUAUCACCCACCAAUACCGAGGGGAAAUCCAUAACAAAAAGUACAUUAAGAUCUCAUAUGAAUGGCUUAUUCAUCUCAAAAUAGGUCCAGAAACAUACUUGCAAGACACAAAUUAACACUACAAAAUGUGACCACAUGUUAAAUAACAUCUAUACACUUACAUUUUCCCAGCAAUAUCCCAGAUACUAAAACAAGUAAAUCAGCACGUACCUCCCAAUCAAGUUAAUGUUUAGCAAUUUCAUAGUCAGUAAGAAGGGACACUGUACACUCCAAAAGCGACAGUUCAUUAGUAUCAGUCAAUUGGAAAACUACCUUCUUUCAAUUGUAGAGCUGCCUUGUCAAGAAACCUGAUAUAUAAAAUGAAUGGGAAUGGAUUCAACUGUUUUAUAAUCAAAUAUAAAGUAAUUGAUAUGAACAUAUAAAGACAAAUUUCUCACACCUAACUAAGAGUAUCUCUAAUAGUAUAACAGUGGUAGAAUUACUUAAAUUAACUUUUGACCAGGAUUUUUUUUAAUGAUAUUUAUGAAUUUAAAAUAAGUCCUACAAUUCUUAAGAAUUCUAUUUGGAAUAUUACUCGUCUAAGCAAUGAUUCUUAUAUAAGAAUUCUCAUCUCAAUUGCUUUAAUGGUAAAACUACAUAACAACUUAUUCUUAAAGAUUAAGAAUUUCAUAAAAAAAAACUCUCAUUGGACAUGUUCCAAGGUAUUGGUUCCAAGUGCCACUUUGGUUACUUACUAGAAUCAAUUGUUUCCAUUAUGGUACAUAUUUUGAUGUAGUAUCCUUUAGCAAUUCAAAAUUAAAAUUUAAAAUCUAAGUAGUUAAACUAUAGGAAAUUGUGUGUGUGUGUGAGAGAGAGAGAAAUUAAUGUUAUGUUUCUCCCCAGAAAUCAUUCGUGUGAGCAAUCUUUUGACUUCCCUUGAUAACAGACUGCCUAACAGGAACCUCAUACAAGCCUAUGAACUCAUUGCUACCAAAAGAGGCCUUUCUCUUUCUAAAUGUAGCAACCAAGACUUGAGCAACACGAGUAAGAGAGCUACCUCCUAACAACCUGUGCCUGUACAAUGGAGUGCCUAUGAAGAAGACCAUGCUAGAUAUUUUAUAUAAAAUUAGAUAAAUUUCAUUUUUUUUAAAUAACUCACAAUAAAACCUAAGAUAAGUUUGGAUUCAUCAAAAAGUGAAAGAAAAAAGAGAGAUAUUUCUAAAAGUAAUAUAGAACUUGAUAUUAGUAUUAUUCUAUUGUACUCUGUUUUCUAAUGAACUUUAUUACUACAUGUGUUGUUCCAUGGGUCUAAUCAUGAAAGAGGAACCAUUAUCAUAUCGCAAGAUAGAUUGUAGUGAAGAUGGCUAUGGUCCAAUAGUGUCCAAGAUAUGCAUCGACUAGAAAACCAUCGAGCACGGAGGAAACUUGUGAUAUUCCUAAGAACUUGUAAAAGGUCUAUGCAUCACAUAAAACAUAAAGGCCACCAAUACAUAACAGCUACAAGGGUUUCAACCUUGAAGAAUUCCCGUUCAACCUCUUUGCAUUUGGUAACGGUAACGAAAUUGGAUCCAAAGAAAAUGUGAGUAACACCUGCACAAUAACAAGAAGCACAGAGGAAUCAUAUUGAAUCCCUAAACACGAAAAGAAAAGAAAAUAAAAGAAAGAGAUUGUCGAUUGUGAAGGCUGAUUUAGUGAGGGGAGAAUUGAUGGUGGAACUUCUAACUUUUGUGACAGCUUUUUUGCACUGUGAAUUUGAAUCGACGACGACGUACUCUGGCGCGAUGUUCCAAAAGUUAGCGCUGAACUCCAAUGACGAUGACCAUGGAGGUGGGAGGGGACGACAAAUCUGCAACUUUGAAUGGUAGAUCUACAAACUUCUUUGGCUAGAUUUGCGGCUUCUCUAACUUGUGGUGGAGUUGGGUCAGUGUGAGAAAGAGAGAGAUGCAUGAGAGACUGAGAGAGGAUGAGCCAAAGGCAAUGAUAGCAAAAAUGGGAAGGCAGCACUUGAUUUGAAAGACGGUUUUUUAAAAAUGGUCUUUGAACAGUUGCUUUUAAAGAUGAUUUUUAUAGGACUGUCGUUAAAUAAUUUUAAUUAUUUAAAAAAAUAUCAUCAUGUUUAUGGUGACAACAAACGUCUUUGAAUUAGUUUCUUUGAAGGUGAUUUUUGUAGUAGUGUAUGACAAAGCUUACAACUGUGAGAGUUCUCUUGUCACUUGUCACUUGUUGAAUAGAAAAAAUGAUCUUUUUUUUAUCAGCUGAAAAAAUGGUCUGUUAUUAAACAUUUAAACCUGAUAUCCACAAGACCUUAAAUGGAAACCAUUUUUAGGAGAUUUACAUGGACUACCUCUCAAAUGUUAAAAGGGAGAACCCAAUUAGCAAAUUGAACAAGUCCCUUUGUGGACUCGCUCUACUACUGAUUAUUUAUUUACCCAAGGUUCUAGUCCCACAUUUCUGCUUGUGUAAAUUGAUGAUAUUAUAAUAACAUGUCCAGAUCAAUGCCAAAAAAAACUAACAUGUCUAGAUCCAUCAAUAAUAAGUAUUACAAUCACAAAACUAUUGAAAAAUACUUUCAAACUAAAGAUUCUUGGUGAUCUCAAAUUUUCCUUGGCCUAAAAAUAAUUGAGUCCAACAAAGGAAAUCACCUUUGCCAAAUUGGAAAUACAAUAUUGAGUUGUUAAAAGACAUGUUUUGCUUCUGCUAAUGGAUCGUAAUACAAAACUUAAUGACAUUGAUGGAAAUGUUCUAUCUUACCCUUCUUAGUAUUGUAGUUACUUGGCAGAUUGAUGUAUCUCACCAUUUCAAGGUCUGACAUCACAUAUGUUAUCAGCAACUAAGUUAAUUCAUGUGCAAUUCAAGGACUUUUCACUUGCAAGUUGUUCAAUGUGUUUUAUAGCACCCCUUAAGGUUUCUCCUAGCCAAAGAAACCUAUAUCCUACUCACUCCUCUACCAAAUCACUAUUUAUGUAGAUGCUAAUUGGGGUAACUGUUAAGUAAUUGGAAAAUCUAGUAUUGAUUUUGCAUUUUCCUUGGUGCUUUCAUAGUUUCUUUUAAGUAAAAAAAAUUACUAUGGCUUAAUCAUCUGCAGAAGUAGAGCACAUAUCAUUGGCAUGUCUUACUAGUCAGUGAAGUACUCCCUUUACUACAAUAAUUGCUCAGGUCAUUUGAAUUUCAACUACCAAUUAUCCUGGUUCUUUUGUGACAACAAGUUUGUUAUACAACUAGUCAUUAAUCCUACACCCAAUGAAAGGACCAAAUAUAUUGACAUUAAUUGUUGUUUCAUUAGCCAAUAUGUCAAUUUUGACUUUCUCAACCUACUUGUAUAGUUUCCAUCACAACAACAGUUAGUCGAUAUCCUCACGAAGGCUAUGCCACAUUCACAUUUCUAUGAUCUCAUUCUUAAGUUGGGAGUUACGGACAUUUAUCUCCCAACUUGGGGGAGAGUGUUAUAAUUAGCAUGAGAUUGUUAAUUAAAGGGCAAUUAUCUUUUAUCAAAUGAUACGUCCACCGUCUUUGACAAUCUAGAAACUUGUUUUGAGUCACCUUUAAUAUUAAUAGGUAUUUACUUUCAAUCAUAUUUUUUCUAUCUACAAAGUUUGAACAAGAUUAGUAUCACUCAGACCAAUAGCAUGUUAAUUAUUUUUUCCUUACCACAAUGUUGGUACGAAGUUAUCUCAUGUCAAAAGCGGAUGACAAAUCUCCAUCGAGGACUCUGUAAGCACACAAAAAGUAAGUAUUUUUCUAUCAAUAUGAUUUAUUUUAUAUCCAAAGAUCAAUCAAAAUUCAAACUUUAAAUAACUUGAUUUAGGCACACAAGUUGCCACCAAUUAUGCCUACCAUUUCUUGGUCAAUGUAUUAGUUGUUAAUAGCUGUGGUUAACUCGUGCACAUUUGAAUAUUAUAUUUUUUUAAAUGUAAAAUAGUAUAAAGCUUUACGAUGAAGAAGUAUUUUUCGCUAGUUUAUAAGUUAUGAUUCCUUUUUAAUUUUACAUUUUCUAUUUAUUAUAGUUAUUCUUUUAUCCUUCUUAUGUUAAAAAAAUCUUAACAUUUCUCCUUACUUGUACUCUCAUCAAAUUUCAUCUCUUUAUAAUAUAAAUCAUCAAAACUAUACAAUAUAGUUUUCAAGAUACUAAUCCGUUCAAACUAUCUCAUUCCAUUUAGCAAAAAUGUUUUAAAAUAAGCAUAAAAAAUAUUAUUCUAAUUUUCAAGAUGGAAAAUUAUUUGAAAUCAAUAAAAAUAUAAAAAGGUGAUAAUUAUUUCAAGAAACGUAAAUUUACCAAAUUUUAUGUUAUGGCCAGAUAAUUAAAGAUAUCUUUCUAUGUAAUUUUACACAUUAACUAAUUUUACUAAAUACUUUCAACUAGUUUUACUAAAUAAUUUUACACGUAUUUUAUUUAAUAAUUUAAAUUCCUAAUUUAUUUCUUACUAAAUUAUAUUGUCAAAUAGAAUAAAGAUCUUAAGAAAACGAAAAAAAAAGAAUAAGAUAUUUUUGUAUAAUGAGAUUUAUGUUUUUUUUUUUUUUUAAAUGUGAGCUUGAUUGCUUGAUAGGUACAAGGUUAUUAGCCGUAUCGCUCGAGACUUUCCCACAAACAAAAAGCACUGAAUUAAGUUCACUGUCGACAAGUUUCGCCCCAACACUCAACUCAGCUCGCUCUUGUUCUUCUUCUCCAUUAUCAAACGAAGUAUAGAUAUCAUAUCAUUGCAGCUUCAUUUUCAUCCACCAAUUAACUAACAAUGGCGCACACAUCCCUUUUCACUCCCUCUUCCUCUCUUAGGUUCAACCCUCUUCUUCUUACCUCCACCCCCUCUUCUUCUUCUUCUUCUCGCUCCAACAACCUUUCUUUCCCCGCUCUCUCCAGGUAUUUUCUUUUUUUUAUUAAUUUGUUUAUAGCACCCCAUCAACUGCGGUGUUUAUUUUAGCUGAAUUUGAAUUAGAAUUUGCCUUAAAGUUUACAUUUUGAUGAAUUAUCCAUGAGUUUGUGGCUUUUCGACUUGUUGGUGUUGGAUUUUUUUAUUUUAUUUUAGAGAAUUCAAGUCGCCAGAUUCGUGGAAGAUGACCCUAAGUUUUUUAUGCUAAUGGAUAGGGGUGAAAGUGAGAUUUUUGCGUCACUUUUAGGUUAUGCUUCGAAUUGAAAAAAAAAAUAGAUUCAUAAAAAUGUUAUGAUAAUUUCGAAGUUGUUAAUUCUUAAGCCUGGCCCAAAUGAUUAAUCUAGAUUCUAGGGUAUGCUAUUAUCCACCUUUUAUUAGUACUUAAAUUUCUCCUUUUUUUUAAAAAAAAAAUGGCAAUUGAACAUGGAAGAGACUAGUAUAUUCUCUGUUAUGCUGGAUAUAUUUAUGUCUAUAAAGGGGAUGUAGCCUUGCUUUGAUUUGCAGGAACCUAAGGAAAUCGGUAGAAGAUAGAAAGAUUAACAAAAAAUCUGCUGUGAAAGCAGUGUAUGGUGAUGAAUUUUGGACACCUGAGAGGAGUUCACGUCCGGGUAUUUGGUCUAUAAGGUAGAUUUUAUUUUGUUAUUUGUUUAUCUUGUAGCUUAGUCUUGUUUAUUGACUUGGAUAGUGUUCUUGAAGGAGUGAUUUGCAAGUCCCAUCUUCCCCUUAUUUCCCUACCUAUGCACAAGGGCAAGGGCCACCCCCCAUGGUUGCCGAGCGUUUCCAGAGUGUUAUAAGUCAGCUUUUUCAAUAUGUAGGCAAUAUUUUCCUCUUGCUGUUACUUAAUGUUGAUUAUUCUGCUUCUGUUUAAUCUUUCUAGUAUUAAUAAUGCAUUUUGGUAUUUAGAGAAUAAUUCGGUGUGGUGGAGCAGUUGAUGACGAUAUGGCAAACAUCAUAGUUGCUCAGCUCCUGUACCUUGAUGCUGUUGAUCCUAACAAGGUUUGUUCUUAGAUUUUAGUCAUGGAAAACUCAUGGUUCCAUUUAUCUUCUUAUAUCGUUAUCUAUAUAAAGUGAUCUUAUGCUUUUCUAGAGAUGAUGCCAAAUGUUUUUAUUUCAGUAUUUCUGUAUUUUGAUAUGAUUAGUAUUGAGGUUUUUGUUUUUUUGUUUUUAUCUUUUGUAUCAUGUGAUGAAUUCAAAAUUUUCUUGUGCAUGCACUUAGUCAACUACCAAUUUUCUGAUUAUGUUGGGCAGGAUAUUGUCAUGUAUGUAAAUUCUCCAGGAGGGUCAGUUACAGCUGGUAAUAAUUUUUUAGUUAAAACUAUCUUGCAUUGUCUUUUAUUAUUAUAUUAUAUUCAUCUACAUGGGCUGAAAAUAUAUUGUAUCUCAAAUAUUAAAAUGCUUUCUUUGUUAUUCUUUUCCCCUUAGGAAUGGCAAUAUUUGAUACAAUGAGGCAUAUCCGACCUGAUGUGUCUACUGUUUGUGUUGGAUUAGCGGCUAGGUAACCUUUUUAUUCUUUCUCUGGGCAAUAUUACCUUAAUGCUGACAAGUUACCACCAGUAGAAAGCUAAAAGUUUUAUCCUAACUUGAUCUUGAUUCUUGAUGUAAGCCAGCAGAACAUGUUGAUUUAUUUAUUUAUGCUGAAUACUGGGAGAAUUAUGAUGAUUAAUUAUCAAUUAUCUUAAAAUUUUCCCUUCCACACUGUAUCAUAUCUAUUUUCUGUUUUUUAAAAAAUAGUUAUUUCUUUAAUAACUAUGUGAUUCUAUGGUGGUAGUAGUAAAUGGUGUGGUUUAAAAGGACAACAAAAAAAAAAGGAUGGAGUAACUGAAUGUUAAGAUGAACAUAUGACUACACAAGAAAGGAUAAGAUACAAAUGAUUAUAUACUUUGGUACUGAUUAAGGAAAAGAUGACAAAAUAUCAAUUGAAGUGGAUUGAACACGUGCCAAGAAGGUCACUGGAAGCACCAAUGAGGAGAGUAGAUUACAUGUUUUUUAGCCAUGUGAGAAGGGGGAGAGGAAAACCAAAAAGGCGAUUGGAGGAAAUUGUUAAAACUUAAAAGGAAUCUAAUGAUGAAUAAUAUUCUUUAGAAUUUAGUCUUUAACCAAGCCCAAUGACAUCAUGCAAUCUAUGUAGCCAACCUCACCUAGCAGGAUAAAACUUUAGUUGUUUAAUAACAUGUGAUAACAUUUUUAUUGGUAUUUCUUUAUUUUGGAUGGUUGACCCCUUAACCUUUUUUUCAUUGUGAUAACAUCUUGCAUCUGUGAAUGAUAUAUUUUGAUUGAGUUCACUCAAGCUUCAGGAGUAGCCAAAUGUCAAUCUUGAGAACAAAUAGUUUACCUUUCUUCCCAUGUAUUUAAAGUCUACUGCAUUUCAUUUUAGAAAAUCUACUCCAUUUGUAAUUAUCAUGUGGUGAGUUAUAGCCUUUUUCCAUUUGAGAAAGUAAAGGGGGAGUGGAGUUGUGUGAUUUGCCCCUUUUUUUUUCCUUUUACCUUCAUAUCGAGAAAUAUGGGACUGGCAUGAAUGCUGAAGAUAAUAUUAAGUAUUGACUAACUUUUGAACUAAAAAUAUUAGGUUUUGCCUUUGAAAAAUAUCCUUAACCUUCCAUGAAUUAAAAAUAUUCAUCUAUAUUGAUAAUUUGUCAAUGAAAAGUUAUUAUAGUUGAUUGUAUACUACAGGUGUUAUUUUUUUUUCCUGUUUGAAGAAAUUUUAUUUUCCAUUUGUACUUAUGUAGACCUUUUAAUCUGCAGUAUGGGAGCUUUUCUGCUGAGUGCAGGGACAAAAGGUAUUCUUUUAACAUGCAAUCAGUGUAUCCAUCCCCCUAUCCCCUCUCUCUUUCUUUGUUGAUGAAUGUCAUUUUCACCUCUCGAAAAUAAGAAAAAUGCUUCUUUCUAACUUUAUAUCCCUUCCUCUUUCACUUCUGAAGGAAAGAGAUACAGCUUGCCAAAUUCAAGGAUAAUGAUUCAUCAACCGCUUGGUGGUGCUCAAGGAGGGCAAACUGACAUAGAUAUUCAGGCAUGGGCCUCAGUUUCCUCCUUUUAUUUUUUAUUGGAUAAAUCUCAUGUUCCCUUCAUAAAAUUUAUAAUUUUAUUUACUUGUAUCAUAGAAAAUUAAAGCCUAUCUUAGGGUAGCACUUAAUUUAAACCUCAUGUUCACUAGUUAAUUUAAACCAAGAUGAAUGCCCUAAUCAUCUAGUGAAUUUCCUAAUAACCUAAAUUUAUGUAUAAAAAUACCCGUAGUGAAUUUGCUAUCCAAAAUUCCAAACAUUAUAUUAUUCCAUACUCUUAAUAUUCCUAUGAUUUAUUUCCUAUAUUAUCCUGCUAUUAUAUUCCAUUCCCUACUACUAUACAUUUGGAUUUAGCCAGCAUUUGGUUAGAUUGGAUCGAGUCAGACAGUCCAAAAGUUUUGAUUACGAACAGCAUUACAAUAAGUGACACCGUCCAUGACCUUACCAAGGGAGACCGAAGGAUUGGUUUAUCACUUUUUUGUACAAGUAUCAUAAAUUCAUAAUUCUGUUAUAAUAGUCCUUGUUCAAGAAAACUGAUUGCACUUCAAAAUUCUCAGGCUAAUGAAAUGCUGCAUCACAAGGCAAAUCUGAAUGGAUAUCUCGCCUAUCAUACCGGCCAAAGUUUAGAUAAGAUCAACCAGGAUACAGACCGUGACUUUUUCAUGAGUGCAAAAGAAGCCAAGGAAUAUGGACUCAUAGAUGGAGUCAUUAUGAAUCCUCUCAAAGCUCUCCAGCCAUUAGAGGCUGCAGCAGAAGGUAAAGAUCGGGCUAGUGUUUGAGCAUAAGAUUGUUGCACUUGAAUUUCCAAGGUAUAAAAAGUCAGUAUUAGACUGUAAAAUGUUUUUGGUUGCUGAGUCCAACUGAUUUUUUUUUACGGAUGUUGAUAUCUGUGUCCAUGUACCAAAAAUGAGGCGAAAUUGAUACUAUUUAUUUACUGCUUUAGAGUUUAUACUGACAGAAGGUUCUUUAAUGGAUCCUGCAUUUGCUUUUUCCUUCUAGCAUUCUUUUUACAAAUGGGACAAUAGUGUUAACUGUUGAAAAAGAAAUGUUUGCUUUACACAAGGUAGUGAAAAUGGUACGAACCAACAAUGAUUAGUUACAUGUACUCACUGUUUUGUUUAAAUAACGAAACUAUAGGCCGCAUUUCUUGUUAACUUUACGAUACUAAUAUCAGAUAGUGUUAGCAUUGACUUUGAAUUUUAGCUAGUAGUGAUUUAUUGAUAUAUUAUUUGUUGGAACUAGGAAUAUAUCGUGUCAAAUAGUGUGAAUCAAAUUUUGUACACUUUUUGAACUUUUGAUUUUAUCGAAGUGCAGAAUUUUCUCAAUUCCAAGUGCUUGUAUUGUGUUGAUUCAUUUUGAGCCGAAAAAGAAAUCUUAAUACCGGGUUUCACAUAAAUUGGACAUAUCCACUGCACGUGACAAUUGGAGUUUUAGCAAAAUCAUUGAACUAAGAAAUAUUUGUGACCGAAAAGAAACGCGGUGUCCACCCCAAGAUAUCGAGAAGAACUUUCCACCUUUGCUUCUUUCUCACUAUCAACAUUCUUCUUUGAAAUCUGUAUUAAUCAUUGGUAGUUGAGACUUCAAAAAAAGUCACCUACUGCUGACAGACACUCUCCAUCGUCAAGUUUCAUCAGUUACAAUUGCAUGCACGAUAAGCGUUAAAAAUAACAUUUAUUAUUGAUCUUAAUCACAUCAAUACCAUUAUUAAUAUCUUUUAAAGUCUUAAGAUUCUAAAUAUUUUUUAAUUUUAGAAUAAAAAUAUUUGUACUUAUUUUUUUAUUUAGCUAUACAACUUAUGAUCUUUUUUUUUUAUUUUCUUAGUUGUGCUUAAGUACUUUAAAACUAAAUUUCCUUUCAUUUUAUUUGUUUACCAAUAACUUAUCGGUCCGAAUGGUCUGGGCUGGCUUAAUUAUAAUUUAAUUUGAUCUUUUUUUCUUUGAUAUUAUGAUACUUUUUAAAUAUUUUUGUGCGACACUAUCAUUCUUCAUAAAAUUAAGAAUGAGUUUAUUCUGAAAUCAUUUUUCACUAAUUAUUCUGGAACCAUACACGAGCUUAUGCAAAUUUAUCAGGGCCUGCCCUUCGUCUAGAACAAUCAAGCAUCAAUGUGUGUGUGUGUGUAUAUAUAUAUAUAUAUAUAUCUCCUCAUUGUUGAAUAAUGAUUCACGAAUCGUUUAUGCACGUAUGUUACGCGCACCUACCAGCUACCACAUGUAAUAAUUCCCCUUAUCGAAUUAUAGGAAAUUUUUUCAAGCCAGUACUUGUAAUAUAUAUUUCUUUCUUUUAAGUAGCACGAACCAUCUUUGUAAGUCUAUUUUUUAUGAUUUCAAAAUAUUAUUGAAUUAAAACAACAAAGAAAUUACCAAAGGAAGAAAGUCAACGGCAAGAUAGUAGACAUUUAUUGUAAGUUGAGUCACUGAGGUAUAUCUAUAAUUUUAUAUAUAAGGAGAACCCUAAUCGUGUCUAAGGUAUACACGAUUCUUUAUGCUGAUUAUUUUUUUUAAUCAAUCGACACUCUUAUAUACUAAGACUUAGUAUUUUUUGUUUAAUACUUUUCAAGGAUAAUAGUCAAUCGUCUACAUUAGAGAAGUGAGUUCUUGUAAGCAUCUUUAUCUAUAGAACCCAAUGGUGAUGUGCUGUGUGUACUGCCUUAGGUGGAGCAUGAAGCUUGUUUGCAAAUUGCUAACAAGCAUCGCAACACUUUAACAAACUUAGUGUAAUGUAGUUGACCUAUAAAGUGCAUGUUUGGUUGUGGUGGAUGAAGCUUGAAAAAGUAUGCUUGUAAAAGUCACCCCUUCAUUACCUUUUUAUCUCAUCGUGCUUUUAGGAGGUCUGGAUCCGCACUGACGCCCACAUAUUCUCAAACGCAUUUUCUUUCUUGAUUAGUUUAUCAACCUUGUCCAUUAUUUGAUGAACCCCUAUCUUUUUAUAGGAAAAUAGAAGUAGUACAUAAAUACAUUAAUUGAUAUUUUUUUCAUAAUUUUAUUUAACUAUGGAAAAUUGAAGGAAAAAAAAAAGACACUUUUCUGAUGAUACCACCAAUUGUCCAACAAGUUUCGUGAAUUAGGUAAUAAAUCUUUCGAGUUAUUAUUUGGCAUUACAGGGAUGUUGGGACGCAUAGCAUAGAAUCUAAGUCAGUUCAGAUGAGAUGAGAGAAUGUGUUUCUUAUCUACUGUGGCCCAGAUCACCCAACCUAACACUAACAGGAUAGCCUUAUUUGAUUUCCUUUUAUAUUUUUAUUAAACAAUAAUAAGCACUUUCUUGAGUUUUGCUUUCAUGUGUAAACCCUUCUCAUAUUUUUAUACAAAUAAGUUGUUCACACAUUGAUUGGAGUUGUCAUAAUUUUUUUAAGAAAAAUAGUCUAUAUACUCUUAUGUUAAAUCUGUAUUGUGAUAACAAAGUUUGAGCAAAUAUCACUUUUCAUAGGGAGUCUUGUGGAAUUAGAGUUUCACCGAAAUUAAGAUUUGUAGUUAUUAGUGGACCAUUUUGUUGUUUGUUUUGUUAUUCAAAGAUAUUUCAUUUAACUUACUUAUCAAAUGUUAAUUGCCAGAAAAUGUCAAACCAACUAUAAGCAGCAGAGGAAAAUAAAAAAUCCAUACGAAUCUCCUUAUUGUUAGUUUACUUAUAAAUUUUAAACUCUCUGGAUUGCGACAACCAUUAUUGUGGAGACAAAGCCCUUUUCAACUUAGCAAAGCGGGUGAAAAUAUAACGCCCUCAGCAGCGUUGAUGAAUUGAUCAGACUACAUUAGCUGGUUUAGUUUCACUUUAACAGCAGAAGAACGUAUAGUUCAGUUGGUUAAAUAAAGAUGUGUGAGUUGUUAUAAACCUCCUUAUAUUAUUUUGAUCUUUAAUGAUAAAAAGAAAUUUUUGUUUUAAGUUUUAAAACGUCAAGAAAUAGCUUAGUUUGGUCGAGUUAGGAUGCGUAUGUUAUUAUAAAUUUUUUAAUAUUAUUUCUAAUUCUCAAAAAUAAAAAUAAAAAUUUGUUUUAAAAAAUCACUAAUUCAAUUUGACGGUAGUUUGAAAAGGUUAUAUUUAGAUUGAGUCAAAUUGUAUUAUUGAUUUUUUUUUUUAUCUUUAUGUUCUAACUUUCAUAAUCCAUCAAGUUGGUACAAGUACAUAUUUACAAUAUUUUUUUAAUUCGCCAGAUUUGCGUAUUUUAUUCGGAUGGGUGAGAUCCUUAUUUUAUUACAGGAUUUUUCCUUUUAAAAAAUUAAUGGCGAUCAAAAUCAGUUGAUCUAUAUCGAUUCCUAAUUUAUACAAUCUGAGUAUUAUUUUGAAGUAUUGUAAAUCUUUUUCCUUUACGAAAUAUUAAAUGGAAUAUAACCAACUGCAAUUAUUAUAAUAAACUAUUAACAUAAAAAGAUUGGUAUUUAUUUACAUAAAGUUUGAUUUAUAGGUAACCUUUUUUGUUUGGUGAAAUGUAAAGGAGAAAGGAGUUGAGUUGGAUUUGGCGUAGCUCAGUACUUAAAUAUUUGACUCUGUUUACCGAACGGCCUAAACUGUGUCACUGAGUAUAGAUCCCUACUUCCAACUAAAUAUGUAAAUGAGAUACUAUUCCGAAUCCCAUUAGACUUAGCAACUUCAACUACAACUAUCUAAUUCAAGCCAAAAGAAAUAGAAUUUGGUUCUUAAUUAAUGUUUAUGGUAACUUCAGGUACGGUUCAAUAUGACGACAGCCAUCAUUUUCAGAUAAACUCGAGACUACAAGAUACCGCAUUACUAUCUUCAAUACUAAUAAAGCCAAUAUUAAAAUUUAUGGUAUGACAACAUAAAUAGACAGGAUACAAUUUGUCAUGCAAAUGUACAUAUUGAAUGCCGGAAAAAAGACCUAUAAUUAAUAACAUUAUAGCUAUAUUAUUCUAUUAGUAAAUCUGAGUGAAUCUAAUAACUAUUUAGUAUUACAAAAACAUGCUCAAUAAUACAAUUCCUAUAAAGACACUUCAUUCACACACACACACACAAAAAAACAUGUGCAAUGCCAAAUGGUUAUUUAUGUAACAAAAUUGAUGAAUCAUUCAACCCAACUACGAUAAGGAUAAUAACUUUUGCGGAUGAGUGCUCCCAUCGCAGGGGAUGCUUAUAAGAUUUGGAUAAAUCGAUGGCUCAUUCAUGUGUGUGUUUUUAAGUAAAAGGAUAUAUAAAUGCCAAUCGAACCUUACAUGCCAGAUGGCAGUUUUAUAAUUUGUCCGAUUUGCAUGAUUUUUGCUAAUCAAUGUUUAUCUUGGCAUUACAUGUGAUCUUAGCAAUUCCAAAUACAGAGAAAGGAGUUUAAUUAUGCUUGAUCAUCAAGGAAGAGGAAAGAAAAGCCACGGAAUUGGCCAAGAGGAGUCCUCCAAAAUUCAAAGUGGCUCAACUGGAUGCGUCAAACUUGCAGCCAAACACAACACGAUUAUUCAAAGCAGUAUAAUUCCAUUUGCACCAAACCAAUGCACAAAAGAUAUAAUUCAUGUAGUUAUACAUUUAAUUAAUUAGGCCAAAUAUAUAUGUAGACCAUGUCCUAUAUAUAUAAAAUGUCAAGUAAGUAAAGAAUAUGGACGUGGCAACCACUUAUAAAUUUCACGUCCAGAAAAUGGUUGUUAAGUCACAAACAUAAGAGAACCUUAACGUUGGACUUCCCGUGGCUUGCAAAUAAAGAGGCUAAGAGUGUGUAGUAGUGUUUGUUAUGAUGAUGAUGAUUGGUGGUUGUAAAGAAAUGGGUAAUUGGAAGAAAAAAUGCAGAGAGUUGUUGAGGCCAAGAGAGGUCUUGUACCUCCUCACCAUCACAAUCCUCAGCCUCCUCCUCCCUUUGUCUUUCUUACUCUUAGCCACUCUCUCCGGUGCCCAAUACUACCUUCAAGCCCUCACUUAUUAUUCCUCACAACCCUUUCCCUAUCUUUUCCACCUUGCCCUCAAUAUCAACCCAUGUAUUCUUUAUUUUCUCGUGUCCAUUGUGAGCGUGGGGACCCUGAUCCAGGGGCUGAUGGGUAAAAUCACACUCUUGAGCGAGUUACCCUCCAAGUCCUCGCGUAUCUCCACAGCGUGGAUUUUGCUAUGCGCCUUUCAAGUUUGCGUUGGUUUGGGCAUUGAGGGAAGCAUUGCGGCCGGGCUUUACGACGAUGAUGACGUGUCAAGUUUUGGGGCCGAGAGAAGCCUGUUGAGCAGGAUGAUAUUUCUGUUGGGCCUGCACGAGACGACCCACGUUUGGUGUAGGAUGGUGGUGAGGCCCGUGGUGGAUGACACGGUGUUCGGUGGUGCCCGAAGGGAGAGGUGGGUCGAGAGAGUGGGCCAGGCUGCGGGCCUGGGCACGCUGUGGUGGUGGAGGCUGAGGGAGGAGGUGGAGACUUUGGUGGUUGUGGCCCAAGUGAAGAGUGAGCAACUAAUGGAUGUGGGCCUUGGUGACUUUGUUGGAUGGUGGUUGUAUUACCUCAUUGUCACUAUUGGGAUGGUCAGGAUCGUGAAGGGUCUCAUGUGGAUUUUCAUGAUUUCUCUAUGUAGAACAAGGCCAACAAUAGAGGUUGAAUCGAGUCAGAACGAUGACAAGGUGUAAUUAGAGUUCACCCAUUCUCUACUUUCCUUCUUUUUUUUGGUUUUCUAAUUCAGCUCCCUUUCUCCCCUCAUUUUGUUAUUUCGAUUUUCUUUGGUCAGAGACAUUAUUACAAUAUUGUAUUGAUGGUAUUAUUGCUCAACAUGUCUAUAAUUACUUCUUUAAUUCCAAUGCGUGUUAUUGGAUGGCAUGACUUCCGACAGAUCAAUAUGAUAUUGUUAAUUAAGUUAUAAGCGCGCCGAAUUAUGCAUCCAAACCGGCUAAUAAAAAUUAUUUUCAGAAGUCCAAAAUGUUGCCAUUUCCUAGUGGUAAGGGUAAAGUACAAACUCUCCAUAAUUAGAAUUGGACAUAUUUACAAAACUCCGGAUUAUUACUCUCUCUAUACGUUUAGGCUAUGUUUAUUUCCGUUUAAGGUGUUUCAUACGAGUAAUUCAGUUUCGGUGAUAUAUUUAGUUAUCUUAAAAAUAUAUUUAUGCAUUAACGUUUGGCCUAAAAGCUAAUUGUGUAAAAGUAAAACUUGUAUUGUUUUUACAAAUUUUUAUCUAAAUAUGCAGAAGUUAACCGUUGUUGAUUUUACUUGUCACUUGAUGUUUUAGUCCUAAUAUUUUUUUCAUAAUUUGAUUUAUAGUUAUGUUAUUACUAUCAUUAUUAUCGUUAACAUCGAUGUCAACAUCACCAUUAACAUUAUUGGUCAUCGUUACUUAAUUUGUAUCAAAUAUAAGACAUGAUAAUAUAAUAUAUUAUCCGGUGAGUAACAAAUAUUAAAUAAAAUUAAAAUUUAUCCUAUUUUUAUGUUUUUCAAGUUCUUCUUUAUCUGAUGCACAUCAAAUAUUAAAUAAGACUAAAAUUACUAAAAGGCCGUUAACCGGAAAUACAAGAGAUUUUAUUUUAUUAUAUAUUUUGGAGAGAAAUUUUAAUUUGAGCGCAGUUAGCUUCACGAAAUAUAUUGUAGUUUUUUUGGAGGGGAUAUAUUAAUUGAUGGGCUCGGUACAAAGGUGGGACCGAGAUUCAACAAAUUUAGUGAUGGGUGUUUUUUUUCUAAAGAUGGAAAAACAGAUAUUAUAUGUGCACUAUGCUAUUCCCACUCAAUUCUUUUACUUUUUUCACCCAUAUAUUUUUUUUAUUUUUCUUUCCCAAAAAACUCCUAGCUGAACUGUGUUUGCAUUGUACAAUGUACUCAAUAGAAAUAUAUUUCCAUUAUGUAUUAUGUACAAUGAAAAAAUGUUUUUGUUAUAUCUAGAGGACGCAACUCCUAAUAUAAUGAAAACAUGUUUAUGUUAAGUAUUGAAAUUCAUUAAAAUAAAAGUUUAAAUACUUUUUUAGUCUUUGGAAUAUUUUUUUUUUGUUUUUCAUCUCGUAAAAUUACUUUUUUUUUUGUUUUUAAUCUUUGUAAAUUAUGUUUGUUUUAUUUUUCGUUCUUAAAAUACUUUGAAUAACACUUUGAACAAUGAAAAAACUUUAUCUAAUGUGUUUUAAAGAUGAAAAACAAAAUAAACAUAAUUUGCAAGGAUUAUAAAUAAAUAAUAAUAAUUUUACAACGACAAAAAUAAAAAAAAUUAUAUUGCAAUGACUAAAAAGAUAUUUAAAACAAAAUAAAAACAUAUUUUUGUUGUGUAUUGUUCUAAGAUUUAGAACAGAAAUAUGUUUAUGUUGUAUAUUGACGAGAAAGAGAAAAUCAAGGUGAGGAUGAAAUAGUAAUUUGGUAUAAUUUUUAUAAAAAUAAUGGGUGAAAAGAGAAAAAAAAGUGCGAGAAUAGCAGCCCCAUUACAUUCCAUGUUAGUUCUUGUUUUGUUCUUUGUCAUUCCAAUAGAAAAAUCUUCUCUUUUAAAAAGUGUCAUUUUCUCUUUUAUUUGUUAACUUUUUUAUGAAGUGUAAUUUUUCUAUUAGAGUAAAAAAAAAAAAAAAGUGGAACAAAUACUGUUGUUUUCAUAUAAAGACAGCAAAGGAGACACAUAAAAGGAAUAGAUGAAUUCCAUCCUUCAAAAAGGUGCCAACACUAUUGGAUUCAUACAAAACAAUCACACGUCUAAUGUAACUAUUUUUCAUAUUUAUUGUCACCGUUUUGUUUAAUUUUUUGUCAUUGUCAUUGGCUCUCCUAGACAUAAUUCUAUAUUGCGGAGAGGUAAAUUUCCUUGUUAUUUUUUUUCUUUUCUAAUUUGCCUUCAAUUUAAAUGUUGUUUGGGUAGAAUACAAUCAAAUUUGUAAAGUAUUCAUUCACUUACCCACUUUCUAUUUACACCUAAUUUAAACAUCUUUUCUAAGUAGGCUAGCAGGUUAAAUAUAUUGGCAAUAGCAUAUUCCUCAUAUUUUCUGCAAGAUAAAGUCAGUUUGGCACCGUGGGACUUCUCCAGGAAACCGCCAAUCCCUUAUUAAAAAAACUCCAUCCAUCAUUUUCCCUCAACUCUUUCGUCACGUUGGCUGAACUUCUUCGGAACAUUAAUGGAUUAAAAACUUGAGCUAUUAUUCCAUAGGAACACGCAUGGGAUUAAAAACUUGAGCUAAUACUGCAUAGUUUGUAUUGAUCCUUAUAUUUGUUUCAAUAAUGACAAACCAAUUGUGGCUGACGGCUGCACUUGAUGAAAACAUCGAAAUAUCACCAUCAAAGUUGCAUGAUUCCUUUCAUGUUCUAGAUAACGUAGUUAAUUUCUUUAAGCAUUUAUACGUUUAAAUAUCCCUUUUGGACCAUGAAUAAGGACAAUGCAAACACACCAAUGUCGAUAUUUAUCUAAAGAAGCUCAUUGCCUCGAGGGUAAAAUUGUUGAUACCCUCCUAGAUUUCUGCUGCAACACGACAUGGGAAGUGAUCCUUUUUCCUCCACGCCUUUCAAUUUCAACGAAUUCCAGGGCGGUUAUGGCUCUAUACAAAGAGAGGAUGUUGUACUCCAAGGGGAACACGGUUUCUCUUCAACAAUGGAGUCACUAAGAGGGAGAAAUAAUUUACCUACAACUUCAGAGCAAAACCAGAAGCAGCAACAUGAUCUCAAUUUUGAUCCCUUGAUGAUCGAGGAGUUCAACUUUGAACCUAUUCAACAACCAAAGCAGCCUCUUCAAGAAACUAAGGAACCAAAGAAGAAUAAACAGGUUCUGCCAUCUUCUUUAGCAUCACUGGAGCUCUUGAGCAAUUAUGGAAGCAGGUUCAAGAGGCUAGGGAAGCAAAACAUCAGCGAUAGUUCUGUUCAAACUUGUGUGGGUCCUCAGAAGUUGUCAACUGAAGAAAUAAUGAGAUUGGCUGGAGCAAGGUACAUUCAGCACUCUACACAAUUGUGUGAUGAUGUUUGCAUCCCCGUGCACCCUUAUGGAUUUGGUCUUGGAGUUUUAUCCCAGGAAGAAAAUAGAGACAUAGAACUCGCUCAGUUUCUUCUAGCAGCUGCUGAGAGGGUAGGGUGCCAACAAUUUGAACGUGCCAGCAUUUUACUCUCCUCCCAUUUUCAGUGGAACUCUUCAGGUGAUGGUGCCGUUCAGAGAGUUGUCUUUCAUUUCGCUCAAGCAUUACUAGAGAGAAUCAGAAGAGAAACUGGAGGAAAGGUGACACUGAACAAGUGUGAGAAAAAUUGUGAAAGGGAAAUGUUUGAGAAGUUAAGAUCGGAUACUAACAUGGCUGUUACAUGCCAUCAAAAAAUUCCUUUCAAUCAAGAGAUGCAGUUUUCUGGGGUACAAGCUAUAGUGGAAAAUGUAACAUCAAAAACCAAAGUUCAUCUCAUAAACUUUGAUAUUGGAUGUGGGGUGCAAUGCACGGCUUUGAUGCAAGCACUGGCUGAGAGACAGGAAAAGCAAGUUGAACUUCUGAAGGUAACUGCCAUUGGACUUCAAGGCAAGACCGAGCUAGAAGAGACAGGGAAAGGGUUAGUAAAUUUUGCUGAAUCCUUAAACUUUCCCUUUUAAUAUAAGGUAGUUUUUGUCACAAGCAUCAUAGAGAUCAAGGUAGAGCAAUUUGGCAUUGAAGAUAAUGAAGCUGUAGCUGUAUAUUCUCCUUAUAUGCUGAGGACUAUGGUGUCGGAUUCUGAUUCCUUGGAACACUUGAUGCGGGUGAUGAGAAAAAUCAGACCAAGUAUAAUGGUAGUUCUUGAGGUGGAAGCAAUGCAUAAUUCACCCUCCUGUGUGAAUCGCUUCAUUGAGGCAUUGUUCUUCUACGCAGCAUUUUUUGACUGCAUUGGGACCUGCAUGAAGCAGGAUCAUGAAUGCAGAAUCAGAAUUGAGGGAAUAUUAUCUGAAGGGAUACGAAACAUUGUUGCAAUGGAAGAUGGAGAAAGGAAGGUUAGGAAUGUGAAGAUAGAUGUUUGGAGAAGGUUCUUUGCAAGGUAUAGAAUGGUGGAGACUACAUUUAGCGAGUCAUCUUUGUACCAAGCUAACUUGGUUGCCAAAAAGUUUGCGUGUGGGAAUUUCUGUACUGUGGAUAGAAACGGGAAGUGUCUAAUAGUUGGAUGGAAGGGGACCCCAAUUCAUUCAAUUUCAGUUUGGAAGUUUCUUUGAUGAGAGAAAACCAUAUUCAGUUGUGAUUUAUUCCCUUAAAAUUCCCCUUCAUGGCUUGUUUAUGUAUUCUGAAUAUCAAGGAAAUUGAUAUAGCUUGAGUUAGUUGGAUUGAAAUUUAUAGUUUCAUGUUCAUCUUAAAAAAAAAAUUAAUAAUGAGAUUAAAAUUAAUUGCACGAUUUGAAUGCAGUUGCAGAGUAACAGUUCUUAAUAGGCAUUGUUAGUCUCUGACACAGCUGCUCUUUCUUUGCUUUUGUAGUCUUUUGGCCUGCCUUGACUUUUUGUUUGGUCCUUCAAAAUUAGAAUGGAGAAAAUUCUUUUACAAAAAAGUGUGUUUGGUUUAAAAAAGAAACCAGUGAAUAACUUUUUUACAAGUUUUGUGCCUUAUAUCACUACAAUCACAUAAUCACCACAAAAGUUAAACAAGUUUAAGUGUGCCAUAAACAAGUUUUGUUCCUUAUAGCACUACAACCCAUAAUCACCACCAAAGUUAAACAAGUUUAAGUGUGUCAUCAUAUAAAAUAAAUAUUCCAAAGUGUGAGACAAUUACUUUCUAAGUUGACCACAACUAAACAUAUAAAAUAAAAUAAAAAAGACAAGGGUUAGGUCUCGACCCAAGUCCACUAAAGAUCUCUCACUAUUGGGUCAUCAUUGAAGUAAGGCUCGUAUCAUCUAAGAGUUACAUGCUCCUCAGGAACAUUUCUGUCGCUUGCCCCUAUGCGUAACAACAUAAUCAUCACAAUCACACAAAAACACGAGUAAGUUCAUUUAAAUAGAACAAAGCAUAUAAUUACAAGAUUGUGAAUUAAAAGUUGACAAGAUAAAACAAAUCAAAACACAUUAGAGAUUGAAACAUUUUUCAAAAUAAUUGCUAACUAAAGUCAAAGCACAUAUCACCAUGCAUAUAUAUAUAUAUAUAUAUAUAUAUAUAUAUAUAUAUAUAUAUAUAUAUAUAUAUAUAUAUAUUUACACACACAUACAUUUAUAUAUAUAAUGCAUAAUACUAUGCAGACUCUUACUCAAGGAAAUUUUUAACUUUGAACGAUCAACUAAGCAUGUUCCUUAACAUAAAAUAAUAUCCAUCCAUUUGGGGAGACUAUGAUUGAUCCUCCAGAUGAAUGAUUUUAUUGGAAUAAAAUGGUCGUGGGUAUUAGCUUAUAGCUUAUCAUGGUAAGGCAUGCAUUAAUCCUAAUUUUUAGUGAGAUUCACCCGCUCAGAAUAUUCCCUAGGUCUAAAAAACAUUAUGAUGACUCUUCGACACUGUUGAGAUCCCACUAGACAACCCCAACUUAUAUCCCUAUUCUUAUGAAACUAAACAAGUAUGCUCAUCCAAUCAUCACCUUAUAAUAAUUUUUAGUUACAACAUAUUAAACCUAUCAAUAAAUAUCUCAGAAUUUAGGCCCGUCAUACGACCUUUAACAACUAGGAAUCUCAAUCACAAACUCCAUUGUACAUAUUUACAUAUAUCACAACAACUCAUCAAUACAUUCUCAUUAUACAAUAAUAAACAUUUGAAAAACACUUAGAAUAUCAAAAUGAGAAGGUGGUGUUAGAAAAAAUUUGCCCAAUGAAUCCUAGGUUUGCUCGACAAAAUUGAGGCUGUAAACACACCAAUUCUCAAGGGUAAAUCCGCCCAGCUAAAUUGAAGUUCACCCAAUAAAUUUGAAAUAUCUAUGGGGUAAAUUCGCUUGGCAAAACUGAAGUUCACCCAACACAUCCAAAUUUUAGCCCAACGAAUUUAUGAUUAAAAAAAUGCUUACUCUUUGUUGCAAUUAUUCCCAACGGACACAAUUUCGACCAGUGAAUUUGUGACAAAAAGCACUUAACUUUCUGUUGCAAAUCUGCUCAACGAUUUCCAUAUUCACUCAGUGUUAUUUGUAAAACCAGUAUGCAAACAGGUUCCUCUCCUUCCCAAAGUUUCAAAGUUUUAAAAACUUUGGAAACCAAGUCAUCUCUCAAAUAAUCCCAAAUGGAUUUCAUCAUUUUCAACACACAAACAACCACAAAACAUUAGUAAGAAAUUUUGGCGAAUUUUAUCUCAAACAAAUUAAUUUAACGUAUUUAUUUUCAACUUUUAACAAACUUAAAGGAUUUUAUCCCUUAUAAUUUUACUUCCAACAUAAUUAUAAUUUUUACCCCAAUUUUUAUAUUUUUUUUGAUAAAUUUUAUCCCUAACUUUUUUUUGGUAAAUUUUACCCCUAAUUUUUUAUUAAUUUUUUGGCAAACUUAACUCCCAAUUUUUAUGCUUAUUAAUAGAUAAAUGACUUGGGAUAAAAUUCGUGUGUGUUUGAUAAAGAGAAAAUAAUUAACAUUGUUGAGAAAUUUGUAUUUUUUUUUUUGCGACUCACAUUUUACACUCUACUUUAAUUAAAAAAAAAUUCUUAUAUUUUUAUCUUUUAAAUCAAGCACAUCCUAAAAGUUAAAAUAUGUCAAAUUAAAAAGUUGAGAUAACAAAUGAAAUUAAGUCUGUUUAAUAAGAACAAAUGCAAAUCUUAUUAAUAAUCUAACAAACUUAAUGCUUAUUAAUGAGAUCGACGCUUUCGGAUCGUGUAAUUAAAAAAACACUGCGCGGCGUACGGUUUAAAUCCCACGGAUACUAGUUUCUAAAUUAAUAUUUUAACGGUUAAUAUUAACCGCGACAUAAUAAAUGUAGGACAGGGUAGGGUAAAUUAAUUACAUUGUCAUACAGCACUAAACCAUUCUCCUUGCCGCAAAAUUUACCAAAGGGGGUUAGUUUUACAAACUAAUUCCCCAUCUGGGUCUAUUUGCAAAAUAUUUUCUUAGGGGUCACUUUUUGACGUAACAUGAACGUAUAUCGCCAGGCUGAAUAGCGAUAUACGCCUAGGGUGCUUGUCCGGCCAGGACGAAUGGUGAAAUAGCUGGUACAAUGGUUUCGCUAUUUUGACCAGCGAUUUAGGUGCAUAGGGCUGGUCAGAGUAAAAGGUGUAGAGGGUCAAAGCAGGCUAGAGUUUUUUCGCAGAAAGGGCUGGCCGAAUAGGCUUUGCAUGCAUUUCGCAGGAGCCUUUGACGAAAUAGGUUGUGCAUAUUUCGCAAAUUCCAUUAGCAAAAUAGCCUUCCUUUAAAUACCCAUUCAUUUCAUGAUCCAUUUGGAAUUUCUAAGCUUUCAAUUUAGGGUUUAUUUCCUUUCAAAAUUUUCCAACUACUGUGUUUAAACAACAGCCAUCCUUUCGUGUGCAUUUGGAAAUUCUUGAGCUCUUAAAAUUUUUUGAGUACAGUCUAUAAAAUUUCUGAGCCUUUCCACUACGUUUGUCAAUCUUUCGCAUGAUAUUAUUUAUUUGAAGUAAUAAUUUUGAAUGGGUAAGAGCAACACCAGCACUAUAAAACGCGUGAGAGCAGCACCAACACUUUCUCUAUAAUUAUAUUAUCAACCAUUAGCACUUUCAUUAUUUUAUGUACAUAUACAACUUGCACGACAAAUAUGAAUCAGCUAUCAUGCAUAAUAAAUAUAUAUACAUGUCUAUAAUAAAAAAAUUUAAAUAACUCGUACAAGUAUUUAACCAGCACAAGAAUGACCUCCAGCAGCCUAAGGAGGAAGCUGAAAAAUAUUUUUAAAGAUUUCACAAUCAGCUUUGGCAAAACAAGCAACAAGCAACAAGAGGCAAAGCGGGGGAGGGAGCUCACAAGAAUUUUCAGCACCCAACAACAUCAAAACAAGGCGCUAAAUAACCCCAACACAGGGUGUUUCGCCAGUGGGAAUGACAACACCUACAUGCAACCUGUUUCGCUGACCAGGCUGGCGAUACAUACUUGCACCUGCCACUUGAAAAGCGCGCCUACCCCCUGCCACCUGAGGCCUAGCCUAGUGCCCCUGUGUGUCACCAAGUUGACUGGUGAAAUCCAAAGUCAUUCCGCAAAUACCAAUGGUGAAAUGGAUGUCACGCGUCGUUCCCAUGCAUGUUUCGCCAGCAUGCAUGGUGAUAUGCAUUUAAAAAAUGACCCCCCCCCCCUCCCAUGAAAAUACUUUGCAAACAGAUUCAGAUACGAAAUUAGUUUGUAAAACUAACCCCCUCUGAUAAAUUUGCCUUCCCCUUGCACCCUUCCACCUUUAUGUUUAUUUUUCAGUUCAAACCACAACACGUACAUUAUCGUUAGAGUAGAAGCAACAAAUUGUUGUUAGUCACAAAAAGGAGCAUUAGAAUUAGUGCACCCCUUUUCAAAGUGUCCACACACACCCUCUUGUUUGUUUCGUCAGGUUAAGGCUCAGUGAAUACUUGCAAUGAUACAUAGUCGAAUUUGUAUCAACACAAAUGGCCUUACCAAAUCUUUUGUUUUCUAUUUUUUACCCGUACAGUUAAAAGAACUAGACGAAUAAAACGUUUUGUAAAAAAAGGUGUGAGGACAAGUCCAAAAUAGAGGUAAAAUUACUAAUUAACUCCCACAAGAAAAUAGUGGCGGUGGAUAGUGCGUACAAAUACUACUUUAUUAGAUGGCAACACCAAAAAUAACGUUGCGUUUGUAUCCGGGGUAGGCCAUGUCACCAAACGUAUCAAAACCCGGAAGCAGUUACUUUCUUUCUCUUCGUUCUUACACACGCCAGAGUGAGUGAGUGAGUGUGUGUGCGUUUCUUUCUUUCUCUCUCGCUCUUCUUCUUCUUCUUCCUCCUUUGAUCAACUCCCCACACCGCACGGCCCAACAACGAUGGUGUCCAAACCUACCGACUCGGCUUCCAAACCUCGAGUCAGUUUCUCUCUCUUUCUUCAAUUCAACAAUAACUAUGAAUGACUCGUUGUUUAGAUGCUUCAAUUCCUCUUUUCCUUUUCUGAUUCAUCGGAAUCGGUUUCGUAACUAUGUUUCAGAAUUUGAUUAUUCAUACCUAGAAUUUUGAAUUUGAUCUGAUAAUCACGAGCGGACAUCAUUUAAGAGCUCUCUGUUCCUCUGUCUCCCUGUAAUUGAAUGCUACAGCAAUUGAGUUCGCGAGUAGGGAUUUAGGAUUGCGCUUAAUCUGAAUUAUGGUUUCUGUUUUGCUGUUGGCGCUUUCAUCGAAAAACUAUGCUUAUUAAAUGGUCCCUGUUCUGUAUAGCGUGAGAAUUGAAAUUUUACCAGUGCUGCAUACACAGGAUUUUGUUUUUGGACUUCCUGUUUUUUGUAUUUUGAACAUGCUAAUAAUUUGUUCUGUAAUGUUGAUAGAAACAACUUGGAGAGCCAGCAAAUGAUGGUAUUGGAAGCUUGUCCCUCGAGUUAAAUCAGUUAAAAAAGCAAAUCCAGGCGGAGAGAAUUGUGUGCAUUAAAGUAAGAUUGAUAUCGGGUUUCUUUUCGCUCCCGUAGCUUCAUUCUUCUUGGAAAGGGUCCUGAUUUUUGUAGUUUUUUAGCUGACCUGAUAACUUCUUUCUUCCUAUUAAUUGAGAAAAAUGGCAUUAACCUCUUACUGGUAACAUUUCUACGGAGAGGUAAUUUUUUCUAAUUUUGUUUGGCUAAACUGGUGGCAAACCUUUGUUUGAGUUUCCAGCAGUUUUUCUUUGCAUGUUUCUGGGUACAACUUUAUGUUAUGAUUGCUAAUUUGAACUUGAGUUCAUUUAAUUGAAAAUUUCAAUGUUAAGAUGGCUUCUUUUUGUACUCCUUGCAAGUCAGCUUGCAAUCAACCUUAGUUAUAUUUCUGCAGGAAAAAAUUCGGAGCAAUGAGAAGAAGCUACAGUGUCAUAUGUCAGGAGUCCUGUCAGAAACAUCAACAAGGGGUUCUUCACAGACAGAGGAAAAUAGGAAAAAUCCAAUUCUUUCUUCAAGAAUUGACCAUCCUUUAUGUAAAUUCAGUGGUUUCUCUCCAGUCUGGGGAGACAAGGACCACAACAAUCAAGAUGUAUUAUCUGCUACAAGUAUCAAAAUGCCUUAUAUUGAAACACUACCACCAUAUACCUCUUGGAUAUUUCUGGACAGGUGUUUUACUUGCAAAGAUUUAACUUUCUGUCCUGACCUGUUGUGCAAUUUUUUUUUUCAAAAUUGAAACUACCUUUUUCUUUCCAUUUUAAAAUAGAUACUGAUAUUUUGAAACUUAUUGAUCAGUUAGUUUUUAGAUUAUAUUAUUAUUUUUUAUCUUUCACACACAUCAGAAAUCAGAGGAUGGCGGAAGAUCAGUCAGUGGUUGGAAGAAGACGCAUAUACUAUGAUCAACAUGGAAGUGAAGCACUGAUAUGUAGCGACAGUGAGGAGGAGUUAACAGAACCUGAGGAAGAAAAACAUGAAUUUUCUGAGGCUGAAGAUCGUGUCAUAUGGUAAGUUAAAAUGAAUAAGAUAGAGAUGUUUUUUAAGAAGGUCCAUAUAUUUGUGAAGAUUCAAUGAAACAAUAACAAUCUUGAUUGUAACAUUUAUCAUUAGCUAUAUGAAUAAAAUUUAAUUAACAUGUAAGGUUCAUGCUUUGUUGGAGCUCAAAUGGUUGUUUUAAAUGUUCAGAAAAUAAUGCUUUUAUUGUAAUCCCGAAAGAACUUUAAUACCACUUUUAAACUCAUAGCCUAUAAUUUCCAUAUUUAUUCAAAUGUUCAAAGUUUUUCCUUUCUAGAAUUAAUGUCUUGAUUACUGAAUUUACUAGGAUGGCAUUUGAGGAAUAUGGGUUAAACAAGGAGGUACCAAAUAUUGUUAGUGAAUUUGUUGGGGGCACCAGUUUAGAAAUUCAGGUAAUCUUGAAUAACCUGUGGGCAUGAGUAUAUGCUUCAUGAUUGUUAAUCUUAAUUAUAGAAAAAAAUAUAUAUUGCACUGAGUGGAUUUAUAGUGAGAAGCCACUUUUAUUUCUGGGAGUUUUUUUUUUUUUUUUGGAAAUAUGUAGGAGAGGUACAAAACUAUCAAGGAAAAGAACAUUGGAAGGUUGGACCAGCCUUCUCAAAACUCAGGAGAAUAUGAAUCUACUAUUGGCAUAUGUCUAGAGAAAAGCCUGAGUGCUGCAUUAGAUUCUUUUGAUAAUCUUUUUUGUCGCCGUUGCCUGGUACGUACUAAAGCAUAAUCUUUUCAGCAUUCUUAUUGUGGUCACAGUAAGUGCAUCUAUACUUUUCUGCUUUCAUACUGCAGAUUUUUGACUGUCGUCUGCAUGGCUGUUCUCAACCUUUAAUAUAUCAUGUAAGUAACAAUGCCCUAUGUUGUUUUCAACUUAAUCCAUAGUUACUUCAUCCAUAAAGCUAAUUUGGUGGUUUACUUCAGAGUGAAAAGCAGACAGUUUGGUCUGAUCCUGAAGGAGACAGGAAACCUUGCAGUGAUCAGUGUUACCUUCAGGUAUUCUUCUUUCUAUGAGAUUUAAGUGUUUGUGAAAUUUUCAUGCAGAUAAGUAAACAGAAAUUUUAAUUGUUUUCAAUUCUCAAAGAGAUGAAAUUAGUCAAUCUUUUUCCUCUGUUGGUAUUUUGUUUAGCAUGUUUUCAUUGUCUGUCAAAUCAUUAUACAAUAAAUAUGGUGGCAUGUCUAUGUUCUGUUGAUUUAUAUUGGAUUUUGGAAGUAAUUUUAGUCAAAAAAAUUUGUAUGAGGCAUGCAGCCUUAACAAGAAAAAUGCAAUCUCACGCAACCAUGAGCCAGGGAAAACAUAAAGGUGGAAUUAAUUAUAAGUAUUUGGAUUUCCAAUUGCAAACUUCUUUUGUGCCAAUUUCAAUUUGAUUGCGGCCAUGGCCAACACACACCUCCUUCCUCCUUGUUUAUUUAUUCUUUAUUUCUAUUAUAUAGUAUAUACCUAUAUAAAUAAAGGAAAAGCUUAAUGCCAGUUCUACUCCGGGUUUUUAAUUUGGAGUGCAAGAAUUAGCUAGCACAUUCACGACAAUACACACAGUAUACUGGAAAUUUAAUAUUGUGACAGCAUGGCAUAUAUUAUAUAUAAAUAAGGUAAUUCAAUAUUUAAAAUUUAUAUCCAGUACACACAAACAUAAAAACAAUAUUCAACCAUAAUACCUAUAACACUGCUAAUCUCAAAUUCUUUAUACCAAGAACACAAAAACACAUCUUUCAACAAUUAUACCAUGGAGGUCUUGAAAUUAUGUUUUACUCACCUCUUAAAGUAGAGUAAUUCACGCUUUUCAUUUACUUUUUCCUCUUCAUAUUGACUGUGUCAACAGGAUUCUAUUUGUUUCUUCCUUCUCCUCAAUCCUGAGUAGUCUACUACUAAUUUCCCAUUUACUAAGAGAGAGAUUGUCUAUAGAAUUCUAGGACAAGGAAUCUGACUAUCCUUAUAUAAGUGCAGUUGUAUGUGAUUUAAGAUUGGAUUGCAUAAGAUUUGUUUUAUCAUAUUUGCUUGUUAAAUCCUUUGUUAUCUUUUCUUUUUUAAACGUAGAUCCCCAACUACUUUAUUAUCUAAAUUUAUCUAACUAUUUAUUAUUUUAUCUUUUCCAUUUUAAAUAAUUCAAUUGCUUCAAUUAAAUUUAAUAUAUAUCAUAACUAUUUUAAUUCAAAUAAAUUCUUAUUAAGGCUUGCUUUGCACUUAGUAUAUGGUGAAUGAUUCUAUGUGUGUGUCAGUAUAUCUAUGUGUGCCAGCUUUUGCACCCUGCUAAAAUGUCAACUCAUCUGUGUUUUUUGUAUUUGAUUGCCAUUUCAAUUGUCAUUAGUAUAAGGUGAAUAAUUCUAUGUGUGUGUCUGUGUAUCUAUCUGUGCCAGCUUUUGCUCCCUGUUACAAUGUCAACUCAUCAGUGUUUUUUGUAUUUGAUUGCCAUUUCAAUUGCCUGCAGUUAAAGGUAGUAAAAAAUGUGACAGAAGAUUCAACUUCUGGGUCUGAUCAGAAUAAGAGAACUACAAUUACAGAAGAGGCAGAUGUGAUAUUGGCUCCCUCCAUUAUAGAGGAACCUAGUAAUCAGAGUAUAAUACCUUUUCAAACAGAAGUUGAUUGUCAUGGAUCUCUCAAUUUAAAUGUUCCUAUCUCAGUGAGUGUGGAAAAACGGAAAGUCCUAAAUCAGUCAGACAUGUCACCCCGUGACUCAACACUCCAUCCCAAUGAUUGUCAGAAUUCUUAUAAAAAGCUGAAGGCAAUCUCUGAUGCUGUAGUUACUGUAAAUAGUGAUUCUAGCAAGAAAAUAAGUUUGGGUGCAUGUGGUGAAAGUAUACAUACAAUUACUAGUGCAAUUUUGGACAAAUCUGUUAAAGAUAACUCAAUUAAAUUAAUAGAUUCUUCUAGCACUUGCCCUAGUGAUGAGCAGGACAAAAGUAUUGGUGAUGGACCAAAAGAUCCUACAAAUGAGACAGAAUUUAAGAUGUCCAAUUCAAUGGAGGGGAUAGUUGAUGGGAUGCUAAGUCUCUCAGAUUGGAAACCUCUGGAGAAAGAACUAUACUUAAAGGGAGUAGAACUGUUUGGCAGAAACAGGUACGGAGCUUUCUGUGUUUCACCUCACAUCAUUAUGUUGAGAAAUACAAGGAUGGCACCAAAUUUAAUUGUGCAUUUCACCUCACAAAUUAUCCAUUAAGCUUUCUCAUGUCUAGUGCAUAUGUUAUAUCCAUAUAUCAUAUCAUAUUUUUCCUCACCAAGUGGGAUAAGGCUUUGUUAUUAUUGUUUCAUACAUGUUUUUGUUAGUUCUUUUGUGAAAUAUUCUUAUUUCUUGUGUCAAUGUUGAGCUCCAUUGCUGCAGCCCUUUUCAUUAUAUUAUGCAAUUAAUAAUAAUUAAUAACUAUUGAAGUUUGAAUGCACAUUUAGCAAUUGAUUUUCUCUAAACUGCAACUAAUAAAAUGCAUGAAUUUGAAACCUCUGUAGGCAACUUCCCCAAUUGUGGCUAAUGGUUCAUAAGUAAUUAGUAAAUGAAACUAAUGCAUAGUGCAUGUCAUAAAUAUCUACUUCAUGUAGUGGUCUAAUUUUAUUCUGUGCUCAUGUCAAGUGUAACUUAUACUCUGCAGUUGCCUCAUAGCAAGGAACUUACUUCCUGGUCUGAAGACUUGUAUGGAAAUAGCUAGUUACAUGCAUUCUGGAGGAGUGUCAAUGCCCCACGGAUCUAUUGUUGCUCCUAGUUCAAUCAUGGAAGAAAAGGGAAAAUUUGAUGCUGACUGCACAGUGAGAAUUACAACCUCUUCUGUUUCCAUCUUCUUUAUCCUACAUUCUUGUGUCUUGACGUCUUUCUGUUAUUUUCUUUUUGGAGGUGAGGGGAGGAUUGGUAAAGCUAAAAUAAAAUUUUCCAUAUGUAAUAUACCAGAUGGCCCCACCUGUUUGGAUAAGUUGUGAUUUUGUAUUAUCUCAAUAGGUUAUGACCAAUUUUUUAUUUUUAAGAAAUUAUAUAACCAACAUCAUUAUAUUCUGAAGAAUUGAUAUUUCUAUAGUCUAGUUGGGCAUCAAACUUAAUUAAAAUAUUAAUAAUCUUUAAUUAUAGGAAAUUUUCUAGCUUUUUUAUUUGGCUGCCUAAUAAAUAGGACGUUUCUGGGUUGAACAUGUAAAGAGAUUGAGUUACUCUUGAGUUGAUAAAUGUUCUUUUCUUCUUUAUUACCUCCGUCAUGAUACUCUGUUUUGUAUGAGUUCUUCAUUUUAUUUUAACAAGAAAACAUCAUUUUGAAUUUUAAGCUAGCUGCACUCAAAUUUAUUAUCAAAUCUUUGUUCCGACAACUUCUACCAACCUUUAUGAGUACCCCCUACUUUAGAAGCAAAAAAAAUUCCUUUCCAUCUGGGUUUUCAUUUUAGGACCAGGAGAUGCCAUCUAGGUCACGGUUGCUGAGGAAAAGGGGCAAAACAAGGAAGUUUAAAUAUUCUUGGAAAUCUGCUGGCCACCCAUCAAUAUGGAAAAGAAUUGCUGAUGGGAAAAACCAAUCUUGCAAGCAGUAUACACCAUGUGGAUGUCAGUCAAUGUGUGGAAAGGAAUGUACUUGUAUUAAUGGUGGAACUUGCUGUGAGAAAUAUUGCGGGUAUGUCACUUUUCAUUUAAUUAUGUAGCUGAAUAUAAUGGAAGAGAAAAUUGCAGGAUAACUUAUAUUUCUUGUGGCCAUGUGUUAUGUGUUGGACUUGGACUAUUUGAAUUAUUCUGUUAGCAAUCACGGGGUUAUGAUCAUAACAUAACGAGGGUAAUCUAGAUUGAUGGUCAAAUAUGGUUUCACUUGGUUAGCAAGCUUUUGAACACAAAACAAGAGCCGGUCAUUUACUUAAGAGGAGCAAGAGAUGUAAAACUGUCCAUAUGAAGCUAUUUCUUCGAAACUCAUCUUUUCACUGUUUUGCUAGGUUCCUAUAAAAUGCAUUUUCAACUUAAUUUGUGAACUAUCAGACCUGACAAAUGUAAUUGUUAGCAAAAUUAUAAUUUAAUGUAAUAAAUUGGCUCUUCUACCUUCAGUUGUUCAAAAAGCUGCAAAAAUCGGUUCAGAGGAUGCCAUUGUGCCAAGAGUCAGUGUAGAAGUCGACAAUGCCCAUGUUUUGCUGCAGGACGGGAAUGUGAUCCAGAUGUCUGUCGGAAUUGCUGGGUUAGGUAAUAUGCCAAAUAUUUUUUUGCUGUGAACUUGAUUUUAUGACUUCUAGGCUUUUGAAUGAACAUGUCUCGAAUCUAUUGCUUCACCUGAUCAAGAAAGUCAUUGAUUCACAAAACCACAGUAAUAUUUUGUACCCCAAUAAUCCAGUAUUUCAGUGGUACGAUGCAAACCUUUGUAAAGUCAUAUAUUUCGACUGACUUGAGAAAAUGUUACCUUCCGCUACUUCCACUUCUCUGGCGUCAGACCUGGGAAGAUGCAAUGUGUCUUUUACAUCAACGAGUUAAUAUAGUUGUGCUGAAAUAUUCAUUUUAUGUUCUAUAAUUUAUUUCCUUAUUUAGUUAGGAUUAUUACCAAAAAUAAGGGCGAGUACUCUAGGUUUUAUCAUCACAUUACAUUACAUCUUAUUGUAAUACAAUCACAUUUCUCGAGUAACUAAAUAUCAUUCAAAGUUUCUUUUUCUCUCUAUUUCCUCCUUCAAUGUCUAAUAAAUGUUAUAAAGCUAAAAGCUUCCUUUCAACUGUUCUUGAAACUGCCUAAAUUCCUUUAAAUUUUUAUUGAACUAUAUUGAUUGUAAUCAUUGACUUCUUAGAACUUUAUGUAGAAUUGAUCCUUCUUCAAACAUGUAAAUCCUAAACAGAUAAUUUUGCUAGUAAAUUAUUCAUCCCCGAAUUUCACGUCCUCCACAACCCACACCCUACCCCCUCCAAAAAAAAGGGGAGAAACUUUAGAAACCAUGAAUUGAUAACUCUUUACUUCACCUAGAUCUUCUAGUUUGACACCACUGUAAUUCCCUUUAAUGCUGUAUCAGUUAAAAUCUUCUCACCUGUUUCCCUUUUAUGUGUUCUUUGGACUCUGGAAUGCCCCUUCCACAUCAAAUCAUUGUGAAUACUUUUUUAUAAGUUAUGUUCUUAACUUCUUAUGUUCUUUAUACAGUUGUGGGGAUGGUUCGUUAGGGGAGCCACCUCGGCGUGGAGAAGGGCAAUGUGGAAAUAUGAGGCUUCUAUUGAGACAACAACAAAGGGUUAGUAAUUCUGAGCUUAGGUGUUUAAAAUUAUCUGCAUUUCAUUCACGUGAAUCUUAAUCAUGGAUGCAUAUAACAUGCAUUUGGGUCUCACAUUGCUUCUUAUUUGUGUCUGUCAGAUUCUCUUGGCAAAGUCUGAUGUUGCAGGAUGGGGAGCCUUCUUGAAGGUUAUAAAUUAAUAGAUUUGUUUUGUUUUAAAAAUUCUUACAACAUUAGCUUCUUCUCACUAAUUGACGAUGAUAUUUCAGAACCCGGUUAACAAAAAUGAUUACUUAGGAGAGUACACAGGAGAACUGAUCUCCCACCGAGAAGCCGAUAAGCGUGGGAAAAUAUACGAUCGCGCCAACUCAUCUUUUCUUUUUGACUUGAAUGAUCAGGCAAGUGUCUCACAUCAUCUACAUUUUCUCGUGUCUUGUGCUGCUCUAGCUCUAGCUCUUUUCUCAUUGAUUUGAGAGUUUCCUUUAUUUUGUAAGAGGUCCAGUCAUAUAUUAUUUUUAUUAUAUUUGGUUAGCUUUUGGCAACCAAGUAUUUUUCGUCACAUUUCUUUCAUCGCAAGCUAUAACAAUAUGAGACUGCAAAGUGAUUAUUUUAGACCUUAAAACUGCUGUAUAUUUUAACAGUACGUUCUUGAUGCUUAUCGCAAAGGAGACAAGUUGAAAUUUGCAAACCACUCAUCAAACCCCAAUUGCUAUGCAAAGGUAAGUCCAAAAACUCAAGUUUUGGGGAGCUUUAAAGUUAUAACCUUUUGGCUCAGUUUCUUGAACUUGAUCUUUGAAUUGCUACAAUUAUUGGCCACUUGUACUUGUGGCAUAGGUGAUGCUGGUUGCUGGAGAUCACCGAGUAGGCAUAUUUGCCAAGGAACACAUCGAUGCUAGUGAGGAGCUCUUCUAUGAUUAUCGUUAUGGUCCCGAUCAAGCACCACCAUGGGCACGUAAACCUGAGGGUUCUAAGAGAGACGAAUCAACAGCUCCUCAAGGCAGGGCUAAGAAACACCAGUCUCAUUGAUGAGCCUGGGCCAAAGUCUAGCGCAUACAAAUUUUUGGCUUCUACAUUAUAUAUCCUAUGCAUAAACAAAUUUGUGAUAUCCCAUGGGAUAGAUUCAAGAUCAACGGUCACAAAAGGAGAUAAUUAGUGGUUUGCUGAUGCUAAUGUGCCUUUAAAUAGGCAAGAGAAGCAGGCAUGAAGCAAAUUAAUGUUAGCGGCAACAAGCUAGUAGAAACAAACCUAGCAGUUCGUUUCGGAUGCUAGGCGUGACAUUUCGGCGAACUUGUUCUGUUCAAACUUGGUUUUGCUCUUCAUUAUGUGAUUGUGAGACAUCCAAGUUAUUAUUAAAUGGCUUGGUAUUCAAUUUGGUUUCUUAGUUUAAUUUAAAUACUUAAUUAAGUUCCUUGGUUUUUGAAUAUGCAAUUAGGUUAUUUUGUUUUCUAAUUUUAUCCAAUUAGAUCAUUUUCGUCAAAUUUAGUGAAUAUCUGUGAGGUGAUAAAUUUGGUGGUCAUUAAUUACGAAUAAUAAUGGUUUCGGACUAUCACUAUAUUUAUUAUUAUUUUAAAAUUAACAAAAUCAAAUAAAUAUAAUUUUAAAAGCAGUGAACGAAAUUCUCUCUACUCUCUCUCACUCUUCUUUCAUUCAUCAUCAUAAUGAUCCCAAGCAGCAACAAGAACAACACUACUCUCCGGCGGGGAAGGCUUUCUCUGUUGCAUUUUAACGAACGCCUCGCAAGCCUUUUGCUAGAACGCUGUAACCAAACCGAGCGCAGAUCUAAUUCCCGUGCCUCCAACAGACCGGAACACCGCUUAUUCCCACAUCGCCGCCGGCAAGAGUCGCGUGUGCGCCGUCAAGGGAUCUGCGAUUCCAACACCGUUGAUUGCAGGGAAAUCACAAAAACCACCAACAAUACGUUGACAGCAAAAGAGAGUGACUUGUUCAGCAACCAAUUUGUGUCGAAUUUAGAGGUGAAGAGGGUUGUUUUUGGUGAAGGGUUCACCUGCGGCGAGGUAAAUGACGUCCACGGUGGACUAAUCUGCUGGGGACCCACUACUGAAAAUUUGGGAAACAUUUCCAAUGUUUCCGACACUUUCGGGGGCUAUGGUGACGGGUCUGAGCGUCGUUUGCGGCGUUUUCAACUUUUUCGACCCGAAUUCAUUUUCGGAUCCUCCGUUAGAUUCGGUUCGAUUAGUCUCUCUAUCCGCAGGGGCUAACCCUUUCUGCGGCGUGAGAAUGGAUAACCACGAAGUUGAAUGCUGGGGUGAUUUGAAUUCCUAUGUGAUUCCAAAAUAAGGGAAGAUGAUCUUCUCCUGGAUUGUUAUUUUCUCAAUUUAAAAAUAAUAAUAAAUAUAAUGUGGAUUUGAAACGGUGACAAAUCCUAAUUGAGGAAAAAGAUUCAAUUGACUAAAAUUAAAAAACAAAAGAAACCAUUUGCAUAUUUAAAAAUUAAAGACCUUAAUUGAAGCUUAAAAUAAAUUAAGAAAUCAAAUUGAGUAUUACGUCUUAUUAAAUAGAAUAAAAUGUUAUGAUUUGUGAAAUGAAAAAGAAAUUUAUUAAGAUUUUAAGCUGUAUUAGAUGUGGAAUAUACUUUAGUCAUAUGAUAGAAGGUUACUAUCGUCGUUGUCAAUCAUAUAAAUUUUAUAUAAUUUAAAAUUUAUUUAGUUUCAUGUUAACGUUUACUUUUUAAAUAUGAAUAAAUAUUACUUCUAAGAGGAUAUAUAAUUUACUUAAAUAAUGUUCCUAGAUAUAAUAUUUUUAAAUAAUUUACAACUUCAAGAAAGUUAGUUAAUUUAGUAAGUAGCAUUAAAUUUAUUAUUAAUUUAUAUUAUUUUUUAAAAUUAUUGAGAAUCUUCAUUUUACUUUUUUCACUUGAUUAUUUUUUAUCUAAUUGUAUGUUAGUUAUCUUUUUCGAUCCUCACAGAAGAGAAUGAAUUUUUUUAAUUAAUUUAUAACAUUUAUUGUAAAGUAAAUAAGGGUAUUUUGGUAUAUAAAAAUUAACAAAAAAGGCAAUUUAAAAGAUGAAUUUUAUAUUUAGGGAGGAAUGUACUAUAAUAUAACGGUAUAAUUUGUUAACUUCAAGGUAAUGAGUCUCUACUUAUUUACUCCAUUCGUUUUAUAAUAUAAAACACUUGGUAAAUUUCAAAGAAAAUAUUUGGUGAAUUAUUCUUCUUAUUACUCCCACUAAGUAUUUAUUAAGGGUAUCUUUGAAAAAAAAUAUUUAAUUUAAUAUUAAUUUUGUAAAACUGUCGUUUAUUUUGAAACCAUUUUUUUUCUAUAAAAUGUCAUAUUCGGAUACGAGGAGGAUAUAUUAUUAUGCAUCUUCCAAAGAACCUCAAAUACAAGGUUGUAGGACUAAAUGGCUACUAUUAUUUUUGGGUUAUUGUAUUUUUGAAUCAUUUUUAAUGGGUUUAAACUCAAGAGAUUGUUUAAGAAAAUUGAGAACAAUUCUACUCAAACCAAUUACCAAUUGGUUACAAAAUGAUAAUUCAUGUAUUUAAUCUUUAUAUUAUACUUCAUAAAAUCAAAAGUAUAUUUAAAUCAACUCACUUUUUUAAAAGAAAGCAUUACUGGUCUCUUUAUAACACUUUGAUUAUAAGAUUUCUAAAUGAAUAUGACAUAGAUUAAAUAUGUAAAAUCAUUGAUUAAGUUAUAACAAUUUCACAGCAAUUUAUUUAUGCACUUGGUAGUGUAUUAAAUAUUUGUAUAUUAAAAUAAAAUAGAAUAUAAUCAAUUGGUCCUUAUCAGUGUAAGUUAGUCUCUCAGUGUUAAUAAACUAAAAAAAAAGUCUCUAAUAGUUUUUAAUUCCUCUCCUUUUGUUAAAUCAAUCUUGAACAAACCGCCACUUGAAGUGUGAAUCACUAUCAGAAAUAGCGAUUAAAUAGUUGUAUAUCAAAAUAAAAUAAAAAUUAAUAAUUUAAAAUAAACUUGUUAUAUAUAUGAUGUGCUUCUCAUGCCUUGUAUCAACUGAUCCAGCAUCAUGCGAUCACCGAACAAAAGAAAAUCUUUGGAUGUAUCCAACACAACGAGGAAUUAUUAAAUAGUUUAGGACUACAAUCAAUCUUCAUACUUCAUAUGAUAUGUAAAAAGUGUUAUUAACUAUCUUUCUUAAAUUGAAAAACUUAAAUGUAUAUCAAAUAGAGAUUAAUCUCGAAACUCUAGAUACUUCAUAAUUCGGAAUUACCUAUAAUUUUUCCAAGACAAAAGGGUAAUUAACUUACUCGAUCGAGCAUCUUAUGUUAGGUUGAGAUUCAAGGGAAAAGCAUUGAGGUCUGAGGCCAAGUAAUGCAACAAAACCAAACAUAAAUAAGCAAAGGUACACCAAAUUUCAACUAAACGUCCUGUAAAUGUAUGAUCCCCACAUUCCCAGUUCCCCAAUGUUUAGAUUUCUAGAAAGUAUGCGUUAAAAAACUGCCUCAACAAUUGCAUGCUUCUUUUUUGGGUAUCCAAUUCCAACCAUAUGGUUCAGAUACACCUUCCCGUCCUUCACAGUUGCUGCUGUGGCCAAGCGAUGCUUAGGCCCUGAGAAUGUUCCCACAACAGAAGCUGUGUUCCACCCAUCAGUGCUCUCCACUAAUCUUCCAGAAGGAUUUCCAGCAACUACAAGCUUAGUGGGAGACAACAGUUCUAAACCAUCUCCAAAAGAAAGGGUCCCUUCCUUUAACUUUAUUAUCUUCACUUCCUCUCCUUUUGUUAAAUCAAUCUUAAACAAAUUGCCGCUGAAAGUGUGAAUCACAAUCAGGAACCCAUCUGGGUGAUAAACUAUUCCAUUUAGCCCAACCAAGUUCUUAUACCACUCUUUUGAAGUAAACAGUGGGUUUCUAAUGAUUGAUAUAAGCUUCCCUUCCACCCCAACUUUCCAGAUUUUAUUGCCUUUUGCAUCUGUAACAUAGGCAUUGCCUUCUGCAUCAACUGCAACAUCAUCUGCGAAUGAUUUCUCAUCACCUGCAUCCAAUGGAAAAUUGAUAUUGUCACAAAAGGCCCACCAGUUGUAUGUCUAAGCUAACACAAUUUGAAAAGCUAUACCCCAUGUUAUGAGCCAACGAGAUAAUAGGACAUGCAAUUAAUAGAGUUACUGACGUAGGUAGGCCAUUUCCCUUUGUUUAUUAUUGACAUGCAUAGUUCAUAACUAAUACAUUGGGAUUUGGGGUCACGGUGCAAUUGACAACCAUUCAUAUGUUUUUUUCUUUCUUACAUCCUUCUUGCACACAUGAAUAACACGUGCAUGUGCAGACAAGUUUUGUGGCGUUGAUAUGAAUAUCAGAUAGUGAACUGAACGAACAAACUAAUUUGGUGGUAUAGAUCGAAUGUUGAAAGAUUUGGGUAAAAAAACUCAAAUUUAUUAUCACAAAUUCAUAAUUAUAUCCGUCUUACCGUCCAUUAGUAGUAAUGAUAUAUAAACACUUCAUUAAUACUUAUUAUGUCUUUUUAACACCCAACUCUAUUAUAUCAGCUAUUAUACUUAUGUUUCUUUCUUUUUCUCACUUUAGGUGUCACGUAACACCCAAUCCUCCAUGGAUUAUUUUAAUAUCGUUUAACUGUCGUACCUACCAAGUACCAACUAUGACACAUUAUUUUCCACGGGGAUUCCCAAUUACUUUGUUUAGGUAUGCUCAUACACAGAUUUUUAACAGCUUUAUGAUAGAAGAAAAAAUCAUACUCGAUCAAUAGAAUUUUAGUUUUUCUCUCUUAUAUAAUAGUAGAAGAGUAAAACUUUUACCUUUUAUCUAGGUUCAAAAACAACUUAUUCUACAAAUAGUUUCCUGAUAUUAAAAUAUUUGGAAGAAAUUUUUUUUAUAAAAACUCAAAAGGUUAGCAUUUAUUUCAAUCAUCCACAUCUAGAAUCUAGAUAGAGGAUUCCGUGCAGUUCAAAAUUAAAUGCACGGUAUGCAGCCAUAAAUACUUUAACAGAUUAAGAUCUAUUCACAUGAAAAGGUAACUGUAAAAGAUGUUGAUAGUACAUGUUGCGUGUCUAACUUAAAAAAAAUCUACAUGUGCGUGAAGUGCAGAUAUAUAUGAUUGAAUAAAAAAAGUAAAUAAAGACAUAACACGAAUUCUCAUGGAAUUGGCCCUUACAAACGAGAAUCUGAUACCGUUCAGUUUCAUCAUGCAACAAUCCAAACCAUAUAUUUUUUAUUAAAUUCCAAACGACAUUAAAAAAUAGUAUGAAGCAGAAACUACUUGUGGGCAAGAGCGUGCUUUGUGCUUUUGUUAUAGAAAAACAAUUGCUUAUUUAUAUUUUAUCAACCUUUUUGAAAAAAAGUAUAAACAAAAAGCAAUUAUUUAUUUUAAGAAAAUAAUGCAAACAUGCAUUUAUUUUUUUGAUCCAAGAAAACUAAUAAUUACUCGUUUUGGGCAUAAUAUCUGUCGCAAAUUAAAGAGUUUAAUUACUUGUGUGGGGUAAUUGCCCUCAUUACCCUGAUGGAGAUCACUGCUCAUGAUGUCAAUGAUUAUUAGCGAUAUCAUUUUAAUCACAAUCUAUCCAUCUUCAAUAACUUUUUUUUUUAUAAUCCUUCUUCGGGUUUAUAAGAGAAAAGAAAUUUUAACUAAUUUAACAGAAAAAAUAAAUAAAAACUGAUCUAAAAUUAUUUUUUUCAAGAUCAAAUCCUUUUAAUACUCAAUUAUUCAACCUUCAACUUUAAUACAUUAAUCAUUUCUAACAUUCAGGUGGUUAUUCGUUAGACUUUUAUAUCUAAUAAGCCAUUGAUUUUUCUAUAACAUAGGACAUGUAAAUUAAACUUUAUAUGAAGAAAAAAAAAACUAUGAAAAUAUUUAGUUAAAGGUAAAGAGAUAGAAGCUUACUGGGAGCGCUAAGUUGGGUUAAAAAGAGGCGAUUCCAGGUGGAGAGAUCAUAUGCUGCAAGCGCGCCGUAUCGAUUACCGAUCACGUCAGCGUUAACGACGAGGACUCGAUUUCUAGGUGCGUCAAUGGCGAUGCCCAAGGAGGCAUUUCCGGCCAAGUGGGUCUCUUUGACCACCGUGACUUCCUCCAACGGCGGCGAUGACUCAUAAUCCUUCUCCGGCAGCAAAACCUGACCAAGACCACCUUCGAAGAAGGAAACAAUGAAGCGGCGGUUAUGAGAAUCCCACUUGGCGCAUUCUCGGAACCAGCCGUUACUGUGGUAGUGGUAGACGUGGGUGGCGGGUUUGGCUCGCUCUAGAGUGACGAUGAUUCCGAUGGGUAUGGCAGAGAGUAGGAGGAGGAGGCUGAGGAAUUUUGGAGAACAGAAAGCCAUGUCAGUGAGAAAGAGUUUCGUUUGGUGUUUUCUCGUUGGGAGCGGUAUUGUAUAGUAUAUGCGGAAAAAUUAAUUUUAAAUGCAAUUGAUUUUUUAAAAUUGAGUUUAAUUUUAAAUUAAUAUGAUUUAUAUUUAGAUGUUUUUAUUGUAGAAUUAAAUUAGGAAACAACUUAAUAAAAAAAUUAAUUCAACAUAAAAAAUUAUUCAAAAUUAUUUUAAUUUAAAAUUAAUUUUGAAAGAAAAUCAAUUCUACAUGGUGAAACCAAAUUCGCACUCCUGAGAUUUGAACAGGAACAGUAGCACAACACGACAACGGAACCGAGCCAAAGUGCAACUACGAAAGUUUGAUAGCAAUUAGGUAUGGGUUGGUGAUAAAUCAAAAAUGCAAAUUUACUAUUAUUAUUCACUAAACAAGUACUACUAACUCUCUUAAAAAACACAAAUACUACUAAGUAUACUAACUACUAUAGGUACGAGAUUUCUCUUCCAAGAGGGGGUGGAACGUUAUAGGAUUUAUACCAAUUUUAUUAUUUUGAAUAUUAAAUAAUUAAUAUCAUCCAGUCAAAAAAAUAAAAUUAGUAUCAUAUAUAAUAUGCGUUUUCAUACACUGUAUAUGUAAAGAUAUUUAUUCUAUUAAUUAAUUUUAAAUUAGUUAAUACAUAAGUUAAUAAUUUUAUCAAAUAUACAGUAAAUUUAUGAUUCUAAUGUAAAAAAAUUGCAUUGUGAGUGUAUUUAAACAAAAUCCAUAUAAUUAUUUUUCUUGUUUAUUUUUUAUCCUUUAUAUCAAAAUUAUAUUCUAUAAUUAUAAAACAUUUUAAAAUCUAUAGGUACGACUUUGGGUGUGUUCUCUCUUCUAUGAUUAGAGUAUGGUUGGUGAGCUAGAAAGGAAAAGAAAUAGAAAAAAAGAUUAAAAGCUGAAUUGAAAAAAAAAGUGAAAGAAAAGAAAAAUUCACUUAUUAAGUGAAUUCUAAACUUAUAUUGAGAUAUUAGUGUAUAAUAUAAUUUCCGCACUCUCUUUUAAAUUAAUAAUACAAGAUUUAGAAAAAAUGAACUUUAAUUUUGAGAUAUUAGUGUGUAAUUCUCAGUAGAGAAUUUCCUAAGUUCACCCAAAAGUAUAUCAUUUUCCUCUUAAGAAAAUACAAACACUACCUAAUUUUAUCCCCUAUAAAUAUCUAAAAAUUUGCAUCUCAUAAAAUUUACCAAUUAUUUAUUUUUUAAGAUAUUUUACUAAUUAUCUAUAACUAUUAAUAAUCAAAAUUAUUUCAUUGAUGUACAUAUUUCAAUAGAUAAUUUACCCCUUAAUCACUUAAUAAAUUUUAAAUUUUCAUUAUUUUUAUAUAAUUUAUAGUCUUUUUUAUUAACUAUAUUUAAAUUUUAUUUUUUAUUAUUAAAAAAAUUUAGAGAGACACAUUUUUCCCUAAUUAGUCAUAUAUAAGAAAAAUAACAUUUGGGUAAAAUGUGAGAGCCCAAACGCAAUUCGUGUUGGGCCUAAAGGGCCCACGAAGUAGAUACUAAAGGAUGCCCUCAUCGAUGAAUGCUUUUGCCCGAACUCCUUCGACGACCGUCUUCCCCAAUCGCCUGCGUCUCUCUCUGGUGAGUUCUCUCCUUUCUCUGUUCUUCUUAUUAUAGAUCUUCAAAUCCUAGCUUCAUAUCUUUUGAUUCUUCAUCUUUUUAACGGUAAUCAUUUACCCCACUCACUGCGAUGAGCUCCGAGAAAAUAUGCUUGUCUAUUCUGUUGACUUUUUUAUAUUUACAAGAAAAAAAAAUUGGGGGAAAAGACAGUAAUUCGGUUCAGAUUGAAAUUUUAGUUGUGAAACAUCGAAACAUUUUAUCAGAUAAAAGUAUUGGUGUUUAUCGGGAUCGAAUCUGGUGAGAGAGAAGUUAUAGAAAUAUUUUUUUUUUCUUUCUAGUUUUUAGUGAAAUUAUUUAUAUACCGAUGUUUGGGUUGUGUGGGUUGCGCCUUAUGGGAUUUUCUGUGACACGUGAAUUGAUUUCACAGGAAGGUUUCUGAACCAAACAAAGUUGUACCGAGUUGAUACUUUGGUGUAUAUGAACAAGUGUAUUAGGUUUAAAUAGUGCUUUCUUUUUCGUUCUAAUGGUCGAUGUAGUCAUUGUAGAGAAUUGUUUGCUUUCGUUGAGAAUACAACUGUCAGGAUUUGUGAUUUGUUUUGUGGGCUACAGUUUGGUACAUCCUGAUAAAACAAGAGUGAAAAUUUAGGGGUCAUUCCCAUAAUUUUUCACCCCCAGUUUUAAAUUUAAUGGUGCACCAAACUAUCUUGGGGAUAUAAUAUAUGAGGGGCAAUGACUCCUGGGUUCCUCUUAUGAUUAAAGAGAAAGCUCCAAGAAGUCAAUGACAUGUCUUGGUGUCUCUUCUAUUCUACUUCUCUUUGCUUUGUUUUUCCUCCAUUCUCUUGAAUAAAAACAUACGAUCGUAUUGGUUAAGAUUAAUUGGCCUGUUUUGAACUGUAUCCAAGUUUAAUAGUUAUAUAUUUAUAACACAAUGUUUUGUAACUUCUGUAGAAUUGACAAGCUUAAAGACAAAGUCUUAAAUGGCUGGUCCAAGGAUUGCCCAUGCUACCUUGAAAGGUCCGAGUGUGGUUAAGGAGAUAAUAAUUGGAAUAACACUUGGCUUAGCUGCUGGUAGCGUGUGGAAGAUGCACCACUGGAAUGAACAGAGGAAAACCAGGACCUUCUACGAUUUACUGGAAAAGGGUGAGAUCAGUGUUGUUGCAGAGGAACAGUGAAAAUGUUCUUGUUUUGUUGCCUAUGCUCUCCAUUUAUAGGCUUUUUUUCCCAUGCUAUAUUCAAUUGGCUCUUCAACUGUAAAUGAGCCAACUUACUAUUAGAUUGAAAAGAAUAAGUUUCUUACACUGAUUGAGUACUAUGUUGGCUUGGAAAAGUUUCAUGCAGUUAUGUUUUUAUUUUGUGCUUGGCUUAUUUUCUUCUUGUUGCACAGGUGUAUAUGUUUUUUUUUUAAUCUGCAGAUUUUUUCACUUGUUUUAAUAGCUAAAUCAAUUCCUUUUGGAAGUUGCUAGAUGUAAUAUUUUAUUUUGUUAUUGGGUUGUGCUUGUGCUAGUUGGAUUGCACUUUGGCUCAACAUAGAACAUUAGUAUAAAUAACAGUAUUAGGUCAGUGUUUUCUCUGUUUUCCUUUCCAUCUAAUCCCUAAAUAUCAACACCAUAGUGCCAUUAUGUAUAUAGGCAUAACUUCAUCCUGGAUAUAAAUUCCUUCCCAUAUGUGGUAUAUUCCAAUGCAGGACUAUAAGCUGUAAAUUUUUCUGUAUAAUGUAUGGCUUCAAGGGGUGAGCCCUGGUGCAACAGUAAGGCUCUGUUGCCUUAUGACUUGGAGGUUGUGGGUUUAAAUCUUGGUAACAACCUCUCUCCUUGCUGGAGUAAGACUGUAUAUUUAUUGACCCUCACCAAAUCACAACUCUCGGUGGGAGCCUCAUACACUAGGCUGCCCUUUUUAAUAUAUGGCUUCAAGUUUAUCUUGUUUGCGCAAAAUGGAAGGUAAUAGGCGUGUAGCAUUAGCUGUUAGGGAAUUGAGAUAGAAGCUACUACCUAAAUUGCUGUGGUGUUCGUUCAGCUUCUUUCGGGAAAACAAUUCAAUGUUCGUUCAGCUACUUUUGGGAAAACAUUUCGAUGUUCCAAUUUUGUUAUCUAGUGAUAUUAGACAUGUAAUUUUAUUCAGAAAGCCUUCACCUAACAGCUUAGGCUUUCAAUGAGAGUUGGAAUCUGACAUGGUACUGGAGUUUCCAUGAUUGAGUGAUCAAAUGUUCUUCCUUGGUAUCACCAUUCUUAAUAUAUAGUUGAAUUUCAACACGACGUAGAGUGGGUUUGUGCAUUGUUCAUGUUUCCAGCCCAAGGGAUCUUGUAUUGUGUAAGGGCUUGUAUUGGGAAUAUAAUAAUUUUGUUAAUAAAUUUUACCAAAUACUUUAAUGAGUUGGUUGUUAAUGAGAACAUAAAGUUUACCAAAACUUUAAGGAGUCGGUCGUUAAUAAGAACAUAAAUUUUACCAAAACUAGGCUUCAAAGGGAUUAGGACAUAAAAUUGCAUAAAAAGUUCUUGGCUCUUGGAGCCUUAGAUAUUUUGUAGUCUUUGAUGUGAUUUCUGAAGAGGAACGAGCACUAUUGCAUUAUGAAUGUUUUCAAAUUUUAAUCGUUUUUUUCUUUGAAUGUGUUUGAAAGUUGUUAAAAGAUUUGUCUGCCCUGCACAACCAAUGUCCAAUGAGCCAGGAGAUCUGUCUUCCAUUAUUGGAAUUGGAAAAUGAUCACCAUGACAAAUAUAAAUGUAAAAUUUAGUUAAGUAAUUAAACAUGAGUUUUUUUAUUAAAAUAUAUUACUCCCUUUGGAUUUAAAUAUUAACAAAAAAGUUAUCUUAUAAGUUGGACUUAAAUAUAAGUAAAUUUAAUUCUAAUUAAUGAUUUGUUUCCUUAAAACAUUAUUCAUUUAGUUACAAUUCAUUAUUUAAAGAUUUUUUUAUUCAUAGUAUUAAGUUCCAAGGAAAGAUAUUAUAGGAAUUAUUUUUAUUUUUUAUUUGAGAUUAGUAAAAUUAAAUGAUGUAAAUUAAUUUUUUUAAUUAAUAUAAAAUUAGUUCAUUUUGUUUAUAUAUGAGUUUGAAGAAAGUAUUAACAUGUUUUUGUUGUAAGUUUUCGUUUAUUUUCAACAUAAUGUUAAUAAAAGAAAUUGCAAUGACUUGGUCAGCAAGAUCCAAUACAUUCUAACACUUUUUUAAACAUGUUACUCUUAUGUUAUUAUUGAUUAAAAAUUUAUUAAAAAUUAUAAAAUUAUUAGUUAUUUAAUAAAAUGUGAGACUCAUUAUUUUUUGUAACUGUAAAGAAAUUUUAUGCAUAAGAAAAAUGUUUAAAAGUGUCAGAGAUUGCUGAAUUAGUUUACUACUCCUUAAGCUUUGACAAGGUGUUCAUCAGCGUCAUUAAUUGAGUUAGGUUAGUUUACCUUGUUACGGCACAGGUAACAACUUCCGACAUGAUGAAAACUCUCUCGUGACGGGUGGUGUGUAGUGUACAAGGUUUGUGACGAAUUUUCUUCCAUGUCGACGAGUGACGUGAUUAUUAGACAUUUCGGUUAGUUUAAGAAAUAAAUUAAGCUCAAUUUUUAAGUUAAUUAGUUUAAAUACUUUAGAGUAUAGUUUUCCAACUCAAAAAUAACUUGAAAGUUAUUUAUCUCUAUCCCUGAAGACAAUUUCAAUGAUUAUUAUCUGAAUAAAAAGUCGUUGACACAAGUAAUUUAUAGUACUGCUUGAAAUCAUUAAUGAAGAUUUGAGAUUAGAUCUCCCGAUUGGACAUGAAAUCAAAUGAUGAUCAUCUCUUGCACCAAAAGUUAUUGGCACAGUAAUUUAGUAUCUGGGUUCUUUAAUCAAUCUUGGAUUUCCUGCUAGGACAUUUUCGGGGAUUAUGGUUCGUAUUUUUGCUGUAAGUGUCCAAAAAAAAAAAGAGUUUACAUUUUAAACAAACACGCAACAGAUAUAGAUUAUAGAGUACGUUUUCUAACUAUUUUGUGUGUAAUAUUUUACGGCAAACAUGAGAACAUCUGGUUGGCUAAAAUACGAGACCGUGUCAAUGAACGACUGAUAUUUUCGCCUCCAAACAAUCCUCUGACUUCAAUUCUAAGAGCUCGAAAAUAUCAAGAUUUUAACGAUUAUUCCAAAAUUGUAGAACCUCCUUAUAUAUGAAGGGACGAUGAAACCAAACCCAAGUUCCAUGAACCUAUAAAAACAGUGUGUGUUCUCUAACAAAAUGUAAUAUCUCUAGUACUAAAAAACAAAAAACUCGUCAAGUGGUUGUGACAAGAUAAGUAAUAUGCGUACACAAAUAUUCACCGGCAUUGCUUAUAUAUCCCUCCCACAAAUUAAACCUCUCUAUUCUAAUACUGAAAGAGUUAAUAAAGAAUGGCAACAAUAGCUACUAGUGGUGUGAGUCUUUCAAGCCCUAGCACAGUACUUGCUAUGAAAUCAGACUCAGCACAAAAGGCCCAGGCCAUGAGCUUCCCAGCUCUGUUCAGGCCCAUUCAAAAGUGGCCCGGUUUGGUGAAGGCCCGGCCCGUUUGGGCCACGCCGGAGAAGAUAUCGGAGAAGGUGGAGGAGAGCAUCAAGAGCGCGGAGGAGGCGUGCUCGGGAGCUGGCGGCGACGCAGAGUGCGCGGCGGCGUGGGACGAGGUGGAGGAGCUGAGCGCGGCGGCGAGCCACGCCAGGGAGAAGCAGAAGCAAUCUGACCCGCUCGAGAACUACUGCAAGGACAACCCGGAGACCGAUGAGUGCCGCACCUAUGAUAACUGAACUCAUGCAUUUCAACGUUUCAAUGUAUAUCUAUUAUUCUACCUUCUGUUACAUCAGAGACACCAUGUAUUAUUAUUAUUAAUUAAUUCUUAUUCAUAGUAAGAAUAUAUAAUUCAAAAACUGAAUCACUCGUACGAUGACGCUGUUUUAUUCGUGUAAUUCAUUCAAAAUAUCAAAAAGAUAAAAAUAUAAAAUUUAAUUCUUGAAAAUAUAAAAAUUUGACUAUUUUUUUAAAAAAAAAUAUUGAUAAAUGUUAGUUUUUAGAAUUGAUGACAAAUCAGCACUAAUUUAAAUCAAAUACGUACUAAUGAUUGCGUGUAUUCCCUAAUUGCCUGUCGGGUUCAAAUAAUAAUUAAUGCAUCCUAUACAUAUUGUCACAAAAAAGGGUUUUGUUUUGAAAACACAUUAUAAAGAAAAUAAUUAACUAAAAAUUAUCAGCCUUAUUACCUUUACCCGUAGAAAAAGGAGUUUCAACAACGGUGGAUAAACAGAAAUAAUGAUAGUGAUUGAUCGUUUCUAGAAAAGUUAACCCUUCGAAGAUGAUACUGACAUUAACACCAUUUUUUAAUAUUGUUUUUCUAUAUCGUUAUUGAUCUCAGCACAUUCUUAGAAAGAUAUUUAAAUUAGAUAAAAGUAAAUUUAUAUAUAUAUAUAUAUAUAUAUAUAUAUAUAUAUAUAUAAAUGUAACAUAAAUCUAUGGUCAAUUACAAUAUUUAAUUAAAUAAAAUAGAAAUAUAAACACCACUUUAAUUUGACUCGGAUACAUGCAUCCAUAAAGACUACAAAAGGCAAAAAGAGAAGGAAAUGAGAUACGAAUAUAUGUCAUAAGUAUAUAUAGGUGACAAGGGCAAAUUAAAUAGGUUGGUAUUUAAAUGCAAAAUCCUAUGUUUGAUAAAGAAUGGUAUGAAAAACAGGCAAAGUUAAUUGCAAUUCAAAGGUGAACAAAGCAUUUCUUUGUCUACACUAAUGGCAUGUCUAAGUAAAUUAUUAGUCUUGUAUCUAUAUGUCCACAAGUUAUUAAUUAGUCUUAUACUAUCAAAAACAAGUUAAGUUGCAAAUCAAACAUGAACAAAGCAUUUGUGUUGUAACCUACGAAAAAAUACCCUAACAUACUGAUACGAAUAAUGUGGCCUAAAUUGAUCGUUUACCAAAUUACGGUGCUGGAAAAAAAAAUUGCUCCUUUACCAACAAAAUUAAGAACUGAUACAUCUUGUUUUUUGUCACUGAAGAUAAACACGUGAUCUUUGGCAAAACAUAAAGGCCAACAAAACAAACUUGUCUCAUCCCUGAAUGAUUCGAAUGCCAUCGUAUGCGUGUCACAAAGUGGAAUACAGCAAUGAACAAAUGCUAUCCUCUUGAGAAAAGUGAAUGCAGCAGCAGCAGCAGACUAGAGUGCUACAAAUGCUUAUCCUCUUGAGAAAAGUGAAUGCAGCGGCAGCAGACCUGAGUGCUAUAUACAAUUAGACACAGGGUCUAUUAAUUGAAAUUGUCUUAUUAUUAAAUAUUUCGUUUUAUAUUAAUUUUUUAAAUUUUAAUUAAAUUUAUAUAUAUUAUAUUUAAGACAGAUAUAUUUAUUUGUGAUUAUAAAUGUGUCACUUUUUCUUUUAGUCCAUGUAUUCUUCUAUUUUUUCAAUUUAACUUUUUAUUUUUAUUUUUAAGUCACUCUUGAUCAAGAAAACAUUGUUGACAUAAAACUAUUAACAUAAAAUUAUGUUAACAUGUGAUAACAUCAUAUUUUACUAAUAUAACGUCGCAUUUUAACGUUUUUUUAACAAAUAUCGACUGUAAGAGUAAAAAUGAAAUGUUUGAAAAGGUUAAUUGCAUACUAACUAUUUUUUUUCCUAUAAGUAAUCUUUUUUGGGAUCAAUUGUAUAUCAUUGAGAUACGAUAUUAAAUAUGGGUACCUUUUCACAAAACCUAACCCUUGUUAGUCAAACCACACAUAAGAGAGGAUGGAUUUAAACCAGUCAGCACCGUAAGUAUAUAGUGAAGAAGGCUGAUAACACACUCUAUUAUUGUUAGUACGUACGUAUUUCCUUUUUUGUUUAGUUUUUGAAUUUAAUUAAUUAAAAUAUAUAUGCUAACAACAUUAAAUUUUAAAUUUACGUCUAAUUAUAUAUUGUGAUGUAUAAUAAAUUGUCAACCUUUAAAAAUUAUAAAAGAAAUAUUAAUUUUGAUAAACAACUUUUGAAAAGUACCCAAUAAUGCUAGUAUAAAUAGGGGCAUGACUCCCCAUGCAUCACAGUGCAAUUUAGCUGAAGCAAAGCAAUGGCUACUUCAAAGUUGAAAACCCAGAAUGUGGUUGUAUCUCUCUCCCUAACCUUAACCUUGGUACUGGUGCUACUGACCAGCAAGGCAAACUCAGCGGAAACUGUUUCUUUCAGCUGGAACAAGUUCGUGCCGAAGCAACCAAACAUGAUCCUCCAAGGAGACGCUAUUGUGACCUCCUCGGGAAAGUUACAACUCAAUAAGGUUGACGAAAACGGCACCCCAAAACCCUCGUCUCUUGGUCGCGCCCUCUACUCCACCCCCAUCCACAUUUGGGACAAAGAAACCGGUAGCGUUGCCAGCUUCGCCGCUUCCUUCAACUUCACCUUCUAUGCCCCUGACACAAAAAGGCUUGCAGAUGGGCUUGCCUUCUUUCUCGCACCAAUUGACACUAAGCCACAAACACAUGCAGGUUAUCUUGGUCUUUUCAACGAAAACGAGUCUGGUGAUCAAGUCGUCGCUGUUGAGUUUGACACUUUCCGGAACUCUUGGGAUCCACCAAAUCCACACAUCGGAAUUAACGUCAAUUCUAUCAGAUCCAUCAAAACGACGUCUUGGGAUUUGGCCAACAAUAAAGUAGCCAAGGUUCUCAUUACCUAUGAUGCCUCCACCAGCCUCUUGGUUGCUUCUUUGGUCUACCCUUCACAGAGAACCAGCAAUAUCCUCUCCGAUGUGGUCGAUUUGAAGACUUCUCUUCCCGAGUGGGUGAGGAUAGGGUUCUCUGCUGCCACGGGACUCGACAUACCUGGGGAAUCGCAUGACGUGCUUUCUUGGUCUUUUGCUUCCAAUUUGCCACACGCUAGCAGUAACAUUGAUCCUUUGGAUCUUACAAGCUUUGUGUUGCAUGAGGCCAUCUAAAUGUGACAGAUCGAAGGAAGAAAGUGUAAUAAGACGACUCUCACUACUCGAUCGCUAGUGAUUGUCAUUGUUAUAUAUAAUAAUGUUAUCUUUCACAACUUAUCGUAAUGCAUGUGAAACUAUAACACAUUAAUCCUACUUGUCAUAUGAUAACACUCUCCCCAUUUAAAACUCUUGUCAAUUUAAAGAUAUAAGAUUCUUUAAAUGAUUAAAAAAAAUAUAUUAUAAAUUCAAUCACUCCUACUAAUAAAUUAUUAAUUAAUAUUUAUUGAUUAAAAAAAUACUUAUACUAAUUUAGUCUGAAUAGAAUAAUUAGAUUCUAGAAAGUUAUAAAUAACAAUUAUUAAUUUUAGAAAAUCAUAUCUGAAAUGUGAAACCAAUGACUUUACUAGUUGUUACUGUUAUGAAAGUAACGCAGAGCAAACAAGAACAGCAGCAACAGAUGAAUAAUAUGUCAUACGUAGAAUUAGCAGUAAAAUGAAAGAGAGAAAGAAAAGAAAGAACACACAAAAUUUUACGUGGUUCACCCUUGUGUAGGCUACAUCCCUGAGAGGGGUAGAGAGAUUUUAUUACUGAUGCAAUUCAAAGGAAAGUACUAUCCAAUACAAAACAACCUUUCCUUAUAUAAGAAAGGAUUAGAAAAAAAAAUAACAGAAUUAACUGCCAUAUGAAUUUUAGUUAUAACCCAACAAUUCACCACCUUGAACUAACAUCUUAUAAAACACAAACUGCACCCUCCAAAUACACAUUGAACUUAACUCCAACAAUCAACAUUGAGCAAGCUUAAAUAGUGAUCAAACUUGCUCUUUGGAACUGACUUUGUGAACAUAUCAGCAGGAUUGUGCAAAGUACUGAUCUUAUGAACUUUAAUUCUUUUUUCUGACCGGAUGAAGUGAUAUUUAACAUCUAUAUGCUUGGUUCUAUCAUGAUGAACCUGAAUCCUUGGCCAAACAUAUAACACUAAGGCUAUCAUAGUAGAUGUUAGCAUAUUCUUGAUUAAUUCUUAGAUCAUUUAUAAGACCUCUCAGCCAAAUCUCUUCCUUUGUUGCUUCAGUAAGAGCCAUAUAUUCAGCCUGAGUAGUUAAGAGGGCAACAAAAUGUUGAAGUGUUGUCUUCCAACUCACCAAACAGCCACCAAGAGUGUAAGCAUACCUAAUUAGGGACCUUCUCUUGAUAAGAUUAGCAGCAAAGUCAAUAUUAGAAUAGCCAAUGAGACAUCAAUCCGAGUUAGAUCCAUAGAUCAAACCUACAUUUGUAGUCCCUUUAAGAUAUCUGAAAAUCCUCUUUACAGCCUUCCAAUGUUCCUUCUGAGGUUGGUUUAAGAACCUACUAACCAUGCUAACAGCAUAAUCAAGGUCAGGUUUGGUGCACACCAUGGCAUACAUGAGACUGCCAACAACACUUGAGUAUGGAACCUUUGACAUAUAGUCUUGAUCAGCCUGAGUUUGAACAUUUAUUAUAGCAUACAACUUCUCUCUUUCCAAAAGGGGAGUACUGAUAGGUUUAGAAUUAGCCAUUCCAAACCUCACAAGUAUCUUCUGAAUGUAAUCCUUUUGAGACAAAAAUAACCUUUUCUGAGUUUUGUACCUAAAGAUUUCCAUUCCUAAGAUUUUCUUUACAGACCCUAGAUCUUUCAUAUAAAACUCACCACUCAAGUUGUAUAUCACACAUGCUUUUAGUUGUAAUAAGCAUGUCAUCUACAUAGAGUAAAAGAUAGAUAAUUGAUCCAUCCUCCACCUUGUUAUGAUAAACACAACAAUCAUAGGGACUUCUCUUGAAUCCUUAGCUGGUGAUAAAGCUGUCAAACCUCAUGUACCAUUGCCUUGGAGAUUGUUUUAAUCCAUACAAUGACCUCUGUAGUUGACAAACAUACAUUUCUUUUCUUUGAACUUCAAAUCCUUCAGGUUGUUUCAUUAGAAUAUUUUCUUCUAAUCUUCCAUGGAGAAAAGCAGUCUUGACAUCAAGUUGUUCAAGUUCCAAAACUUGGUUUUCCAUUAUAGCAAGCAAAACCCUGAUGGAUGUAUGUCUAACAAUAGGUGAAAAGAUUUCGUUGAAAUCUACUCCUUAUUUCUGGCUGAAUCCUUUGGCAACUAACCUAGCCUUGUAUCUUAUCCGUUCCUUUUCUGAAAGACCAGGUUUCCUUUUGAAUAUCCACUUGCAACCUACCACAUGUAUUCCUUUAGGUAAUUCAACAAGUUUCCAAGUUUGAUUCUUAUAUAGAGAUUCCAUUUCCUCUUUCGUAGCUAACAACCAAUUUUCAACUUCAGGAUGAUUAAUAGCUUCCUUGUAGGUGGCAGGUUCAUUUGAAUCUAUUUCUUUAGCUGCAUGUAAUGCAUAGGUAGCCAUGUCUUCAAAACCAUAUCUCUGAGGAGGCUUGAUGACCCUCUUAGGUCUCUGACUGAUUCCAGGAUUGAUUUGAGUAGAAUCAGGUUCAACAUUUUGAUAAAACUCAUUUACACUGGAAUCUUCUGAUUGCUCACCUUCUUGAAGAAGCACGGGAGAUGUAUCUGUAUGACUUCCUUUUUAUGAGUCUUUGGUUAUAGAUUCUACAUUUUCUUCUUGGGGAGAGUGACAACUCUGUGUUUUAGUAAUUGGAACCUCAAGUUUUGGAUGAAACAUAUGUGAUUCAUCAAAAAUUACAUCUCUGCUAAGAAGAACUUUCCUUUCAAAAGGUGACCAGAUCCUAUAACCUUUCACCCCAUCACCAUAAGCCAUUAACAGACCCUUUCUUGAUUUAGGUACCAACUUUCCUUCAUUGACAUGAUAAUUUGCAUUACAGCCAAAUACUCUUAGGUUUGAGUAGUUUGUUGUUUUGUCAUUCCUGAUUUCAAUAGGAGUUUUUAAGUCCUAUAGGAGUAGAGGGUGUUCUAUUGAUCAGAAAAUAAGUUGUAUUGAUAGCUUCUCCCCAAAAACUUCUAUUGAGACCAACAUUAGAUAAUAGGCAUCUUGUUCUUUCUAGAAGUUUUUUGUUCAUUCGUUCAACAACUUCAUUUUGUUGAAGAGUGUUCCUAACAGUAAAUUGUCUAGCAAUUCCUUCAUCCUUGCAGAAUUUAUUAAAUUUCGUUGAGCAAAACUCUAGGUCAUUAUCAAUCCCAAGUCUUUUAACUUUCCUUUCAGUUUGUUUUUCAAUCAGUGUCUUCCAUUCUUUGAAGCAUUUGAAAGCUUGACUCUUCUGACUCAUGAUGUAGAUCCAUGUCAUUCUUGAGUAGUCAUCAAUUAUGGAAAAGAAAUACCUUCCACCACCUAGUGAAGGUACUGUUGCAGGUCCUAACAGUCAGCAUGAAUGUAAUCAAGAGUUCCUUUGGUGGUGUGAAUUGCUUUAGGAAAUUUAAUCCUAUGUUGCUUGCCAAAAAUACAAUGUUCACAGAAUUUAAGUUCAUCCAAUUUUUGAUUUCUCAAUAGAUGUUGUUUUUGAAGUAUCAUCAUACGUUUUUCACUCAUAUGACCAAGCCUCAUGUGCCACAAUUGAGUUAAGUCAGGUAUGCUCUUAUUGAAUUUUGAUGCAACAACUACUAGACCAUCAUCAAUAUAUGUUGUACCUUGAAGUAUAUAGAGAUUACCCCUCUUUAUACCCUUCAUCACCAUUGUAGAGCCUUUCUGAAUUUUCAUGACCCCAUUUUUAGUAUUGCAUUUGAACCCCUUUUCCAUCCGUAAUACCUAUAGAGAGUAGAUUCUUCUUCAGCUCUGGAACAAUGGUGCAAAAGUUGGCCCCUAUCCAUUGCAUGCUACGCCUGCAACCUAGACCCUACGCUGCACAUUGUUUUGCCAGUUUGGAGUUUGGACGGUGAAAUGUUUCUGUUUCACAAUGUUUCGCCAAUUUGGCAAGCGAAACAUUCCUGUUUCGCCAGUACGGAUGGCGAAAUCCGUAGCACAUGUCAUCCUAUUGAUAUUUCAAUCCUGGCAAAGACGAAAUGCGUGUAGAAACCAAUCCCCCAAAAAUAACUUUUAAAACAGACCCUAUUAGAUAAUAAAUUUCUAAAUAAAAUCCUGAUGUCAAUUUACCCAUACAUGCGGGUUAGCCUAUCUGAACCGGCAUAUCCCCUUUUUCGAUAAAUUAUUUGGUAAAUUCAUUUUGACAUCUUUAUGAAUAUUCCAAUAUUUAAUCACGACAACUAAACGCACAAUACUUUUAGUCCAUUUACAAAAGAGACUUUACAUGCUGCCACAAUAAUUUUGAAAGUUUUGAUGCGUUACUUUUUUAAUCAAUUAUAUGUCAUUUUUUAUCAACUAUUUUUUUCAAAUUAAUCCUUCACUAUUAUUUUUAAAUUUUUAAAAUUUUAAUUUUUUAAAAUUAAAAAAUAUGAAGAUAGCUUAAAGUCUAAAUCCUAAAAUCUUUUUAAUAUAAACAUCUUUAAAAUUAAAGAAAAGAACAAAGAAGAGUACUCAUCUGAAUAUUCCGGUAUUAUAUUUUUUUAAAAUGUUAAAAUAACUAAAAAUAUUUUAGUAUUCAAAUUUCUAAAAUUAUCUUUAAUCAUAUUUCUUAAUUUAAAAAAUAAUAACCAAGAAUUAAUUUUUUAAAAAAUGACAUAUAAUUCAAAUUGAUUAAAAAACUAACAAUAUCAAAAUCCCUUAAAUUAUCAAAGCCACUGUAGAAACACUCUUUACAGAGUUGAUGAUAUGAAGAUGCCCAAUCAUUCUCACCUUGUUAUGUUUUUUGUCACAUAAAGUUAAAAAAAAAAAUGAAAGCGUUGCCUUACUUUAAAACUAAAGUAUGCCAUAAGUAUGAUAUUUAAUCAUAUAUUUGUUAACCCAGACGCACCGAGGGCGAUAUUCUUCUUCGCAAGCCAACAAAGGAAAAAUUUGACAGGUCAAUUUCGCCAACCAUGGAAAGUGAAAAUAUCAAUUAGGAAAUGGAAAGUGGUUGGUAGUGGUGGCAUGUUUUUAAAAUUAAAACGACACCUCACUUAGGCAAUAUCUUCGAAUUACGACAUCUCGGACCACUUGAUAAAUCACACGAGAAUCUUCCAGGUUAUUACCAAGCUAACAUGAGCAAGGGAAUAAUCGGAGACAACUCAGAAGAUGCCCCAGCCGCCAAUAAAUAAAGCAAGAAAUCACGAAUAUUCCACGACUUUUUACUAAAAUGUUAGACUUAUCCGUCGUGAAUUAGGAAAAAAAUGUAUAAAAAAAUUAAGAUGCCACUUUUUUUUUUCAAUUUUAUUUUAGUUUUGUGAAUGGUUUUGGAAAGUCUGAUGUGAGUUUUAGAGUUUUUUAUUAACACAAAAUAUCUUUAAGGAUAUUUUAACCAACCAGGCCACGGUUGUUUACUAUGUUUGAUGUUUGAUGUAAUAGUAUUUUUUUUAAUCACUUUAAUUAUAAGAUGCUUCUACCGGAAAAUGAGUUUAUGAUGGAGUGUCUGCUGAAUCAGAAUCGUGAGUUUGUGUUCAACCAAAAUUGUUAUCGUUCAUUCGUGUGCACAACUGAUAUUUUAGCAUUCUGGUAAUUUUGGUUGGUGUGAUUGUUUACAUUUGGUAAAUUUGUGCAAAUCCUUGUUGACAUUAUAUGAUCUCAUAGUUGGACAGAGGCUGUGUUUGAGAUGUUCACUGAGGUUAAGAGGUUAAAGUGAUGUUGUGUGAACCAACCAACCUAUAUUAUUUUGUUUUAAAUUUAGCCAUGUUCAGACGCAUACGAAAUCAUUAUAUUAUAUUGAUCAACUUCAUAUCCGUCAGAUAUACACCUUCAACAUCUAACUAUCUUUAUUUCUCACGCACGUGCAAGACCUAAUCCUAAUUAUUAUUAACAAUUCCCAGUGUGUUUGAUUUACCGUACGCAGCCUUGUCUUAAAAAAACGACGCAGAGGCCAUAAUGCAUUCGAAAAAAAGUGAAUCCGCUUGAUGCAAUACCAAUAUUCACAUUAUAAAUUCAAUAAAUUUUUAAAAAACUUGCCAUCGUCUAAAAGAACUAAUAAUACAACACGACUUUACUAUUCUGAAUGAAUAGUUGUGGAAGCAUUGUCUAAAUGUAAAAUUAACUUUUCCCCUUAGUGCUUCUGCAACUCUUUUACGGAUUCUUAUAAGAGGAAUAUGCUUUUCCGAAAGAAACAAAAAAAAAACACUUCUAUUUAUUAAGUUCAAGACGAAGUAAUUAUUUUCCAAAAAUUAAAAUUAAAACAUCUCUUUUCAGACCAAAAAGUCACAGAGGGAGGCCAUAUUGCUAAACGAAUUUGCGACAACCCCGAUCCAUCGCAUAUACUUCGUCCAAAUUCCAAACAAACUAUAUAUCGUCGUCUACCACAAAACUCAAAAAGACCUGGAUUCGGCUUACUCCAAUUUGUAAUUUUAACCGGAAACACAAUUUAUAUCGAUUCACAAGACAAAGUGCUUAUUUGAUUUGAUUUGAUUGGGAAAUUUUUGAUACAUUUUUACUGUCACAGAUGCAUUCACAAUUGACUAUUAAUCUAAAAUUGAUAUUGAUUUCGGAUUGAAAUUUGAAAAGUUUCUUUGAUUUUAUAAUAAAAUAUCUAAGCAUAAUUCCCUUCCCUUCAAAAUCAAUUUUAGACUUUCAUACAAACAACCGCAACUUGCAACACCACAAUACCAGUCACUGUAACAAAGCAGAUACGUUCAACCAUGUAACGAUACUGCAUACACAAAACAUAGUCACGGAUCUAAAACACACACACACAAAAAGCACACCAACACGCGAUAUGACUCAUUAAUUAACACCAUACACCACCAUUCCCUUUCUUUAUUCACCAACAACACUAGGGAACGAACAUCAACAAUAAACCUAAUUAGAAGUACUAUCAAGCAAACAGGCCUUCAUUUCCAUGGAAGAACAUGUCAGGCGGCGUUGCCAUCAUAGGGUGGGGGAUCUGCCAGGGCAUGAAGAGAGGGUCCGGAAUCUGCGGAAUCUCGAAGGAUUCGCCGCCGACCUCAUCGGCGAUCUCAAUAAUGGAGUUCAGAAACCUUAACCGGUCGGCGAGUUCCAUGGUCUGUGCUCUGAGGAUGUCGUUGGCGGCCUCCAUCUCAACGUACGCUUCCUCCUUCACUUUUAUGCUCGGCGCCAAACGCGCGUUCUCGCCUUCCAAUCGGCUCACUUCGUCGGUUAGGUCUUCGAGCUGCUUCUGCUUCUUCAUCCGCGAUCGCCGGGCGGACUCGCGGUUCGACUCCAUACGCUUCCUCUUCCUCUCGUACAUCACCGGAUCUCCUCCCUCCGACGAUCCCGAACUCGCCGGGCGUUGAAUCGAAGCCAUUGGAUUUGGGGGUUUCGUUAGGGUUAGGGAAAUUAGGGUUUUGCAGAUCUGAUUAAUUAGAAAAAGGGGGAAAUGUUGGAGAAAUUAGGGGAUUGAGAGGGGGUUAGUUCAUGAGAAGACGUAGAACCAGUAGAGGAAGACGACGGAAAAGGAGUGGAGGAGACGGAUUCGUCGCAUGGGGUUGCGAAUCGUCAUAGAAAUUCUUCCUUAAACAUUUGAUUUCGUUAAGCCAGGAACCCUAGAUUGAAGAGAGGAUCUGAAUUAUGAAGACACAAAACGAAGAAGGGGGAAAUCGGGGAUUGAAAAAGAGAAAUGAAGAAAAACAAUACAGAAGGGGAAAUUGGGGAAUGAUGUUGAGAAACAAAGGGGAAGGUGAAAAAAGGUUUAUCGGGAGAAGGUUCUCUUAGAGUGUUUAGGUUGGAUUUUAUAGAGAAAAAAAAAAGUGAGGUUAGUGGGGGAUGGAAAACGUGCUUGGGUGCAUUGGACUGGGAAUAAUUAAUUACACCUCGUCGUAGCUGGCGGCAACGUGACGACACCGAGACAGCUGUUUUCCUCACGCAACUCUACCCUUUCUACUCAUCAUUUCUUUUUUUUCUUCUUCUUCUUUAUCCCAAGUAAUUAAAAGGUAGCUUCUUAAAUUACAUAUCUUGUAUGACGAAGACUAGACUAUGAAGAUGAAACUUUUUUCGCAUCUAAUAUAAAUUUAAAAAAAAGUUAGAAUCAAUUAUAUCCGUCUGAUUUACCAAUAAAAAAAUUAAAUGGAUGAGAUUUUUUUAUGGCAAUCGAAUGAAUAUGUAACAGGAGAGAAGGACAACAAAAUCUUGCAGGUUGUUAAAGUUGACAUAAUCAUAACUGAGCGAUCUCCUACUGUCAAGUCCCUACAAAUCCUAACGGAUACGACUUGCCCCAAUUGGUUGAACAAAUCAUACAGUUGGGCGUCCGUGACGUUCGGGUCGAGAUCUCCAACGUAUAGCGACGUCGUCACGAACUGAUUUCUAACAGUACCACCACCGUUGCGAACGAGAAUCGCAUUAUGAGGCGGAACGUGAACCUGGGCCAUCUCAACCAAAACAACUACAACAACAACUUAAAUUUCUAUUUUUUUCCUAAAAAAAUAUCCCUAAUUUUUCCUUGUGUUUUUUCUUCUUUUUGUUUGUUUCUCUUCCCCCUCCUCUUGUUAUUGGACACAAUAAAAACACUCUAGGAAGAACAGAAAACCUAACUUAGAACGAUAAUGAUAACACGGUCUUUAGAGAAAAUUUUAAUUUUUUUAGAAAAAAGCGAGGAGAGGGAAGCGGGAUGAAUGCGUGGCGGAUAGGGAGUGGCCGCCGGCGAAAACCACGCCGGUGCGUGAGGGAGAAGGGAAUUUGAGAGAAAGAGAGAGAGCAAUGGAAAUAAGAGAGAACCCUUCUCUCCUGUUACAUAUUCAUCCGGUUGUCUUGAAGAAAUCUCGUCCAUUUAAUUUUUUUAUUGUUAAAUCAGACGGAUACGAUUGAUUCUAACUUUUUUUCGGAACUUAUAUUGGAUGCGAAAGGAGUUUCACCUUCACACCCUAGUCUUCGUCAUCUUGUAUACUCUUGAUUAAUUACGACACGUAAAUUUCAUUUCAAAUAUAUGGUGUAUUUUUAGAUUAUAAAACGUUUUUUUUAUUAGCAAACAGUUAUGCAUUACUCAAUAAAAUUUAAUUCAAUUAAUUAAAUAAGAUCCGUUAAUUAUUAUAAUUUUUUUCACAUUAUUUUGAUUCUCACAAAUAAAAAUUAAAAAAUAUUAAAAGUGUGAUUUUUAAUAUUAUUGUUGUAUUUUAUCAAUUUUUUAACACGAAUUACUUUUCUAUUAUAAACAAAUUAGAUACGAAACACUCCUUAUUCUCAAUAUUUUUUUUUUCAUGUGUUUGUUGGAAAAACUCUCAGAAUUAGCCAAGAAAUUACUCUUUCAGUUAUUGCAUUUCUAUUUGUAUGUCAUUUUUAAAGUUUAAAGUCAUUAAUUGUUUUUUUGUUAAUUAUACUCUUACCCAUUAAUUAUUUUACACAAUUUAAGUAAAUAAUUGAAUCUUUCAAAGAUAAAAUAGUUACUUAUUGGUCAGUAAUUUGAUGGAUAGAAAUAUAAAUAAAACUAUAAGUGAAGAGAGAAACAAGUGUAUUCGAAAAGUGAAUUCGGAAGGGAUAUAAUAAGAAAAGGAUGUCAUCUAAAUAAAAAAAAAAAAUAGUUUUCUUAAUUUGCACAAACAAACCUUAAUCGACGUAUAUUUAAAGACUGAGGAAGUAUCAAACUAUAGUAUAUAUUUUUUUGUCAAACUUAUAAUUGGUUCGAGUGGCAGUGUAUUUAAAUUUCUUAAAUAAAAUCGGAAGUUCGUAUCUUUUAUAUGAAAAAAAAAAACACUAUCAAAGGUAUUUAGUCGGAUUCAUUGAUAGAUAUUAGUUAUUAAUAAAGUUGGUGAUUAAUGUCAUGAUAACCCAAAAUUUUAUAUUUUCUUAAUCUUGGUAAUCUCUAUCAAUUUACUUUCUUUUAUUUUAUUAUAUGAGUUUAAAUUUAAUUAUAGUUUAAAAAAUAUUACCAAUGAUUCAAAUUAAAUACAUAAAUAAAGAUAAAAUAGUAAUUUGAUAGGAUAGAAAGUGAAUUUUAAUUUUUAUUAAUUAUAAAAAAGUGUACAAAAUACACAUCUAAACAAAGAAAGAGAGUAUAGAAACUCGUCAAAAAGAUAGCAUGGAAAGUGUCUAAUUAAGAAAAUAAAAAUAAAGCAUUUAGUCUUUAAAUUAAAUAUUUAGAAUAAAAAAUAAAUUAAUAUUAUUUCCUUCAAAUAAUUUAUGCACAAAUUAAUUGUAUUUCCUCCCAUUGUGGCUGACGUAACAAAGUUUAAUAUUAUUGUGUCAAUCUUAUGUGUAGAGGUAUAUAUACGUCAACAAACAUUGCAUAAAUAAAAGUAAGAUUUUACUAAUUUGUUAUAGUUGAUUCGGUCAAACAUAUUAUAAUAACAACUAUAUUCUAAGCUGAUUUUAACUGUCACAAAUAUGUUUUUUCCUAAGCCUCCAUUUAUAGCUUAAUAAAUAAAUAAGCUUAAAAUAAUUUACAUGAAUUUGAAAAGUUACUUUGAUAACUUUAUUCAAGUAGUACUAAAAGGUAAGGGUGGGAGAUGGGUUAUGUUCAUUAGCUUUAGUCCGUUUAUAAGGAUAAGUAAAUUAGGCCAGGCCAGUCGUUGGAAUUUGGGCUUAUUUUUUAGUCAGCCCAACAACUAGAGCUGUGGGCUAGGGGCCUGGUAGGCCCGUUUUCAUAUCAGACUGGUAAGUAAGUUGCAAGUUGCAACGAACAAACAUCACAGACACGGUUUCUUUUUCAUUUCACAGAUCAGAGAGGGAGGAGCGAGUUGAGCAGAGGAAGAACAAAGGAGAAGAGAAAAAAUGGUGGGUAAUGAAAUAGUAGUACCAAUGGACGACAAAGCGAAGAGGAUGCGAGAUCUGCUAUCCAGUUUCUACUCCCUAGACCCUUCCAUCUCCAACACCACCUCCAAACACGCUUCUCUCGACGACAUCAAUUCCACCUCCUUCGAUCCCGAUCAGUACAUGAACAUUCUGGUGAAUUCUUCUUCCCCUCCUCUCUCAAUUAAUCACUCUCGUCGUUUUCGUCGUCGUCGUCGUCGUCGAAGAUGAACUUCAAUUUGGAGCAUGAAUGAAUGAAUGAAUUAUGCAGGCACACAAGUCCAAUUUGGAAGGCCUUCUACAACGCCACGUUGCAAUGGCUGCUGAAAUCAAGAAUCUCGACACCGACUUGCAAAUGCUAGUUUACGAGAAUUACAACAAGUUCAUCAGUGCCACAGACACUAUAAAGAGGUGCGUAUGCUUAUAAGUUAUAGCCAUUUCUCUCUUCUCUUGCUCUAUCGUGUCUACAUUGUUUGCAUCUAAUAUUUGCUUCUCAAACAGGAUGAAAAGUAACAUUUCGGGGAUGGAGACGAAUAUGGAGCAGCUUCUUGAGAAGGUAACCGUAGCGUACUGACUAUAUUGAAAUGAUUAGAAUCAAAAUGAAAAUAGGAUGAAAGGGACUUUGAUAGGAAUUCACAUUUUUCUCCAAUGCAGAUAAUGUCUGUGCAGUCGAGAAGUGACAGUGUCAACACUUCUCUAUUUGACAAAAGGGAGCAUAUUGAGAAACUGCAUCGGACUUGUAAUCUUCUUCGUAAAGUUCAGGUAUUAGAGCAAUCAUGCAUGUUUCUUUAUUCUGGCCCAUCAUCAUUUCAAUAUUGUGUUCCCGCAUUGGUGAUAUGAGUUGUGAGUCUUCUGUGGAAGUGGUAUAUGACUGACAUACUUUUUACCUUUGUCGAAGAGUAGUUCAUAUAUGAUCUCCCCGAUAGACUAGGCAAGUGCAUCAAGUCGGAGGCCUAUGCAGAUGCAGUCAGGUUUUACAUUGGAGCAAUGCCAAUUUUUAAGGUUGUGGUUGGCUUAUAUGGUUUCUGAUUCCAUCCCUUGAUUACUUUUAAACACAACAUACUAAUCCAGGUCUCAGAUGAAAUAUCUUGUUUUCCCCUCUCUUUACUAGGCAUAUGGAGAUUCAUCAUUCCGGGAGUGUAAGCAAGCUUCUGAAGAAGCGAUAGCUAUUGUAGUAAAAAACUUGCAGGUAUAGUUCUUUUACCUGCGUCAGAUUUUUUGGACAUGAACCAUAAGCCAAAAUGCAAGUAAGGGGACACUGUGGAUUUCUUUAUCUAAUCCUUUUUUGAAAUUAUUUUGGGCAUGUAAAAUAAACUACGGCUUAUUUAAUUUUUUAAGUUGUUAUUUUGCUGUAUCCUACCUCCCCUGUAAAACAGCAAUAUCAGCUUACAUGGUAUGAGGCUGUUGGCAGAUAUCUAGAUGCUAUCUUUUUUAGUUACUGAAUUCAUAGUAAAAUUGGAUAGGAUUAGCUCACCCUGUCCAGCAUUUCUAUUCUUUCAAACAUGGGUAAAACUUUAAAAAGUUAAUAGAUCACUGUUAACAUACAUCUCUAAUAUUUUGCUGAAUAAUAGCUGAUGCUCAAUUGUUUUUAACAGAAGCUUGUUAUCAUGAUUUGACAUUUUUCUGUCUAACCAGGGGAAGCUAUUUUCAGAUUCUGAAUCAAUACAAGUGAGAGCUGAUGCAGCAGUGCUUCUUAAGCAGUUGGAUUUUCCGGUUUGUAAUUCUUUUUUUUAAAUAGAAGAGUGGCAUUUUGCGUACUUGUUGAGAUAUGAUGGGAUUUUAUCAGCUAGUAAUUAUUUUCUGAAUGUUUAAUAUUGAAGAACCGGCCUUAUGAUGAUUUUUUUUUGGCAUUGCAUGGAGAGCUUUUGGCAUCCACCUUGUCCUCUUUCCCUCCCUUUAGAGAGAAAUAACAUUAUAUUUUCUUGGCUGUUAUUAAUAAAUGUUAUAUGAUGCUAGGUUUUCUAUUUAUUGGCAGGUGAACAAUUUGAAGGCAAAGUUAUUCGAAAAGUUAGAACAAUCUAUUUCAGACAUUCAACUGAACCCUGAAGAAAUAAAUAAAGCUUCAGGGGAACAUUCUGCUCAUGAGGUAACUAGUGCUAGAGUAGUAUCAUUUUGUUUAAUGUCCUCCUCUUUCACCCCUUGAUAUCUGGCUUAACAUUUUACUAUCGUAUCUUGGUUACUUAAUAUGUUAAUGAUGAACAACAUUGAAGUUAUGCGUGUAUCCUAGAGCACCAAUUUAAGCGAGAUGUAGAUGUAGAUGUUUCUGUGAAGCAAUGUAUAACACUGAUCAGGACUGUAUGAUAUGUGUUACGUACCAGAAAUGCAGAAAACAGGAAACACAGAAAAAUGGGUAGUAAUAAGGGAUGAAAGCUUUAUUAAUUCUAAUCAGUUGAAAGCAAAUACAGAAGAGGGAAUAACAAUCCCCAGAUCUGACACAGAGCUAGGCUCCUAAUAGGAAGCUAGAGUCUCCUAUACAUUCUAGAAUAUUCCUCCAAUUUCCCAGCUGCCCCCUUUUUCCCCUCCCACUACAUCCUUAAAACGAAGAAAAAUCAGAUCCUCUCUCUUUCAUUCCUGGACACGUCAUCCACUAGUAACAAACUAGCCACUAUUUCCCUUUUUGCCCUUUCUGACAUACACCUUCCAAACCUUGGGCCCAUUUGACUCAUGAUGAAUCAACUGCUCAUGUGGCAUUCCUGCAGCUGGCUGGGUCCUAUCAAUACCCCCUUCUUCUGUUGUGGCCUUGUCCUCAAGGCCAAACUUUGGAAAUUGGCUUCUGAUCAUAAUCUCAUCUUCCCAUGUUGCUUCCUCCACAGUUUUGCCCUUCCAAUGAAUUAGAACCUGUUUGACUUCUUCCCCUUGCUGUUUCACUUUCCUGGCUGCCAACACUGCCUCCGGUUCAUACAUCUCAAUGUGUUCUUCCAACAGGUCCGGUAGUUCUUCUUUCUCCUCAUAUCUCCCAACAGCCUUCUUCAACAAAGACACAUGGAAAACAGGGUGCACUCUGGACCCCUCUGGUAAUUUUAGCCUGUAUGCAACUGCUCCUAUCUUCUCUAUAAUAGGGUAUGGGCCAUAAUAUCUAGCAGCUAACUUGGCAUUAAUUCUGGACACCACAGACUUUUGUCUAUGUGCUCUAAGCUUGACAAACACCCAUUCUCCACACACAAAACUCCUAUCCACACGCCUUUUAUCAGCUUGAUUCCUCAUUCUGUCUUGCGCUCUUAACAGUUGACUCUUCAACUGUCUCAGAGCCUCGUCCCUGUCCAGCAAAUCCCUCUGCACAGCUUCCACUCUAGUUUCACCCUGCAGCCAUCUGGUCAACACCGGUGGGGGCCUCCCAUAUACUAUCUCGAAAGGUGUCUUCUCUGUGGCGGCGUGGAAUGUGGUGUUAAACCAAUACUCAGCCCAAUGUACCCAUGACAUCCAAGUCUUAGGCUGGUCUGAAAUGAAACACCUUAAAUAGGUUUCUAGGCACCUAUUUACUACCUCUGUCUGCCCAUCAGAUUCAGGGUGAUAUGCAGUACUCAUUUUGAGCUUUGUCCCCUGCAUUUUGAACAAUUCCUUCCAAAAACUACUCAUAAAUAUGGGGUCUCGAUCACUCACUAUAGACAGUGGUACUCCAUGAAGCCUAAUUAUCUCUUUACAAAACACAUCAGCAACGCUCCUUGCAGUAUAAGGAUGCCUAAGUGGUAUAAAAUGGGAAUAUUUAGAUAACCUGUCUACCACUACCAGGAUAGCUUCAUACCCCUUUGAUUUGGGCAAGCCUGUAAUGAAGUCUAUAGAGAUAUCCUCCCAUACUUGUGCAGGAAUUGGUAAAGGCUGGAGUAGACCCCCUGGGGAUGAUGCCAUAUAUUUCUGCCUCUGACAGGUGUCACAGCCCUUCACAAACUCUUGAAUGGUCCUUUUCAUGCCCACCCAGUAUACAUUCGCGGCAAGCCUUCUGUAGGUUUUGUAAAACCCAGAGUGUCCUCCAUGUGGGGAAGAAUGAAAUUCUUCUAACAGUGUAGGAAUUAAUUCAGACUUGUUUGAAAUUACCAACCUGCCUUCAUAUAGUAAUACACCCUGUCUAUACUCAUAUCCAGGCCACAGAGUGGGAUCUUCCUGCACUUCCUUCGUUAUUCUCUGUAACUUCUCAUCUUGCUUAUUUUCUGCCCGCACUUGUUCUUCUUGCAUCCAUUUCACAUAAGAAUUAAUAGUGUUUAACUCCAGCCCCUUGUUAAUUCUGGACAGCGCGUCUGCCCCCCUGUUCAAUCUCCCUUGUUUAUACACAAUCUCAAAAUCAUACCCCAACAACUUGGAAGCCCAGUUUUGCUGAUCAGCAUUAACCACCCUCUGUUGCAACAGUUGUUUCAGACUCUUUUGGUCAGUGGAUACUACAAACUUCCUCCCCAAAAGAUAGGGUCUCCAGUGUUGUAUGGCUAGCACAACCGCCAUCAACUCCUUUUCAUAAGUAGAUUUAACCAAAUUCCGUGUUCCCAGGGCCUUGCUAAAAUAGGCUAUGGGUCUCUUUGCAUCAGUAUCGCUCCUACACCUCCUCCCGACGCAUCACAUUCAAUCACAAAAUUUUUAGAAAAAUCAGGCAGAGCAAGAACAGGUGCUGUAGUGAGUUUUUCCUUCAAAGCUUCAAAAGAUUGUUGAGCUUCCUCUCCCCAUUUAAAAUUGUCCUUCUUGGUAAGCUCAGUUAGCGGUCUCGCAACUUUCCCAUAAUCUUUUAUGAAUCUUCUAUAGUAUCCUGUGAGGCCCAAGAAUCCUCUAACCCCCUUGACAUUCUUAGGCUGUGGCCACUUAAUCACACUGGCCACUUUACUAGGGUCUACAGCAACUCCCUCUUCUGUUAUUAAAUGCCCCAAAUACUCUACUGCCCUUUGAGCAAAGUGACACUUCUUUCUAUUGGCGACUAGACUGUGGGAGGACAGUAGACUCAACACCUCUUCCAAGUGCAACAAAUGAGUUUUCCAAUCCUUACUGUAGACGAGUAUAUCAUCAAAAAAAACCAAAACAUGUUUUCUCAAUAGGGGCCGAAAAACAUGGUUCAUCAGACUUUGGAAAGUUGAAGGGGCAUUCAUGAGUCCAAAGGGCAUCACAAGAAACUCAUAAUGUCCCUCAUGCGUCCUAAAUGCUGUCUUAUGGACAUCAGAUUCCUUUACUCUAACUUGGUGGUAACCAGACUUUAAAUCCAGUUUGGAAUAAAACUUAGCUCCAUUCAACUCAUCUAAUAGCUCCUCGAUAACCGGAAUGGGAAAUUUGUUACGUACCAGAAAUGCAGAAAACAGGAAACACAGAAAAAUGGGUAGUAAUAAGGAAUGAAAGCUUUAUUAAUUCUAAUAAGUUGAAAGCAAAUACAAAAGAGGGAAUAACAAUCCUCAGAUCUGACACAGAGCUAGGCUCCUAAUAGGAAGCUAGAGCCUCCUAUACAUUCUAGAAUAUUCCUCCAAUUUCCCAGCUGCCCCCUUUUUCCCCUCCCACUUCAUCCUUAAAACGAAGAAAAAUCAGAUCCUCUCUCUUUCAUUCCUGGACACGUCAUCCACUAGUAACAAACUAGCCACUAUUUCCCUUUUUGCCCUUUCUGACAUACACCUUCCAAACCUUGGGCCCAUUUGACUCAUGAUGAAUCAACUGCUCAUGUGGCAUUCCUGCAGCUGGCUGGGUCCUAUCAAUAUGCCUAAAAAUGUUGCAGAAGAUGGACAACAUUUGAGGAAAUGAAUUUAUAUAAGUAGUUCUAAAAUGUUGAUAUUCAUGUGCUGGAAAAGGAUGUUGAUGAGCUGGCCAAUAACAGGAAAUGAAAAAGAAAGUAGUGCUUAAACUGAUGAUUGCUUCAAUGUCCAUGAAUUAUUGUAUCAAAUAAUCUGCCAAGAGAAUUGAUGAAUGGAAUAUUACUACUGUUCCGAUCCAAUUCAAUUUUAUUUUCUUCUAUUUAGCCUAAUUUACUUCCAUUAGUAUGUAUGUUUUCUCCUGUAACUGCAGUUACAAGACUGAUGAAUUAGAGUCUAUUGUUGCUCUCAUUUCCUAAUGUAGGCAGCUAUACAUGAAUUUGUGGAGGCAGUUCGUGCAUUUCGAGUAAUAUUUCCUGAUUCUGAAGAACAGUUGGUUAAACUUGCUCAAGAUUUGGUUACCAAGUUUGUAUCAUUAUUUACCGUAGGAAACAUUUUUAUUUACAGUAAAUUAAAUUCGUAUAACAUGCACACUUUUUAAUGUUUGCUAGGAACUUUGUAAUUACCGAGGAAUAUGUAAAGACACGGAUUUCCCCAGAAGAACUACUUGGUGUUCUUCGUAAGUUGUAUGACCACUAGUAAUUUAGUAUUUUUUUUUUGUGUUAUAUUUGUAAUUUCUGGGCAUAUGCUUGAUUUCUAAAGCUAGAUGGCUUUUUACUUUGAGUCCACAUUAGACAUAAGAGCUAAUGACCUUUUGACUCAUAUGCCUGUUAUACGAUAUUUAAUUUUUUUGAACAAAAUAGCAUGUUUUUUGGUCCAAUUUCAUUUUUUAUAUGCAUGGAUUUUUUUUCUCUCUCUGGGCAAUCCAAUUCUAUUUCUCAUAGGCAUGAGGAUGUGUUUAGAAGAGCUUAUCAAUAUGAUGUGACAUAAGCACUUGUAUAAGUGUUUGGGAGAACUUAUGAAAAUAGUUUGUGAUAUGUCCAUAAGUUGUUUUCAGCUUAUUUCAAUAAGCUUUCCAGGAUAACUUAUGAAAAUAAAAUUAUAUGAAAACAAUUUACGAUAUUUCUUCUUCAAUUCUAGAAACAACUUAUACAUUAAUGCUUACUUGAUAAGCAUUUAAUUAAGUUGUUUAUCCAAACCCAUCCUAAAUAUAUUGAAAUGGUCUAUAAAUAACCCAUCCUCCCCUCUUUGAAACUUUGAAACAAGGGCGCUUCCGGUUCUGUCGGUGCUUGAAACAAUUUUGUCUUCUCCAUAUUACUAUAUCUCGAGAGUCAAUAAUUUUAUCUAUUUUUCUUUUACCAUUUAUCCAUGUGGAAAUUUUCAAUAUAUCUGUGUGUCCAAGCCAUUUUUUCUUCUCUUAAACUUGUCACUUUUCCAUAAGUAUAUUAUUUUAAUUGUUAAACCAGUAUUCCCUCUUCCUAACCUUACAUUUCUUUAAUGUUGUAAUCACAGGAGCUAUCUGGAAUGACGUGCUCCUGAUAGAUGAAGUCUUACAGGAAGCAGCUCUCUCUAACCAUUCUCUUGAGGUUAUCCAUUAAUCUUGUUGGCUCAAAUGUGAUUGACCUAAACUGUAGCUAUUCAAUGCUCCCUUUCCCCUAUUUUCAGAAUGUAAUAAUUACGAAGUUAAUGUUUUAAGAAUUAAUUUCAAUCAACUAACCCUAAAUAUUUCCAGGCUGCAAAGGUUGCUGUCACGUCGUUUGUUAGAAGUACAUUUUCUCAUCUUCUGCAAGACAUCUCAGGUUAGUUCUUUCACAGUUUGACUUGUAUUCAGAAGGCUUCUGAUAUUAGGUUUCAGCUUAAUAUUCAAAUAUUUAUGCUACCACAAAAUAGGAGAAUCAAAAAAUUAAAAAUCUUUGUUGAUUUGCACCAAUGUGGCUGGUUGUUUUUUUUUAUAAAAAUGAUCAGAAGCGUAGAAUGCUAUAAAUUAUGUUGUUUCCGAUUAUCACUUUUCAAAAUAGCUCUAUUAUAUAUUUACAUGGUUUUAGCUACGGGAAAAUUUUUAGAAAGUUGUUUGCAUAACUGUGCUGAGUUAGCAUCUGUUUGGUAGAUUCCCUCUUACAAAUCCUGAAAAAGGAUGGAGCAGAACAGUGCACUCUUGAUGUUGUUCUUGAUGCAAGUACAAAAGCAGUUCUCCAAGGAGGACUGAAUGUGUUGCUGGUAAGCAUGUUUGUAUGCUUAGAUUCAUCUAUACAAGGUUAUAUGCAAUUAUGUGUGCAUGUAUUGCUAUUGUUAAGAUUUUCUGUUAUUUGUGUUUUUUGUCAUUUCAUUUACAUUUAAUCUCUCUCCUUCAGGACUUCCGCAAAGUUUUAGAUGAUGACUCUGGGAUCCUAGUUAGAUUAAGAGAGUUAAUUACUGAUUGGGUUCAAGAAGGACUUCAAGACUUUUUUAGGCAACUUGAGGAUCAGUUCCUUCUGUUUUCGGGAAGAAAUAAUUCAUCUAUUCAAGUACACGCUUUGGCAGAGGGAGCUCAAGGUUAUAAAGCUUUUGCUGGCCUUGUCCUAGUGCUGGCACAAUUGUCUGUUUUCAUUGAACAAACUGUCAUCCCAAAAGUCACUGAGGCAAGGGUUCAUUUGAUAGAGUUUGACUCCUGAAAUUUCAAUUUCUGUUGUUAAUUUCUCUUCCAUAUCCAAUGGGAAUACCUUAAACUUUUCCUUGGAAUCUUCAGGAAAUAGCUGCUUCCUUUUCUGGUGGUAGUGUUAGAGGCUAUGAAUCUGGGCCUGCCUUUGUUCCUGGAGAAAUAUGUCGAAAAUUUCGGUCAGCUGGUGAAAAAUUCUUGCACCUGGUAUAUUUUUAAGUUCAUAUUUUCUUUUCAAUGGAACUGCAACUCGUAUGACACUCUGUAUAUUGUUGUCCUUGUCUGUAUGUCGCUCCCUCAUUCUUAUUCAUCUAUUCCUUAGUUAAUGCCUAAAGCCUGCUUGGUGUUUUAGCUUGAUUUUAAUAUUUUCCCAGAGAAUAUUUGUGCUUCCAAGGAAAAGAGGGGUUUCAAUUUGAUUGGCCAUUUUGACCUUUAGACAGUGCCUGUUUGUGUGUGAAGUACAAUCCCAUUUAAAACAUGUGAAUGAUGUUGGACAAAAUUUCAGUCAUUGAAUGGUGUAGUUGUUACACUAUGGAUUGUCGGUUUUCUCUCAUGAACUGACUAGUUUGUAUGCCUGUUUAGUUUUACACUGUCUGGUUGAUUUUACCUGGAGCAAUUUGUUGAGAUUUUGGAGAAUGUUGGCAUACUGUGAGUUUUGAGCAGUUCUUGUUGAUUUCUUCAAUGGCUUGCUUUUAUGGGAACAAGUGGUGGAAGACUUUAUGUUCCUAUGGGUUUUUUGAGAAUAUUAUGUAGUCGUUUGAGUUUAUUUGGGAUGGAUAGUUCAUAUGGCUUUGCUUUGAUGUUCUGGGAUGGUUUCUUUUGAGGGACUCUUGUCUGAUUCGCAAACGAACUAGCAAGCUUUACUUUGCAUUGUAGUGCCCUUUCUUGAGUGCUUUGGUUUUGGAGGAUAUUUAAUCUCCAUUUAUCCAUACCUGUUCUGUCCUUAGUCCUCUAUUUUUGUUUUCAUUAUUUAAGAAAUAUCUUCUGGUUAAGCAGCAUUUACAUAUAUACUGUUUGAUUCUUUUCAGUACGUUAAUAUGAGAACUCAGAGGGUAUCACUUCUCCUGAAGAAGAGGUUUACCACCCCUAAUUGGGUUAAGGUCAGUCUGUUAUAUACCAUUUUUUCAAACGUAUAAGACUGGUGGUUGGUUAUCUUUGAAAGAGCUUGAAUCUGAAGUUUUUCCUUUGCUUUACACAGCAUAAGGAGCCAAGAGAUGUUCAUAUGUUUGUUGAUCUAUUUCUUCAAGAGGUUGGUGUAUUCAAUCAUUCUUUUCUGUGUCUUUUCAGUUGCAUGAAUGGUUUAAGCAUUGUGAUUGAAUAUUAGUCUUACUAAAUUUUGCUUACCUAGAAUAUAAUUAUUCAUAUUUGAUGAAAAUAUAUGUUAAUUGAUUAAAGCAACAACAACAAUAAAAACCUUAUCCCACUAAGUGGGGUUGUGUUGACUAUAUGAAUCACCUGACACCAUUUAGAUCUGUUAAAAGCCAAAUUUUAAAUGAAGCAAACUGGAGGAUAAUUUUAAUUUCCUUUAUUUUUUUUCCAGCUUGAAGUUAUAGUUAACGAAGUGAAGCAGACUUUGCCUCAAGGUAGACGUAAGCACCACAGGACUGAUAGUAAUGGAAGUAGUGUUUCAUCAAGGAGUAAUCCCUUGCGGGAGGAGAAACUGGGUAGGUCAAAUACUCAAAGGGCAAGGAGCCAGCUUUUCGAAACGCAUCUAGCAAAAUUGUUUAAGCAGAAAGUUGAAAUUUUCACAAAAGUAGAAUAUACACAGGUAUUGUGUGAUUAUUAUAUUGGUGAUUUGAAUUUAAAUAAUUCGUUGGGAGCCAUGAUAUCGUUUCCUUACAAAUCGCAGGAGUCUGUUGUUACAACUAUAGUUAAAUUGGGCCUUAAAAGUUUACAAGAAUUUGUCCGACUCCAGACUUUUAACCGAAGUGGAUUCCAGCAAAUUCAAUUGGAUAUCCAGUUCCUAAGAAUCCCUUUAAGGGAAAUAGUUGAAGAUGAAGCUGCAAUCGACUUCUUGCUAGAUGAGGUUGGAAAAAUUCUCCUAAGUAUAUAAUUCUUCAUAGAGAUGCCAUGCAUUUUUUCCAAUGAGAAUUACCUUUAGUUUUGCUGUUAUUUUUUUCCUGUUCUAAACUCAUGCGUGGGUUAUAGCUUCUUAAAUCUUAUGUAUCUAUCGUGCAUAUUUUAUUUUUUGUAUGUUUUGGGCAUAGGUGAUUGUUGCUACUGCAGAACGGUGUCUAGAUCCGAUUCCAUUGGAGCCUCCCAUAUUGGACAAACUUAUACGAGCAAAGUUGGCUAAAACCGAGGAGCUAAACACAAUUUCUUCAUAAACAUUCUUUUUGGAAGCAAAGGAUAUAUAUAAAACGUGUUUCCCAUCUCGUAGAAUUUGUUAUGGUUUUGGCCGUUGAAAAGUAACUUGGUUCAUUUUCUGUUCAUUUUGUAAAUCUCGUAAGUUAUAGUAGCAUUUGUCAUAUUGCAAUGCUGUUAUUUGUGGAAACAUUGAAACAUGAGAAAGUUAUAUCCAUUUUUGACUCGAGAGCUGAGUUAUAUCCAUGUGAAUAUGUGAUAAUUCCAGGACCAGCUCACGCGGUACAUAACUGUUCAAAAGGGUAAGCCGAUAUUAGUGAAAGUCAGAUCUUUAAUAUUGAGCAAAAGUUGCUCGUUUUUUUAAAAAAAAAAUUUCACUAGAGAUGCUUAGGAACAUCUAUAUUGGUGAAAAUAACCUAAGUUGCAUAAGUUUUUAUUUUAUAAUUUUUUGAGGCAUACCAUGGCACGUUUAUUUAUUUUAUAUAAUUUAAGCAACUUUCUUUUCAAUACUACGACUCUACAAAAUUCACUAAGUGUGACUCCAAGACUACCAAAUAUUUUAAAUUUGAAAUAUUCGUUUCUCAAUAUUUUAAAUAUAUUCAAACAAAGUAGUAAUAUUCUAAUAUUUUAAAUUUGAAAAAUAUUCUUUUUACUUUCUAUCAAUUUAAUUAAUGAUAACAAAUAAUAAAUAAUAUUUUGAUCAAAAUAAAUUUAAAGUCAAACCAUAUGAAUUUAUACUCAAAGGUGAAAACAUCAUGCUCAAAUUACAAUUUUAUGUAAAUAAAAUUAAAAGUCAGCAAUAAAAUAAAAAUAACAAUUCAUUUUGAAAAACAAAAAAAAUAGUAUUUACUAUUUCCAAUCAAGUUUAAAUUUAAACUAACUUCAAUAAUACAAAAUUAAUUAACAUUAAAUUAGAACAAUUUGGUCAAAUGUAUAACAUAAUAGUGUAUUAUGGUAUAUAUCACAUUUAUUCAAAUUUUAAGAUACAAAUCACCUUUUUAUUGUGUUAGUGCAUUAGUUGUUGAAUAAUCAUGUGAUUUACGAAAGAAAAAAGAGUAAAAAAAACACGGCUGUAUUUUUUCUCUUCCUCUUGAUCUUGGGUGAUGUUACUAUGUUAGUAAGUCACAUGCCACACAAGCGAAACAGGAACAACGUUGAGAUGACAUGGAACUAAAUACAGAUUCGCCCGGCUGCCCGGAAAGACAAUUUAACCUAUCUUUUUUUGUUUUUUGGAAACAAACAAAUUUAACCUAUCAAAAUACGAGAGUAAAAUAUAACGGAAAAUAUUGAAGAUAAUAUAUACCCUAUUUUUUACGCGAAUAAAGAAAGAAAUAGAUAAAAAAAUUGAAAAAAAAUCAUAUCAAAUGACAUUAAAAAAUAAAUAAUAAAAUAGAAAAAAAUAGAUAUGUCAUAUAACAAAAAAAUUUAGAAUUUUGUAUGGACUUAUCGUUGAAAGAAAUUAAAUAUCAUUUUCAUUUUUUUUAUUAUAUGUUAAUAAUCAUGGAAAGAACAACUGAAAUAAAGUAAAAUACUAAAUUAUAUCAAUAUUUUUUUUUUGUGAAUGAUUAUAAAUAUAAUAUAGAUUACAUCAAUUAAGUACACGGAAUUAUAAAAAGUGGUCCCAAAAAAAUUACUCUAAAAUAUAAGUACGCAACUUUGAAAAAUAUUACUUUUUCACGAUAAUUUGUUAUUUUUUUUAAAAAAUAAUUAUUCUUUGAAAACAAAUCAAAACAAACAAGACUUAGGAGUGUAUUGGUCAUUUCGAGUAUAAGAUCCCAGAGGAGCACCCAAUCCGAAAUCUCGAAAUCUUAUUAGCUGCCCCAAACGCCAGAUUUUUGUAACCUUUGCAGUCUUUGGCAAUUUUUACUUUUCUAGCAUAGUUAAACGUAUUUUGACAAAAUAAUAUUUAUAAAAUCCUUAAAAUAUAAGUCCCUUGAAAUUGAUCCAGCUCCCUCCCCUCCCUCCCCGGCUCCGUGGCGGAGAUAUACCGCAAAAGAAGUGCAAGACCUAAUAAAUCCACUUGCACCAGAUCCAUGGCAACACAAAAGGUCAGUGAUUAAAUUUCUCGCCGUUUUUGGAUUCAUUCAUUCCUUACCCCCUAAACCCCUUUUCUCGAGAACAGUGCUGAAUUUCACAGCGUAAAUAAAUAUAACGCCUUUCGGUUUCAGAUUCUGUCCUCAUUCUUCAUGCGCCUUUGAAGUGCAACCCCCCUCCUUUCAGCUGCUGCAACCUCAACCGUUUUCGAGGUCCUUCUUUCGUUUUUUCACUUACUUUUCUUUGUUUUAUUCACUUAACUGUUGCUCGCUUUGUUUUAUGAUUAUUAUUCCUCCAAAGCGUCGUCGUCUUGCAACUUGCAAAUUGCCAGUAACAUUUUAAUCUUAGCUUCCACUGAUUGUUCAAUUCGGAACUGACCUAUCCUCGUUUAGGUUUUCCCUCAUUCAAUUAAUUAAUAACUCUCUCUAUUGCCAUGCACUUGUUUAGGUUUUGAUUUUCAUUCAAUUUAGAUUUAGAUUGGUAAUGGACCAUAUUUAUUGUUAAUCGAAGGUUUGUGUUUUAUGAUGUGAUGAUGUCAUGUUGUUAAUCUAAAGCUUGUUGUAUGCUGUGGUGCUGUCAUAAUGCACACUAUAUGUUUGUUGCUGAUUUUCAAGGAUUGAUUUUGAAAAUUUUGGCAUAAUAAUAAUUAGGACAAUUUAUGCACUGUAGUUUGUUUCUUUGUUGCAGGGUGUUUUCAGAACAUGGAUUCGAGGAAGGGCAAAGCUUCUGUUUCUGCAUCUUCACUGAGUGCUGCACCUUUGAGUGUUUCAAAUAAGGUGGAUCAGAUGGUGUCGCCCCCUAGGGAUGUGAGAGCUGUUGAGACUGAUGUGGAUAUAGACCUUAGGGAAAUUUACUUUUUAAUCAUGCACUUUUUGUCUGUCGGGCCAUGCCAUAGGACUUUUCUAAAUUUCAAGGAGGAACUUUUAGAGCAUCAGCUUCUACCUAGAAGAUAUCAUGCUUGGUUUUCAAGAAGUGGUGAACCCAGUGGGGAUGAUGCGGAUGAAGAUGAUGAUGGCAUCUCUUUACCUUUAGAUUACAGCAAUCUAGUGGGCAGGUAUUUUUGCUUUAUAUAUGCCCUCUGAUUUGGUUUUGUACUAAUUAUUACUAUAUGUAAGGUUGGAGUUUUAUGCUUAACUUUUCAAUCAGCAUUUAUUAUAUCUGAGUGGUUGACAGUUGACGACUACUCUCAAUCAGAUGGGCUAUCAACGCCCUUGGCCUUUAAGUGCAUGUAACUGACUUAACAUUUAAAAAAGGGUAGCUGUACUCCAUGCUCAAUGCUAAUAUACUUAAAUAUUUAUUGUUAUUAAUAUUUAUUUGGAGUUUAGUGUAGGGAAUGCUUUUUUUAAAUAAAAAAUAAAAAAGGAAAAUAAUUUAUGAUGGAAGUGUAUGAUUAACUUUGGUAGAGAUAUCUUGACUAUCUUCAUUUAAAGAUUACUUGCAAAUAGCUGAUGCUUCAUAUUUUAAUCCAAAUAUUUAUUGUUAUCUGGUUUGAAACACUUCUCUCUUAAGUUAGUAAUAACUGUUUUUUUGAUAUUAUCUGUAAAGGCUUAAUUAUUGUUCAUUUUGUGUAACUACAAGGUAUCCUCACAUAACUAAGGAUCAUUUGGUGAAGCUUCUGAAGCAAUUGAUGCUGAGUACGGUCAAUCCUUUGCAUGGAAAACUUGAAGGAAGUAGUCCUAAUGCAGCUGAUGUUCCUACUUUACUUGGAUAUGGUUCAUUUUCGCUUCUUAAUGGUACGUGAUAAGCUAUAAUAAUCUUUUUUUCUUGAUGAUCAUUCAAGCUAAGAUCACAAGUUAUUAACUCAAACUGAAAAAAUGUUUAUAAUCUUAGGCUAUUAUAUGAAUUUAAUGAAUUAGCAAUCUGUAAAUAUCUAUUAAAGAUUUUCUUUUCUUAGUUUUGUGGUAUAUUCUCAAAGGGAUGAUUAACAUGUCAGGGCUUGCUUUAAGUUACUAGGUUUAGAACGGUUAUAUAUAAAACCUUGUUUUAGUUUAUGCUUUGUUAGAAUUGGUAAUUGGAUAUAUGAACCUCCCAAAAUUAUAUUUUCUUCUAUAAGUACACAGUUUACAGUUGUUAUCAUUGGUCUGUUCCAAGACUGGUACUGGCAUAUACAAUGCCAUCAUUGUGUGGAAGGUAGUAAUGAGCAUGUGUAAAAAGGGGUCCAAGAUUCUAAAUGUUUAAACACUUGAUUAGGUUGUUGUCUUUGGUUUAAAAAUUUUCCUAGUCUUCCCUUUUGACAAAUGUAGUACUUGUCUGAAGCUUCUACUGGCAAAUUUGCAUUUAAAUAUGUCUGGAAGUUGAUAUAGUUGACCAUGCCCCCAACAUUAACCACAAAAGAAUGGGAUAUUUACUCUAUUUUCAUUCCUGUGAAUGCACAGUUGAUAGAAAAACAGCUGACAAACUGGUGAAGCCCCCUCCACUUUACAUGCGUUGGCCACAUAUGAAGGCUAAUCAGGUUCAGGGGCUAAGUUUAAGGGAGAUUGGAGGUGGUUUUACUAAGCACCAUCGUUCUCCAUCCAUUCGCAGUGCAUGUUAUGCAAUCGCCAAACCAUCUACUAUGGUGCAAAAGAUGCAAAAUAUUAAAAAGCUAAGGGGGCACCGUGUGGCUGUCUAUUGUGGUAUGAAUUACUCAUCUUCUAAACUUGCUAUUAAUAUGGUGGCUUUAUGCCAUUCUCUGAGUUCAUGUUCAGUUAUUCUCACAAAAGUCAUUAAUUAGAUGUGAGUCACAUUACACCAAUAAAAGCUGAAUCCAAUGCCUUUUCAUUUUAAGUGUUGCUCUCUCUUCUUAGAGUUUCCUUAUGAAGUGAAAUGUUGAUUUAUUAACAAUUAAUAAUUCCCACUUAGAUGCAUAUAAAUAAUUACUAUAAUAGUUGUACUUAUGGUUGAUAGAUUUAAAAAAAAAUGAUUUUAUCUUGCAGCCAUAUUUGAUGGAUCCGGGAGAUAUGUUAUUAGUGGUUCAGAUGAUCGUCUUGUCAAGAUUUGGUCUAUGGAAACUGCAUUUUGCUUAGCUAGUUGCCGUGGACAUGAAGUGAGUCAAGAAUAUAGUCUAUGGAAGUAACUUUGAUAAGUUUGUUUUCCUUUUAAUAUUAUUUAAUCUUAUGUUGUCAUUAUUAAACUGAAGGGUGAUAUUACUGAUUUGGCUGUAAGCUCAAACAAUGCUUUGGUGGCAUCUGCUUCAAAUGAUUUUGUCAUUCGAGUUGUAAGUAGUAGAGCUUAAUUUUUUGUUCUGUCCUGCAAACCUUGUGCAACUAAGUUGACAUUUGCUUCACAACAGUGGCGCUUACCAGAUGGGAUGCCGAUAUCAGUUUUGCGGGGACAUACUGGAGCAGUUAAUACUAUUACAUUUAGUCCCAGUGUCAUAUACCAGCUACUAUCGUAAGUUUAAGAGUUGUUGUGUCCUAUUGUUGCCUCUGUAUAUGCUUUCCUAGUGAUUCUUGUGACUCACAAGGGAUAAGUCUUGACGCUAAUCUAUUUAUUUCAUUCAUAAUAAUUGAAUUGUAAAAAAUUUGCUUUGCUCAUGACCUGUGUCAUAUAAAAAUCUCAAGUAUUUUUUAUUUGUAAAACCAAGUUUUUUUAUUUGGGUAUACAUACUAUAUCUGUAAAACUAAACUUUAAUAUUGUAAUAAAACUUAUAUUAUGAAUUUAAUAUACUCCGUUGCAUGCCAUUGGAUCACCUUGCACCAUUCCAAUGGCCUACAAAGCACCAGCUAUGUGACAAGCAUAUUUUAUAAUUAUAUUCUUUUGCAAAUUAAUUAUUUAUUUUAAUAUAAAUUCAAAUAUUCUUAGUCCUUUUUUUAGAAUAUAUGGAAAAUAUUCAAUAGCUUAUCACAUUUAAAUCUUCUUAUCUUCUAGGAUCCUUAUUCUUAGGUAAUUUAUCUUAUUUUUUGAGAGUUAUUUGUUCUUUAGGAUUAAGAGUCUAGUAUUACUAUAAAUAAGGGAUGUUCAUUAUCAAAUUUAAACCCAUAACAUAUGAAGAAAAUAUUGUUCUGUCUUUCUUCUCAAUUCAUUUCCUCAAUAUCUAAAACUAAAUCAUUUCAACAUGGUAUCAAAGUGGUACCAUCCUCUGUGACCUAUCUUGUAUUGCUUUGCUGUCAAGUUCUGUAAAAUCAGGAGCUAUACUUUAUUUCCAUGUAUUCUCUUACCAACUAAUCAUCUAUUGUGCUGUAUCCUCAUUCCGGCAAGUUUAGAUCUCCCUUUCUCGUCAUUACUGCUGCUGCUCUGUUUUGGCCUUUGUCUAGAUCUGUGCUCACACCUGCAACUCCAGACCUCUGUUUUUUUUUUUGAAGGGGGGGGGGGGGGGUAUUCUAGUCAGUUGAGUGUAAUCUAUGCCCCAGACCAGAAAAAUAUUAAUUUCUUCAUUCUAUUACACACGUAUACAUCAUUCUAGUGUUCUUAAUCUAACUUUUAUGACUUAUGAAAUAUGUAGGUCAUCAGAUGAUGGAACUUGUAGAAUAUGGGAUGCGAGAAAUUCACACAAUCCACGAAUAUAUGUACCUCGACCUCCAGAUGCUAUAAAUGGUCAGAUAAUUGCUUCUAUUUCUGUUAACAGAUCAGUCCUGGAACUGGUAGUGGUUUGAGUUUGGCAGUUUUACCAUAAUAAAUUUGAUAUGGUGGUACAAUCUAUAUUCAAUUUUUGUGUUGGAUCAAUUAGAUUCUAUUAAAAUCUAAAUCCAAUAUAAAAAUGAAAAAAUCUUUUUACAUUUCAACAUGUUUUUUAAAUGAAUACUACACUUAGAACAAUGAAUGGAGUUAUCAAAUCUAGUUCAAACCAAAACUAUGCAAGUUUGGACAUACAAAUUGAUGACUUGUUACUUAAACAUUCCAAAUCAGAAGUCUUUGACUUGUUGACUGCCAUAAUUACUUUUUUUGUUAUUAGGUUGUUCUUGAUUGAGGAAUUAUAAACUUUUUCAGGGAAGGGCAAUGCUCCACCAGCUAGUUUGCCAUCCUCAAGUAAUGUUCAACAAAGCUAUCAAGUACUUUGUUGUGCAUAUAAUGCAAAUGGAACUGUUUUUGUUACUGGUAGCUCUGAUACUUAUGCCAGGGUAGGUUUUCUGAUGUACUCUUUGCAUAUUUUCUAUUUUCUUCCAUUAAUACAAUUAGUCUUUUCUUAUUUAAAUAUCGCAUCUAUUCAUAUAUGUUGAGAAAAUUACUGCUAUUUGCAGGUGUGGAGUGCUUUGAAGCCCAACACUGAUGACGCAGAACAACCAAUACACGAGAUGGAUUUAUUAUCUGGCCACGAGAAUGAUGUUAAUUAUGUGCAGUUUAGGUUAGCCAUCCUGGUUAGAUCUACACUUAUUUAAUUUUAUUUUGUAAGGAUCCUUAUUGUCUUUUCUACUCUGCAUGCAGCGGUUGCUCUGUGGCUUCAAAAAUUUUGACAUCUGACCCCUGGAAAGAAGAAAAUACUUUGAAGUUCCGAAAUUUCUGGUAUAUCCUAAUGUUUCUUUUCUGUAAUUUUUUCCUACUCUUGUUUAGUUUUAUUAAUGUAACAAGUGUACCCUGCACUCAUUACUAAAUGUGUUGCAUACUGAUGUCAUAUAAUUUGUGUAUUUCAGGUAUUGUCAUGAUAACAUAGUUACCUGCUCUCGUGAUGGUAGUGCAAUUAUAUGGGUUCCCAGAUCACGUAAAUCUCAUGUGAGCUCCUUUAAAUAAGAUUGCCAUUGAACUUUGGUCUAUUUUUAUUCUUGAAGACAUUUUCUUUUCCAUAAUUAUUUUGGGCAUCUUUGUGGCAUGUUCAGUUUCAUUUUUUCCCCAUGCUUACCAUAUGAAAUAUGUUGAAGUUUUCCUCUUCUAUUCCAGGGAAAAGUAGGACGCUGGACUCGUGCAUAUCAUUUAAAAGUGCCACCACCGCCUCUGCCUCCCCAACCUCCACGAGGUGGUCCAAGGCAGAGAUUUCUACCUACACCUCGUGGUGUCAAUAUGAUUAUAUGGAGCCUGGACAAUCGCUUUGUGCUUGCAGCUAUUAUGGGUAAUCUACUUGCUAACCCUUUGUUGUAUGAAAAUAGGGGGAGAGGAAAUAAUGUUGGUAGUUUGGUUGAACGGAAAUAGAGUGGAAAUAGGGUGGGGCCCACUAGUACUUUUCCACUCUAUUGCUCACUUAUUUCCAUUCAUCUUCUAUCUUGUUAUUUCUUCUCUAUUUCUCUUCUACCAAACACCUUUAAAUUACAUUUUAUUCCUCAUCUAUUUCCAUUAACCUUUUCUAUUUCCAUUCACUCUAUUUCUUUCCGCUAUACCAAACGGACCCUAAAGAAAUAAUGGAGCAGGGAAAUUUAUACCAACAUAUUAUACAGAUUUUUGCAUACUUAGUAUAUUAAAUUGAUGGUAUCCAAAUCAGUCAAGGUGGUAUAAAAGUUUUAUUUAUUUAUUAUUAUUACAAUUUGAUUAUCUCUUUUCUCUGACGUUAUUUGUUCCUUAUCCUUUACUGACCUUUCUUAAAGUAAAUCACAAUCACUCAUUAUGUUCCAGAUCUGUUGUAUUAAUUUCUAACUCUUUGAUAUGAUAACUUACUAGAAUGACAUAGUAUAAUUGUUUCGACCUCAAGUUUGCUACAUUGUUAGACUCAUUGCAUCUGAGAUAUUGUCAGCUUUUGCUCACAUUGGCCUCACUAUUUUAUCCUUAAAAGGCGUCUUUGAUGCCCACCAUGGGGCUCAAACCCACAACCACAAGAAACCUGAGGCCUACACAAGAACCAAAUCGGAUAAUAUCUUGAAUAUGGUGAUCCUAAUGAUGCAAUACACCUGAGGUUGGAGCAAUAAUAGAAUGUUCAAAGGAUCCUAUGUGUAUAAUCCAUUGUUUGAAAAUCGAUUUUCCUAUAACUAAAUUUGUCGGGGAGAAUGCAUAAUUUCUACUUGGUACUACCACCUGCUGCUGUUACAUACAUCACUAUUGGCUCAACAUGGGUCCUGGUUUAGUAUGCAAUUUAUAUUUCAUUAUUCUCCAUAUGGAGUAAAGAAUAUUGGUUUAGCAUGCAAUUGAUUUUUUAUUAUCCCCAUAUGGAGUAGAGACUAUGAUUUUUGCUGUUUCAUAUAUCACUAAGUGUUAUAUUGCCUCAACAUGGAUCCUGGUUUAGGACACAAUUGAUAUUUUAUUAUCCCCAUAUGGAGUAGAGAAUAUGUUAGGUGUCUGUUGAAACUUAUGAGCGAAUCUGUUCCUAGUCUUGCAAUUUAGGGAGAGUGGUUAGUUUUUUGUUAUGGGAUUGGGCUUGAGAACAUUAUCUAAAAUGCCUAAGGCAAUUUGAACUUGUGCACCUCUUGCUUAUAUGAUAUCCCCCGUACUUGUCUCAUAUACAACCAAUGCGGGACUUCGUAUUUUCCAAUAUUAUCUCAUGAAUAUUAUAUUGUCAUGAUAAUACAUCUUUAUUCAUUUGACUUUGCAUUCAUUCACCACUUUGUGAUCCAUUCCCUACUCUUCUAUAGGUAAUCAAUUUUAACUGAGUACUUGUCUUUUCAUCUUGAAGAUUGCAGAAUAUGUGUUUGGAAUGCAGUUGAUGGCAGCUUAGUGCACUCUUUGACUGGUCAUACUGAAUCUGUAAGACCUAUCAUCUGUCUUUUACUGGGUUCAGUUCUAGCCUCUUAUUAUUUUUCUAUCUUGAUUUGGAUUUUUACAGUUCUUUCAUGACUAAAUGCUGAGUUUUCAAUGGUUGGCAGUCUUAUGUUUUGGAUGUUCACCCUUUCAACCCUCGAAUAGCUAUGAGUGCUGGGUAUGACGGACGAACCAUUGUGUGGGAUGUAAGCUUCUUUUCUUUUGGGUCCUUAAAUCUUAAUGUUUAAAUGUUCUUCUCAAAACAGAUUAAUUUAUGUCUUUCUGGUAUAUUCUUUUUCCAGAUAUGGGAGGGCAUACCUAUUCGGACAUAUGAAAUUGGACGUUUUAAGUUGGUUGAUGGGAAGUUUUCUCCGUAAGUGUCUCAUAGAAUAAUCGUCUUGAAAGGAUUUUUUUUUUGUUUUGUUUGUUUUUGCGUAGUUUUUCAUUUAAUUUUUCCCAUUGUUACAUUUAUUGUUUUUCCUUCUUUAUAGGUUUUGUUUUGUUCCACACUUUGGUAAUACUUUGUGAAUGUCUUUGGUAAUACUUGUGUUUGGCAAAGAAACUUAUUAGACAUAAAGAGAUUAGGUAGCUACCAACUUUAGAGCUAUGUAAUCCCUUUUAACCGAUAAUAGACUUGAGCGAACAUUUAGAGAAUGUGUAUUGGAUUCUGAAAAAUGAAUUGAGUUACAAUGAGUAUGGGAUCAACUAUUUAUAGCUGUACAGACAAAGAACCUCAAAGCUAACUACUUGUAAUAACUGAGAGGUCGUUACUGAGUACUGCUGUCAAAUAACUAACUGAUAACUACAACAACAAAAUGACACCCAAGUUGGUUACAGAGUAAACUAUACUCUAAUACCCCCACGAGCUCAUGAGGGGUUAGAAACCAGAGAAGAGCCAACCAGUCUGUGCUUUGCCCUUGGAGCAGUAAACCUAGUGGGAGAGAGCCUUUGUUAAAAUAUCUGCACACUGAUCAGAGGCAGGAACAUGCGCAACCUGCAGUUGCUUGCUUAUCACCUAAGAGAUCCAGUUCCAUGUGCUUGGUCCUUCCUAGCAUGUAGAAUUGGGUUGUGAGCAAGAGCUACAUGCUCAUACUGUCGCAUAGAAUCUUAGGAACAGUAUGGGGAACUUGCAGUUUAGAUAUUAAUGUUUGAAUGCUGUUGCAAGAAAUAACCUUCUGAAUUCUGAGCGAGCAGCCACAUUCUGUCUCUUAGACCAUCAAGAGACUAGAUUAGACCCAAGAAAAAUAGAGGCACUAGAAGUAGAUCUCCUAUCAUCAAAGUAAGAAGCCCAACCUGCACCACAGUAGGCUUGAAGAGCCAAAGGAGUGUUAGAUUUUGCAAGAUGUAGGUGAAGGUCCCAGGUCCCAAGAAACAGUACCUUAAAGAUACCUAAGUAUCCUUUUCACUACCGUCCAGUGCUGUUCCAGAGGUUGAGACAUGAGUUGACAUUUUUGUUGACAGAGAAACUGAUCUCAGGCCUAGUAAUGGAUUGGCUAUUGACAGAGAAACUACUGAUAAGGCCUUUUGGUAUGGCACCCACAACAAACUUGUAUAGGCUAGCAUCAAGGAGUGUUGGAUUUUGCAGGAUGUAGGUGAAGUGAAGGCCCCAAGAAACAGUACCUAAGGUACCCAAGUAUUAAACUUAAUUUAUUGUCCACCACUAUGUCACAGUGGCAUUUGCUUUAAAGCGAAACCCAAUGGUAAGGACUUAGGAAUGACAUUAUAUCUAACUUUUUUUAAAAGGCCUGUAAUUGCCUCCUUCCAUUUGGAUAAUUCUGAAUCUUGUCAUAUGGACAAUAGUUCUCUGUUCUAUAUUCAAUCUGACUGACAUAUUUUUACUUUGUUAGUAAUGUAAUUGUCUGAAUCCAUGUCAACACUAAGAUACCAUUGUCAAGUUUGUACAUUAUUCAUUUUAAGCUAUGAGUUUAUGCCUGUUGCUUUGUGUCUUGAUGUGGAACAUCUGUAGGCUGUAUACCUACCUUGCUGAUCAUGAGUGCUCCAUGUCACAUAUGCCUACCUUGGUGAUCAUGAGGGUUCCAUGUCACAUAUGAACUAUGUCAUCUUUUAUCCAUCUUAGAUGAAUCAGGAUCUCUGACGGUGUGUAAUUUGUUAAAAUAUUGUGUGUUCAUUUUAGGGACGGAACAUCAAUUGUGCUUUCAGAUGAUGUUGGCCAAAUAUAUUUUCUGAACACAGGUCAAGGCGAGUCCCAGAAAGAUGCAAAAUAUGAUCAGGUGGUCAAAUAUUUCAAUAUUGAUAUUGAUAUUAACUUCAUAGCAAGUAAAUUUAUAUGUCUAUCUUGUUGAUUUUUCUGGCAGUUUUUUCUUGGUGAUUAUCGACCCCUUAUUCAGGAUACUCAGGGAUAUGUUCUUGAUCAGGUUGUGAGUAGUCAUUGUGCCCCUGUACUUUGUUGAUUGUCAUCUUGAUUGACUUGACAAGAUUGUUGAAUUUUCAAUGUGUUAGCUAACCUAUGUGACAUCUGAUGCAGGAGACUCAACUUCCACCACACCGAAGAAACAUUCAGGAACCUCUAUGUGAUUCUAGUAUGUUAUGGCUCUUAUUCUGAAAUUCUUGUAUUAAUAGGAUGCAAAUUUCUCUUACAAUAAUUAUUUCAUUACCAGGUAUGCUGCCAUAUCCAGAACCUUAUCAGAGUCAAUUUCAGCAACGUCGACUUGGUGCUCUUGGCAUUGAAUGGCGUCCUUCAUUGAUAAAAUAUGCUGUUGGUCCAGAUUUUACUGUUGGUCAGGACUACCCAGUGGUACCUUUGGUAGAUUUGGAAGUAAUGGUUGAGCCACAACCAGAGUUCUUAGAUGCCAUGUUCUGGGAGCCAGAAUAUGACAUUAUUGUAAGCGAUGAUGCUGACUCUGAAUACAAUGCAAAUGAGGAUAGUUCUAGUGCAGCCGGGCAAGGGAGUGUUAUCUCUUCUAGUGAUCUAGAAUAUAGUGAUGACUCUAGUAAUAGGGACGGCCUUCGAAGAUCAAGAAGGAAAAAACAUAAUGUUGGAGUAAGUGUCUUCUUUUUUGUUGAACAAUCGUUAAUUACAAGUUGUUAUCUAACCAUAAUGUGUCUCAGGUUGAGGUAAUGACUUCCUCUGGAAGGCGUGUAAGGAAAAGGAAUUUGGAUGAGUGUAAUGGUAAUACUUCUGGAAGUAACAGACUCCGCAAGAAAUCCAAGGGCAGCUCAAAAGCCUCAAAAAGGAAAUCUUCCAUAGCUAAGACAUUGAGACCCCAGCGAAUUGCUGCACAUAAUGCUCGUAGUAUGUUCUCUCAAAUUGAUGAAACAUCUACUGAUGGGGAAGAUAAUGAUUCUGAUGAAGAAGCAUCAGACAGUUUCCAAGAUCCUGAUGAUCUUAGUGAAUCUGAGAGGGAAAUGGAUAAUAAACAUCUUGAAAUUAAAAAGCCCCUUUUAGAAAAGUUUGCAACUGUGUCCAAGCCUCCUGCAUUCUCUGAGUCCCUGGUAAAUGUUGAAACUAGACCGAGACUGGUUGUUAAGUUUUCACUUCGUGAUUCUAAGAAGAAUGUGCCCACUGAGGACACAAGACUAGCUUGUGAGACUCAGGAUAAUAUGGUAUCCCAGUCUUCUAGACCUCAACCUGAAGAAAGUGAUCAAAAAACUUUUCCAGACACAAAAUCGUUGGACCCUGCAUUAUCUUCUAUGGUUGCAACUAAUGCUGAACUUCCCCAAAGCCUCAACGGAAAUGAAAAUGAUGAUAAAGAACAAACUGAAAAUGCUACAAAUAAUCUGUAUGCAUUCAGAUAUGUUGAGGCAAACACAGAUCAGUGCAGAAAGAUGAAGACACACACACAUGAACUUUCAAGAUCAGGGGAUGCUUUGCUGACUGAUGCUGAAAUUGAUGACCUUCUUGAACACAAUGCUAAUGGGUAUGUAAAGCCUGAGAUGAAUCUCAGAAAAAGGUUUAUGAUACCGCUUCCUUUUAUUUAUCUGGUAAUCUCUUCAGAAUCCAAUGCUUUUUCCUACUAUGUUUUGCAGGAGAUCAGAACAUGUGAUUGGCAAGUUAGAGACUGUCGGGAGUAUGGUUAAUACAGAGCUGACUGAUUUUGAAGAUGCACCUAAAUUUUCAUCGCUUGAACCUUCAUUGUUUGGCAAUCCUCAGCCAAAUGCUGAUGGCUCCUUGACAUCUGGUUAUGAUAAGUUCAAUGAAGGUGAUAAAGGCCAGUCUGGAUCUGACAAAUGUGCAGAGGACACACUAGAAAACAAUGAAGUUGUUCACUCAAGCCAUUGCCAUGACCUCAAAAUGAAAGCACCUGUGAAAUCAACCAAGUUAGUUAUUAAAAAGAAACAAAUUUCAGCAGACACUGAAGGUCCUUGCAAACUGAAAAUUGUUAGUUCUAAGGCAGAUUCAAGCUGUGCUAGAGGUAUUGGGAUAUCUGAAAAUUCCUCCUCUAUGGGGCCUAAUCUAGUCACAGAAGUACCAGAAGGUGAAGAUGACAGAAAAUUUAGUUCUCCACAGCUACUGCAUUCAUAUUCUGACAAGAGAAGUUAUGAUCACUUCCAUAAAAGGGACAAGUCAUAUAAAGGGAAAGUCAAUCAAGAUGGUUUUGAAUCUUUUGAUUGUGAUAUGGGAGAACAUACUUCUGUUUUCAGCAACCAACAUGGUUUAGGAAUUGGUUUGUCUGAUGUUACAAGUGAUCCUAUGCGUCAAACACGGUUUAUAAGGAUGAAGACAACUUCUGAGGAGCCAAGCACUUCAAACAGAAGAAUUAAAAUUCGACAGGGUCAAAGUUCCAGGGGAAAAUCUGAUCGGGAAGACUCUUCUACCAGAAUGUCAGAUCAACUUCAUCGAAGAAUAAGGACAGCCAGACACAGGAAUGGUGAAUAUAUUGCCAAUGAUUCUGGUACUUUAACUCGAAGGGUGUCAAAUCACCAUGUCAAAAAAUUGUCAUGGCUGAUGUUGUCAGAGCCUGAAGAGGGUUACCGAUAUAUUCCUCAACUUGGUGAUGAAGUUGUGUACUUAAGACAGGUAGUAUAUUUUAUGAAUUUUUUUCUUUAUGGUUUGUAAUACUUCAUAGUUUGUUUUGGAAGUCAAGUUUCCCUAAUCUGUAUCCUAGUUUAUGUUCUUAUCCUUAUUUGAUUGUUUGUUUAAUCCGUUUCUAAAUUCAUCUUCUUGAGCUUAUUUGAUUGGCAGGGCCAUCAAGAGUACAUAAAGUCAUAUUCAUUAUCUGAAUCAGGUCCAUGGAGAUCAUUUACAGGGCUAGGUGCUUCUGAAAUUUGCAAGGUUGAAGAACUUGAGUAUGCAGAGCUACCAGGCUCUGGGGAUAGCUGUUGUAAACUUAAACUUAGAUUUCUAGAUCCUUCUUCGUGUGUGCAUGGCAAAUCGUUUAAAUUAACUCUACCUGAAUUGAUUAACUUCACUGAUUUUGUUAUUGAGAAAACAUGGUAUGAUACUGCCAUGAAGAGAAAUUGGUCUUCAAGAGAUAAAUGCAUGGUCUGGUGGAGAAAUGAAGAUGGGAAAGGUGGAAGUUGGUGGGAUGGUCGAAUUAUUCAAGUGCAGGCCAAAUCUGAUGACUUCCCAGAGAGUCCUUGGGAAAGGUAUCGGGUCCAGUACAAGACUGAUCCCACCGAGAAUCAUCUGCAUAGUCCGUGGGAACUAUAUGAUUCUGAGAUGCUAUGGGAGCAUCCCCACAUUGAUCAUGAGAUCAGAGAUAAGCUGCUUUCCUAUUUCACCAAAUUAGACCGCAGGGUAAGUAGAUAUGAAGUUUCAUUAACCUAGUUUGUUCUGUCACUUAAUUAGGCUUAUACUUGCAAGUUGCAAUAUUCUGAUUUGAUUUAAAGGGGGAGAGAUGGAACGUUUCUCAUUGUUUUUAUUUCCCUCAAUCCAGGAGAGGUUUGAUAUCCAAGCACUGAACCAAGUAGCUGAGAAAUUAGAGUUUGCAAACAGGUACUAAAAUGAAAAGCAGAGAGGACUGAUAUGCCUGUGAUUUUUUAUACAGACCUGUUCUAGAAAUUUCCAGUCCUUGAAACUAAGUAAACAAAAUGUAAAAAUGUCAGAGACAGCGACUAGUUAAAUGUGUGACUUUAAUAUCUUUGGAUUUGUAUUACAGGUUUCCUGCCCCAUUCUAUCCUGAACUAAUUCAAUCAAGGUUGAAGAAUGACUACUAUCGGAGUGUGGAAGGUGUCAACCAUGAUAUAAUGAUAAUGUUAUCAAAUGCGGAAGAAUAUUUUAAAAUUACAAAGAAUGUUCAGCUGGUGGGCAAGAUCAGGAGAAUAUCAGAAUGGUUUAGAAGGAAACUUGAAAGGAUAUAGAAAGCUCAAAUUGGAUUUUAUAGGUUUCUUUUAACAUUGUUUUUCAUUCUUUAAUCCAAUUUUGGAGAAUUAGUUGGUGGGUAAUUUGGUUUUAUAAAAUGAAGGUGGUCAUAGGUGGUUGUGGUGGUAAAUAUCAGCUGUCACAUGUGUAUAUAUACAAACUCAUCCUUGUUAAUUCAAUUGUCGUUAUGAGGCAUCUUCAGCUUCUUUAUAUUUGAAUAUUUUGUUGGUUUUGCCUUGGCCUCCACUAAAGCUGAGUUUAAGUUUCAAUAGAAAGUAGUGUAUCGUUUCCUAGAAAGCAAUAAAAUCUUCCAUUCCCUACCUGUCAGUUGUCAGUGUAUUCAGGUUUAUUGUCAGAAAAGAAUUUGUAUUCGAGAACUUUCAUAUUGCAACUUUAAUUGGACACAGGAGCAAUUCAAAUAGGAUAAAGUGCAUCAUUCUACAUGAAUUGGCUUAAUCUGCGCAAAGAACCAUACAAUGACUCACGUGGAUGAGCAACCAAAAGUAGAAGCUGCCCUUGCACAGCAAUUACGAUAUCUCAAUAUCGUUUCCUAGAAAGCUACAGUAGGAACGGGAUUCCCCUGCUGCUAGGGAGUUCUUGCAUUUACUUACGCAUUCAGAUAAUUGAAACAGUUGGAUGAAGAUGAGAUUAUAUAUGUUUGAGAUGUGAAUUGUCUGAUCGUUAUCCAAAUGGUGCUGAUUUAUUGUGUGAAUAUAGGGAAUUUACUUACAUGUGGCAUUGGUUCUGGUGGUUUGGCCAAUAAUAAUGGGUCAAAAAAUAUUGAAUGCAGAUGUAGGGGGAGGGUUCCGAAGAAUAUAAUAACCUCCAAUUUUUUUAGAUUGAGCAUCUUUUAUUUAUGAUUGUUUAGAUUGAGUAUCUAUAAUAACCAUUGAAAUUACAACUAAUUGAACUGCAAUUGAUGUAUUCGUCUUUGCAGCUUUAAUGCCUUUUAGCUUGUUGGUUUCACUAUCACAGAGCUACUCCAUUAUUAGUUUGGUUUCAAAGAUGUAGAAUCUAUAACAUGGCUCCUAGGGUUGGGUCUCUUUCUUGAACAGGAAAUCAAAUACAGGUAUAUUUAUCAAUUAACCAAUUUUUAAAUUUCAUUUAAUAUAAGAAAUAUUGUUGCCUUUGUAGUAGGAUGACAUGUGAAUAAAUUUAUGAUUAAUGAAAAAAAUGAGUUUGAAAUAUUUUUAAAAUAUUAAAUUUUAAUAAUACGAAUUUUCCACAUUCAUAAUUGAGAAUAAAUCAGGAUAAUUAUAAUUUUUUUAACUACUUUCGUAAUUGAUUAUAAAUAAUUAAUUUCUUUUAGGAAUUUUAUUUUUUUUAAUGCGGAAUUUUAUUCUCAAGUAAGAAUAACUCUCAGUAGUUUGGUGCAAAUUAACUACAUCAUGAAUCACACACAAGAAUAAUUCCACAAGACAUUUCAAAUACUUUUUAGUUUUUUUAUUAGCUGGUUUGAUUGUUGGGUAAAUAAUUUUUUUUAAUUUCAAAUACUUUUUAGUUUUUUUUAUUAGUUGGUUUGAUUGUUUGGUAAAUAAUUUUUUUUAAUAGUUUCUUAAUAGUUUUUAAUAUUUCUUUCAAAUGUUACUUGGACUCUAUUUGGUAAAACUAGUUGGAAGCUAGAAAAAUAAGUGGUAACUAAAAUCUUAAAGUUAAAAAAAAACUAGCUAGUUGAAUUAUAAAUAUUUGAUAAAAUUAAUUGUUGAAAUAAAUGAAAAGUGUAAAAUGACAAAAAUAAUAAAAUUAUAAUUUAUUAAAAAAGGUUAACUAGAAAAUUGGAUUAAUAUAUUGAGAAAAAAAUGAAACAAAAUAUUAAAAGUUAGAAGAUGAUAUUUUAAAAAAUAUUAAUUCAAGUCGCAUUUCAAGAAAAUGCUAAAUGUUACUAAAAGUUUGUUUAUUGAAACAAUCAAAUAAAUUUUUCAACUAAAAAAAAGUUAAAAGAUAAUUAAAAUGUCUUAAAAACAACAUUAAAAUAACAUUUUUUAAAAUCUUAAUUUCUGAUUUUUUAUAUUUUUUUCAAUUUUAUUCUUAAUAUAUUUAUUUAAUUUUUUUUAUUUUAAAUAAAUAAUAAUUUUAUUAUUUUUUAUCAUUUUAUAUUUUUCAGUUAUUUUAACAAAGUAAUCUCAUUGAACUAACCUUGAUAAAUUGGUUGAUGAUGAUUUCAUAAGGUGUAACAGUUCGGCUGUGUGAUCAAUUUCUGAUUGCAAUUGGGAAGCCAUGUUUUUUGAGUUCAAAUUCACACGUUUCUCCAUACGUAAGACCAUGACAUACCAACAUGGAGUCAAAAAGAUAAGAAUUAUCAAUGCACCAUAUGCCUACAACAAUGUUUGUUUAAUUAACAGUGUGGGAAUAUACACAUUUUUUUUAAAAAAAAAACAGAUAUUUGUUGUAAUUGGGUUGUGCUUACACUUCUCUAAUCGGAUCAAAUCAACCAAUUUAUUUUACAAAAACACAAAUCAUCUAAUUUAACUAUAAAAAUUCAGUAAUGAUAUAAAAAAACCCUUGUAUACAUUUAAUUGACAUUCUUCAUUUUUACAUCAUAUCACUUAUCACUUCUACAAUCCUCCCACUUUUAUCUUAUUUUAUAUAUCUCUAAAUGUAAAUUAGUGCAAGGUGUCUAUGAACCAAUUUUCAUAAAAAUUACGUGGUCAAGCUCCGUUAUGAAUCGCGUUGCAUUUGUUCCAAAGGAAGUGAAGAAAAAGGAGAGAUUAGGAAUUAUAGAAGGGGAACCUCUCCUUCAUUAGCCACGAGGUUUACGCCAUGAAAACGAUAAGAACAGAACAUAAAAAAAAUAAAAAAAAUGAUAUGAACUAACAAAAAUACCAGUAGGAUCACCAAAGAUGAAAGCCUCAAGGCCAUUGAUAAAUGAAGAUUCUUAAGAGUCUUCUGGAUGUGACCAAGCUGCUCAGUGGAUGUCUGCAGUGGAAAUUCAAUAAAAUCAUAUUGAUCGAGAUUUGAUAUUCUGAACAUGUGAAAAUACUCCACGCUUUUAGUAAAAUGGUAAAAUUUUGGCAAUAAGGAGAAAAUAUCUCUCCAGAAUAUCUGAUAUUCUCUGCACAAUAUAAUAUAUUCUCAAUAAUCCAAACUUAAUCUUUUUCAUUAUUGCAUCUACCAAAAAAUAAUACAAUUUAAUUUCAUUUAUACUCAUGAUCAAAAGUGUAGAAUUGGGCAUGCCUAUAGCCUUUAGCCUGAACAAUAUUUAAACGUAGAAUCAAACAAUUAACUAAGACGUACAAAGUGCCAACAUCAGAUCUCUAUUGAUUUAGAUAUGAAGAAAUAUGAAAAGGCUUCCAUGAAAGAAUUUUUACUUUCUUGAUUUUUCCUUGUAUUAUUACAGAUGAUCUACUGAUAUAAUAUUGAUCGUCUCCGUUCCCAGGAUUAGGAGAAGAAAAUCUCUUGAAAAACAACAAAAACUAAUAAAACAAAACUAUGCAUUAGAGGAACAUGCAUUAACCUGAAAGUGAAAGAGGAGUGUAUCUAAAUUCCUCCAGUCAUACUUGCUGGUAUAUAUACUUUUAAAAUGUUUUUUGUUACUUUUUUUUUAAUGACAAACAGUAUAGUUUAAACUAAUGUUCUCUUCCACUUUACCAAACUCUUUAACAAAAGCUAAAUUCAAGUGACUUAAAUUUUAUUGCCUUAAUUUAUCAGUUUUUUACAUAAUUAUGGUUUGUUAUUUUUAUAUACUACAAUCUAUGCAGAUUUAGUAAUUUUUUAAUAUUUUGAUGAUGACAAAUGAAAAGAAUAGGUAAUGACAUAUGCGUUUUUAAAGAAAUUAAAUGACAUAACUUAUAAGUUUUGUAAAUAUCAGCAUUACAAUUUUAUACAUGGACAUUUAUGGAAAUAUUGGUAAUUCCCCUUAUUUCUAAUACUGGAGAACCCGCACAUUAUUUCAUUAAUUCAUUUUUCAAAUCUUUUUGGUUUUUUACAUGUCCUCUUUCGGAGACAAUCCCGAUAAACGAUUAAAAAUUAAAUAUGGAUAUUUCUUUUGACUAAAAUUUGAACUUUACUUCAUUACAUUAUAAGAAAUUAAACCCUUCCAGCUAGACCCAAAUCCCAUUGGUUAAUUUUCCAAAGUAUUUAUAUUUAUUUCAUUCCAAAGUGAUAAAUAACGGAUUUGAACUUGUGACUUAAUUGUCAUAUACAAGACACAUCUUGCUCCACUCAAUUAAACCUUGAGGUUAUAUUAUUUGUGUGUAAUCUAGUCAAACUUUGUAUCAGUUUUUAAAUAAUAAAUAUGCAAAAAAAUAAUUUAAAAUAAUUUUUGCUUAUAAUUUUUAGUACUUUGUACGCACUUUAAAAGCAUGCACACACUAGCAAGUUAUCAGAAUAUUUUACAUGUAAUUUUAAGUUUAAGUAAAAUCUUAAAAGAUUAAAAAACAUCAUCAUUGACAAAUACAAAGUUGGGUGAGUUUUAUUUGCAGAAUAGUAAAGAAAAGCAACUCAUAAGUAGCUUUUUAUCAUAAGAAACACACAUAUAUGAAAGGUAUUUUAUAAUAUCAUCUUAUUAAUAAAUAUAUUUAGAAUUAAAAAUAAUAUUUUAAUUUUUCAGAUGAUAAAUAAUUCAAAAUAAAUCAUAAUAAUUUAAAAGGUAGUGAUUAUUUUAAAAUAAAGGCACUUUUGGCCGGGUUAUAGGUGGCCGAAAGAUUAUAAUAUUCUAUUAAUUUAAUUUUUUUAUUAUAGAUUAAUUUUUGUAAAAUUGCAUUGUGGACCUCUACCAAUGGCUAUAAAACACAUUGUGUGCGACUAGAGCAAGUAGACAUGGAAAUGCUUCCCCAACUUGUUCCAUCUACUUCCCAUCCCGCUAAAGAGAUUAAUAGGCAAACUUUUGUUGUUGUGUAAUAUAGGAUUCAAGUACAAUCAUGGAUUAGUGUAAAAAAUACUUUGAUAAUAAUUUUUUUACUUAAAGAAAGCUAACAAAAUUUUAACAGAAAAUUUUAAAAAAAGUAUCAUAUAUAUGCUCUAAUCUACUAAAGAAGGAAAGUGUGUAAUUUAACAUAAGAGGGGUGAGAGUAGUGUAGUUCUCACAUCUUUAUUAAAAUAUAGAAGUGUUAUUUGUUCUUAGAUAUAUUAUAAUUUUAAUGAAUGAUUAUGAUGUUGAUAAAAUUUAUUAUGUAAUAUUUGUUAUUCAUUUCAUUUUUUUUUCACUAUGGUCAUCCGCUGAUUUUUCAAACCUAAAUCUCAGAGUAUCAGUAUAAUUUACUUUAAAAAAUUGUAUAAUUUAAAAUAAGAAAAAAAUAAUAUUAAAAUCUUUUAAGAUAGAAAGAAAUUAUUACAUAAUGAACUACUACAUGUCUAUAGUCUCAACUAAAUUCCAUGUGAGACGUAAUUGAGUUUCUAAAUUUACCAGAAGAGUUAAUAAAAUUUGAUUAUGUGUUACAGGUAAAUUGCUCAAGAUUGUGGUAGUCCCAUAACAUUUAAUAAUUUCUGCCAAGUUAGGAUAGUGUGAAGGAUAUUUAGUUAUAAAAUUAUUUAUAAUAAAUAAUUUAAAAAUAUAACAAAAUAUAAUUUAUUUGCAUUACUCAACAAAAAAGUAUAUAUUUUAGCUCGAGACACGGGAGGACGGUGUAAUGCUUAUAUUUAAAUAUAUAAAUAAAUAAUUAUUAUUAGAUUAUGAUUCUAUGAAUGUUUAAAUAAUUUGAAAGUUGGUAUACAAACUCAUUAAAACAAUAUCACAUAACUAAAUAAUUGAAUUGAUAAUUUUUACUAAUUAUAAAAAAUAUAAAAAGAAUGAAUUUAUUAAAUUUGACAAGUCGCAUCCGUUAAUCCUAUCCUGUUGCAUACAUUGAUGUAUUAUGCGUUAAAAUAAAAUAUAACGAAAUAUCAAUUAGUUUUUAUAAUUGUUUAAAAUUUUUUAUAGUUAAUGAGAAUUUUAUUUUUUCCAUCGGAAUUUUACUUAAGAAGACAAAGUUUAAUACCUCUUAGAUUAAUAAUUUAUUAACUUAUUGGUUCUAAUAAGAAUGUUUAAUGUAAUGGUUAGAUUGAAAAUUUUAGAUUCCAUGCCUCAUACUUAAUUUUAUAGUACUUAAUCAUUAAUUCUUGUGUUUCUAGUUGGUUGAAUGUUAUGCCUAAUGAAUUAAUUUAUUAACGGUGUAUUAUUUUAUAAUUUUUUACUAUUAUUUUUUAAUUAAGAUUUGAGAUUCGCCACCUUAACCUACACAAUAAAGAUUAAUACUUGUUAAGUUAAAAACUCUAAUGGAAAAACAACAUAAGAAAACACCUAAGUUACUUCAAUUAAGUUUUGCCAUUUAGUUAUUAGGAUGACCAGCAGAAAAAUGUUGUUGGAAGAUUUAUAAUUAUCCGUGACUAGUGAGAAUGAGAUGCCCCUUUUAGUAGCAAAGUUUACUUAGUUGUAUAAUGUUCCAAUUGUUAUGUGCUAGUUAGUUGCAUCUUAUGUUCUGUGUUUGUAUACACUUUCUUAAGCCUAUUUAUAUAUGGCAUAUUAACUAUGCAUUUGUCGAUGUACAUGAAUCUGAUUUAAACAUUCUGUCUUUCUGAAUAUCUGUUUAAUGGCAAAUGCAGUCAUUACAAUUUCAUUGGUGGCUCUGCAUGCAUAAGCUUGUGCUGAGAUCUCAAUUUCUGAUAGACAAACCAUUACACACGUGUUUGUUGUGUUGUGGGAUUAGGUGGAUAUGUUAUUGUCUCUAAUGUUUUCAUUAUUAGUGAUUGAUUUUCUCACUUCUGAUCUUUCAUCUCAGUUUCUUCUUUAAUUUGUGCAUUUACUUCAGAGUAAAGCACACAACAAUGUGAAAUUAUUUCAGGACAAAAACUGCAAUCCAGCAUUAAGAAUUGGAGUUUUACCUCAAUGCCAACCCCUCAUUGGAUUUAACAUAGACAUGGUAGUUCAUUCUUUUGAAAAGCAAUAGUUUUAACUUUUAAAGGCAAUGUAUGUUGAUUCAUUUCUGAUAGUUAUCUUAGGAGGUGUUUGGUUUGGUUGUUUUCUGUUUGCAUUUUCACUAAAAACAGAAAACGGUGAUGAAAAUGUGUUUGGUUGGAUUUCUGAAAACAUUUUCAGUGAAAAUGAAAAUAGGAAACAACCGAAAAAUGAAAAUAAUAAAUUCUCGUUUUCAGUAUUUUUAGUUGAAAACAAAAACCUCAUCUCGGUUAAAAUGAAAUUGCGGUGACAAUGAAUGUAAUUUUAAACAAAUCUAAAAAUAUAAAAAGAUAAGAAAUCAAUAUAUCAUAAAUUUUAAGUAUUUUUAUUCUAUGAAAACAGAAAACAAGAAAUCAAACCAAAUAUGUUUUCAGAAUUUUAAUCUUUUAAAAAUGAAAACAAUUUUCAAAAAGUGAAAACAGAAAAUAAAAACAAAAAAUAAAAAUACAAACUAAACACACCCUUUUUUUCUCAAUGUUACGUUAGUUAUUCAACAUACCAGUUUCGUUGGUAGUGAGUGUGUCGAUGUAAUUUCAAGUUUCAGCUAACAAAUUGAAGGCUGGCCCAUUGUACAUGUUUGGAUCAUUGCCUGAUGCACUUGUUUUACAAGUGAAUACAUACAUAUAGGUGAAAUUUGGUUGUUUUAUAUACUUGGGUUGGUAGGAAACAGUAUAAAUACUGCAAAGCUAUAUGUAUUUCAAUGUGAAUUUCGUUCUUCUUUUUUUUUACAAUAAAAAAUUAUGCCUCCAAAAUGGUAAAACUUGACAGAGCAUCAGCAUAAUGCUCUGAUACAAAUUAAAUCAAAUAAUGACCUAUGAUUGUGAAUGUCUUAAAAUUUCAUCAUUUGGUGUCUCAUUUUCUUCAUCAUCUCCAUCAGAUAUCGAUGAGUCAUCGUCAGAAUCCUGAUAAAUAGAGGAACAAUCAUUUUUUAGUUGUGGUUGCAUGUCACCCAUAAUCGAUGAAUCAGCCAGUACAAAAAAAUAAUGCAUGGAAAAUUUUAAAACCUCAUGAUGGUGACGCUUAAUAUUGUCAUGAAUAGCUCCGAUCGCCUUAAUAAUUAUGUACAUGGGUAUAAUAAUUCCACUGGCCCUUAGUAAAAAGACCUACAAAAAAUAAAGAAAAAUUUAAUUUAAUGAUUCACAAAGUAGAUAGUAUAUCCUUUUAGUAGAAAACUGGGAAUCAAAUACUUACCGUAAGAAUUGUAAAUGGAUAAUCUUCCAUUCCAUCUGUAAGGAGUGCAAAAAGAUGUCUUACAAGCAAGAUGAGUGUAAACUGCAAUAACAAAUGGCAACUAGUUAGUUAUUUUAAGUUUGGUCAUGUUAAUAGUAUCAAUCUCUGUAAAUCAUCUACAACCCUCCGGAAGAAACAUGACUCAAAAAUAUAAUAAACUCUACAUUCUUAAUUUUAAUUCAAGUAAUUUUAUAUUGUCUUCUAUCUUUUUUCUUAUCAAAUAAAAAAAAGUAACAAAUGUUUUCUAAAUUUUUAAAAUUUUAAAUAUAUCUAUUUUUAUCUAAUAGUAUUUUUUAUAAAGUAAUAAGAGAGUUAAUUAGAAGACAUUAUAAAAAAAAAAAAAAUAGAGGAGCACUACUAAAUACUAAUACUCCCAACAAGGCUCAACAAAUCCUUUGUUUCCUUGAAGAGAAAAUAAUCAAAUAUUGUAAAGGUCAAUUCAAAUGUAGCUCUCAACAAAGCCGCGUGUUGGUAGUGGGCCUAGUGGCAUCCCCAUUAACAACAGAAUCAGAUUGAGUCCAGACAGUCUUUACAUACAUUCACUCAUUUGGAGACACAAUCAAAUUUAAAACAUACUUUCAAAAUCUGAAUCGUCCAAUUUUGAUGCAACGGUUAUACAUUAAAUGCAUCUUUAGGGCAUUAAUUAAAAAACUAUCGUAAAAGAAAAAAAAAUAUUUAUUAUAAUAAUCAUAAGAGCUUAAAAAAAUUAUAAACAACAUAACUUUAUACAUUUUAAAUAAAUUUUCUCCAUCUAAUUUCUUAACCAAUAACUUAACAACACCAAGUUCAACAAAAAUAGACAUGUAAUGUAAGUACCGCAAUGCCAGUUGCCUCGAACACUGUUCACCGGCAUUUAAAAAAUCUGAAUCAAGUUAAGAUUUACCCAUCACCCACUACGGAACAAGCAAUCUAAAAAAGAAAAAUAGUAUGACUUCCCAACGGCACUCUCUUAAUAAAUUCCAAAGAGAGAGAGAGAGAGAGAAAUGUACUUAAAACACUUAUUACAUUAUAAGUAAAUUUUUUUAAAAAUCAUUUAAUAUUUUUAUUUAUAAAUCUUUAACAAGUAGUAUGAAUAAGGUCAAUAACAUUAGUUUUUUUUUUCUUUUUUUGGUGAACUCAAUAACAUUAGUUUAUGUAUAAAAUAAAAGGAGUAAAUAUAGAUAAUGCUUACAGCUAAAGCCAGGGAUCGACAACAAGCCGCGGUCCUAUCUGCAGCAUACGUGCAUUCAGAGUAAUUGUUUCCUUCAACGAUACCCACUAUUCUUGUGUUUAACGGUUCUUGUUCAUUCCUUGAAAUUUGCAGGCUAUCCCUGUUAUGUAAUACACCAACAACAAAAAUCAGCUUUUGGAUUAGUAUUUCUCAAUUUUUCUAGAAAUAAUCAAGAAAAAAACGUUUCUGCACCUAAAAGAUUUAAAAUUUGGGCUUGGGGAGAAAAACUUUGCCAACUUGCUUAGUCAAGGUGCCACAUUUUCGAAAUGUGAUUCGAUUAAAGCUAAACAAUUAGUUGCAAGGCACAUAAUUUCACUUGGAUUGAAUCGCACGGGGAAAAGUUGAGUUACUUUGAGACACGUUGUAACCAAGAAAAUUAAAAUUGUGUUUAAUACUUAAAUUUAACAUAAGCACGUGAGAUUUAUUCAACUAUACGAAAAAAUAAGCAUAUAAUGCGGGAAUACCUAAUGGUCAUUGCUGCAUCAGUUAUUUGCGAUUUCUUUGGGGCUGCUGUAUAUCCAGGUUCAUAUUGCUGCAAAAACAAGGAACAAAAAAUAAAAGAGAACGCUUUGAGCUCAUCAAAUUAAAAAUAAAUAAAUUCAAAGGCCCAAAAACGAAAAGAAAAAGGGAUCGCAGAGACACAGACAACUCCUUUCUUAUUUUUAAGAAAUGAGGAUUAAUAGCAUCAAGAAAUCAUAAUCGAUAGAAACUUAUCAAGAAAACAAAAUGAAGAAACUUUAACCAAAGCUUAGUACCUGGAGACAUAUUUCACAAGUUGUAUUUCCUUUCUCAUCGCACCAUGUCUGAAUGCAAUCUCUGUGAGCAAACUGAAGAAUAAAACUAAGAUGAUCAUGACAAGAUUCUCUAAAGUAAAGUAAACAUAAAAGUUGUUAAGAGAUUGUGGAUUUAUUUACCUUAACUGUCCCAGAACAAGCACAAGGAGCUUCCAAGGUUUUGGAGCUCUCAAAUUCUUCUUCAUGACAUAUUCUACAGCGAGAAAUCCCAGAAAGUGAUCUCAAAUCAUCAACCAGCAAUACAACUUCUUCCAUGUCUCUUGCAACCACGGAGAGCUCCAUGUCUCUUAAAACUUCUUCAGCCUUGGUUUUCAAAUUCCGUUUAGUACUCUGUUUUCCUAUCUCUCCAGAAUCUCAACUUUAUAUAUAAAAUAAAAAACACCGAAUUUCCAAUACUGCCCCUGUAUGAUUGUUAAACUAAAUAAAUCUGUCAAUAUUAUUUGAUAUGACCUUUUCUUUCUUAUAUUUUCAUCUCUUUUAUAUAUAUAUGGAAGAACUGUUCGUGUUGUAUUCAGUGGAACAAGAUCAUAAACAUAAUAAACGAAGGCUAGCUUUGACUCCAAAAAUUGGACAAAGAGAACUUGCAAAGUUGCAAUGCAGGGUCAAACAAAACCUCCUUUUGGCUUCCUCCCAAGGCAUGAAGCAUUUAUUUAAGAUAGUCAAAAUUAAGAGAGAAGACCAUAUGAGAACAUUAAUGUGUUCUAGAAUUCCUUGCUUAUAUAAGGAGAACAAGUCAUGGUCUAUGCCAAAUGGGACAAAGCAGAUACAACGGGAAAGAAGAAAAGUGUAACUUAUAGUCGUGUCUGCUGACUUCAACCAAAUAUUUUUACAUUUUUUUAACAUAUUAUUUAACUAAUACAGAAAAAUUAUUAUUCUCUUGUUUGUUUAUUAUUUUUUCUUAAUAUAAACUAAAAAGACAAUUAUAAUUGGACGAAAGGAAUAAUAAUAAUCCAUUGAUUCAUACUAACUUCGUACUCAAGCUUUUUGGUAACAUAUAGCAGCUAUAAAGGAAAAAAAAUGCAUUUAAUCUAUCCUUUUGGUAAGAAAAACAUUUGCAUUCAAAAUUUCGGUCAAGUACAGGUUUUUUUUUAUCCAUUAUUUUUCUAUUCACUAUCUCCUACCAUUUUAAGGAUAUUUUUCCUUUGAGAUUAUUUUUUCAGUUUGUCUUUCUACGGUUAAAUAAUCAAUUCUUAAAUUUUCUUGUUGACUAUACAUUUGGAUUUUAAGUGUUCAUCAACUACCUAUUCGGUUAUUCCCUAUUCAUAAAUGUUAUUCAUUUUAUAAAUAGUAUCUCAUUUUUCUAGUUGUGAAAUUCAAAGUCAAGAAAUUUAUCAAUAGAUUUUUUUAUUGAUAAAUGUUAAUUGUUAGUAUUGUUAGAUUUUAAAGUAAAGAAAUUUAUCAAUACAUUAAUUUGUUUUAGAUGAAGUGGAAUAAAUGCUAUAAAAAAAUAAAUGAAUAAAGAUAAAUAUUCACUUUAAACAAAAAAUAGUUCGAUGUUAUGCUAAGCACGCAGAUAAUGGUACAUCCUCUAGCAAUAUAUUUCUAUUGAUCUUCUUAAUACCUUAUAAAAUAACUAUUAAAUAAAUAAAUUUGAUAUGAUAAAAACAUAAAAGACAUAUAAUAAUUUCUUCACUUAAUAAAAGAAUUAAUAGAAAUAUGUUAUAAGAUGACGUAAAAUACAUUCUUGAUAAAUUAUAAAUCUAAUCAAUGUCAAAUUUAGUGCUAAACAAGCAUUUGACUCUUUUAAAAUGAACAACUCGGUGUAAUUUAUUAUGUGUAUAUACAUAACAAAUUAUGGAUAUGUUAGUAAUGUUAUCAUUGAUUUUACGAUCAACGAUUGAGCGAGAUUACUUUUUUUAUUAAUAUUUACUUUAGAGGAGUCAAAUUCACUAGUUAUUUAUUUAUCAAAACAAUUACUAUUUAUUUGAAUUUGACUCAUCUAAAAUGAGCAAGAAUAAAAUAAGUAAUUCAAUCUCUAAUAAGAAAUUAAUAUUUAAAGACAUCUAUAAUUUGUUGCACACAUUCAUAUAUAUAUAUAUAUAUAUAUAUAUAUAUAUAUAUAUAUAUAUAUAUAUAUAUAUAUAUAUUCUCAUCAAUAACUGAAAUUAUUUACUACGUCUUAUAUAAUGUAACCAAAACUAACAUUGUAAAUUAUUAAAUUUUAAAUAAAAAUUUAUUGGAAAAUAAUUCAUAACAUUGUAUAUCUUAAUAUGAAUUGUACAAUAUCCACGACCUCACACUCGUGUCUUAAGCACGUACAACAUAUUGCGCUACAAUUUAACAUUGGUUCCUAAAUAGGAACCUACACUUUCUCUUUAACACUGGUUCCUAAAUAGGAAACCUACAUUUUCUCUUUAACACUGCGCAUUUACACUUUUCUCAAGAUAACAUUACAAUUUUUUUUAUAUUACACAACCUAGAUGUACAUUUUUAUUAUGUAGUCAUCAUUUCAUCAUAAAAAUAAUAUGUAAAUAAAAUUAAAUAAGGAAUAAAUAUAAACAUUUUAACAAUUAAUAACUGAACAAGACAAAAACAACACAUACAAUGUUCAUAUUAUAAAUAAAUCUUUUGGUUGAACUUGUUACACGAAUUUCAAUAAGAAGGGGGGACCUUGUUACAUUGAUGAUUAAUUGGUUGCAAUAGGCUAUGAGUGCAUUUUGGGAGGGUAAAAAGUAAAAAAGAAGAAAAAAAAGCUACUUUUGUAAAAACAUGCAAUAAAAUACGUUGUUGUGUGUCCCUCGAAAUUGGCCUUUCAAGAUUUAAAUCUGGGACCUCCGAUUCUUCAACAACGGUAACAAACAAUCAAAGACAAACUGAAAUUUGAAAUCAUGGGCCCCGCUAUUCCAUUACAUUAAUCCAAACGCGUUCACCGAAAUGCAUCAUUAACCGUGAUUCGGCGGGCCCUCCUUUCCAUGUCUCAUGUCUUAUUCCUUUCUUUCUUUAUUUUUACCAGCAGAAAUUUUUAUUGUUUUAUUAUAUUUUAUUAUAUAAAAAUGAUAUUUUUUUAUUAUAUUUAAAUUGAUGUGAAUAUUAAUUUUAGUUUAAUAUGCUUUAUAAUAAAUAUUUUUUUAUUUUAUAUAUUUAUUUAUUUUUCUCUUCAUUACAUAUCUUACUUUAAAAUAUAUAAAAAUAUUUAAAAUUAAAGUAUAUAUACCUAAGAACAAAGAUAAUUAAAGAUUAAAAUAAAAAAAAUUAACAUGUGAUAUAAUAAUGUUAUCAUUUCAAUAUUUUACAAAUAUCAAAUAGAAUAGAAUGAUAUUCAAAUAUUUACUACAGAUGAUUUAAUUAAAUAUGUAUAGAUAGAGAUGUAUUUACAAACACAAUAUAUUAAUUUAUCAUGUUAUCAUAACAAACAAAGAGACAUAAAAAAUAAAAUCAUGUAUACAUUAUAAAACAUAUUAACCUAAAAUUAACAUCAAUCUUGGAGUAUUUAUAUAUAACUUAUAAUCCUUUUCAGCAAUGGAUUGUAUACCAAAUUGUCAAAUAAUUGUGUAUAUUUUACAACUUUAUUUCUAUAAUAUUUAAGCUUUAUAUAUAUGUCCCAUGAGGAAAUUCUACUACUUUGAAUUCGUGAUGAAGGAACAUAUGGUAGUGCUUGUGUCAGUCAUAAUAAGCUUUUGUUUAUGUUUUAUAUUUAUAACUAGAAAAAAAAAUUGAAACUCAUAUUCUCAAACUUCAAGGUAUAAACUAAGAAAAAUCCACAUGAUAGAACUGUUGUUGCAUAACACUAUAUAGAUCUAUGAGGUGUUGGUAAGUAAAUGGUGGGAGGUCAACUAUCGUGCUAGGUGGAGGGGGAACAAAGACAUGGGAAGAAUUCCUAAAUAGGAGGUGCACUCAAUGGAAAUAUGUUUCUUGCAAAGACUUUAAAUAUUGUGUCUUUCUUUUUUCUUUGAAAAAAAAGGUUACUAUUAGAUAAACACUUUUUUCUUUUCUUUUGGGAUUUAUACUGUAUCUUGUGUGUUGAUAGAUUAGAAGGAAUAGUAAUUUGGUUACUUGAUAUUUAUUAAGUAUGUUGUGUGAUAGUAACUUGGUUACUUGAAAUUGUCUGACCUAGGAAUACCAUUAGUAGGCCGGUUAAUGAAUAAAAUUUAAGGAUGGAGAGCAGAUUCGCUUCAAACCUAAACAUAUGCAUAAAGAUAAAAAAAUUAAUAAUAAAAGAGUACAAAAAAAUCAUUAUCUUUCCGUUAACCAUUCAACUCUUAUCUUUUUUGAGUAAGUAAUGACCAUGAUAUGCAUGUUCUUUGCCUCAGGUGAAGGAUUCUCUAGGGGACAUUCAACUCUUAUCUUUUUUUCAGUUGCAUCGAUCAUGAUCCUCUCAUAAAUGCACACUUUAGUCUAAGUCACAAUGAGCAAAAAAUUCAUUUUUUAAAAGAAUAGAAAAAAGAGUUGCACAUACCUCUCAAUGGAUUUUCAAACUUCACAACUUCAUUCACCCCAUAUUUUAUAUGUUGCAAUCGUGUCUCCCAUAACUGAUAACUAACUCUACGUGUGUGCCACUAAAAAUAAUUAUAAUCAAUCAAUUAAAAUUUUAGCAUAUUUUCACCAACAAAUCGAGAAAGAAUAAGACCCUCAAAUUUCACUUUAGUUUGAAAUUUGAUCAGUUUUACAUGCAUUCGACAAAAUAGAAGAAUCAAAUGUAACUAAAUUAGGACAAGAGAAAGAUAGGGUUCGAUCGGAGUCGACGAAUGAAAGAAAAGAAAGAUUCUAUUUUGAAGGUUAAAACACAUUCCAGUAUUUUAAGGUUUUUUAUCUUCUUUAGUUUUAUUAGAUUCCUUCAAGGUUCUCCAUUCUAAAGUCUAACAUACAACAUAUUAUCUCAACAAUGGUAGUUUUUGUCAAUAUAAAAAUGAAAUAUAGAAGGCUAACAUUUAAUUCUUCCCCUUUUCAUUUGUAUGAAAAGAAAAAAUGAAGGAUUAGAGACAAAUAAGUAUUGUACAAUGCACAUACCUUUUUCUUCUUGAAAACCUUCAAAUAUCUUUAGAUGAAUCCACCCGACAUUAAACAAUUGUUAUUAGACAAUAAGGAGAAUUCAAAAAAAAAAAAGAGCAAAAGAGAAUUAGUUAUUACACUAAAACAUGCAAUCCUUCCUUUAUAGCAACCUGGAAUUAAAAAAGAAAAAUCAAAUUUCUGAAAUUAAAAAAUAAAAUUAUCCCAAAAUCUCACGAACCUCUUUGGAUUGGAUGAUUCAUCAACUACUCUUAAAUCUCCUAAACCUGAAACCACAGAAUAUCAACUGAAUAUGAAAAAAAAUCAUGAAAUGGGAAUGAAUUGAAUUUGAAAAAAUUAACAAAGAAAAAGACAAAAGGUUAAAAGCAAAAAUAAAACCAUCACUUAUUGUUACGACUCAGGAAAAAAAGAAACCAAGAAGUUUACGGUUAGAGAAAGACAAAAUAAAGUAGUAGUUAGAAGGAGAUUUCACAUAAGUAUGACAGAGGUAGCAGUUAAAUUUUAUGGGAGAGAUAGGAGUUACGUUAGGAAUGGUGAGAUAAGGAAAACCAAAUAAUUUUUUAAAUGUAAUGACAUAAUAAUGGCUACUAAAAGAUGAAAGAGUGUACGACGACUAAGUAUCACAAGAUUAGAAAUGUGUAGUUAUUCAGUUUUCAAGUAUCAUUUCAACAAAUUGAAAGUUAUAAAUUUAGACAUUUGAGAGUAAAGAUAUCCAAAAAAAGUAAAGACCAAGCAAAAAAUAUUCUCUAUCUAUAGUUAUAGAUAAAUAAAUGAUACUAUAAUAAACAAAGAUAAUCCAUAUUUAUAAUUUAUGUGUAAUAAAAAAAAGUUGUACAAUUCAAAGUGAGAUCACAGGGGAUGUGAUAAAGAGAAGUAGAAAGGAAAAAUAAUGUUAUAAAAAACAUUAUAUAAAUAAUAUAACUCAUAAAUUAAUGUAUUAUGUAUACAUUUGAAAAAUGAAAAAUCAAUUUUGUCAAAUGAAAAAUUAAUUUUGUCAACAAUUAUCCAUCCGCUCUUUGAUAGGAAAAUAAUUGUACUGUAUAAGAUGCAAUUACUUAUGUUUAGUUUUUUAUUUUUUAAGGAAAAACUGCAUUGCAACGUAAUUUAUUAAUAUCAUUUUGUUUAUUAUAAAAAUAAAUGAAAGGCAUACGUGUGUAUAUAGAGUUAUAAAUAAUUGAAGGUUUUAUGAUUUUAUCUCUUCACUUAUAUAGGUACAAAUAUUCCUAUCAUCUAUCGAUUUGCUCACCCAAUAAACUUGAUUUGUUUGCUAUGUAAAAGAAUACAUGUUCUUAAAUUGAAGAAUAUGUAAAAGAAUACAAUACUAGUUCCACACGUUAUUUAUUUCAUAUUAUAUGAGAGAAAACUGACGAAUGUGUUUAUUCUUUCUCGGUCUUAUCGUCUCUCUUUCUCUGGGUGGAUUUAUCAACAAUUACAAGCAAUACUUGCCAUAAGGAAGCUUCGCAAUUUCGAAAACUUAGACCUUUCUUGAGCUUUUCUGUAAGCAAAUUAUCAAGUGGACGGCACAAACUUGUAUUUGCGGAGGAAAAAACCUUACUACAUGAUUAAAAUGGGACCCACUCAUAGAGCAGAAUUACAGCUGCAUCCAUCCUAAGUAGCAUAUUAUAAACGCUGAUGCUUCUUAGAUAACAUUUAUUUAUUAUUUUUAUUAUUAAGAUUUUGAAUCAAAUAAUAACCUGUGAGUAAAUACUGUGUUGUGCCAAGAAUGAGUAAUUCAGAGUAAACUAUAAACUUCAACAACCAAAUUGAACAAAGAAAGUAUAAACACAAUCAAUAUAUUCGAACAAGUCACUUCUCAUUUAUUAAUUUCUCCCCUUUUGUGUUUGUGAAAAUACAAAGUUUCUUUCAAACAGUUUCAAACUUUCUCACAAUUACAAGAGAAAGAAAAUUACAAUGAAAACAUAAACUGAACACUCUAACUAAAAGCUAUUUAUAGCCUAAGCUUCUGACAACUUACCCCUGUAACAGUUAUAACCGAAAACUGUUAUAUAGAAAAUAACCGCUAACAGAAAUAACUGUUUUACAAAGUCAUUGUUAAAUGUAAAACUAAGUGGAAAACUAUUGUAGUAUUCACAGACAUAAGUUCUAACCUCUCUAUCACCACUGUAAAAAAAAAAAAUGCACUGCAAGUUAAACACACAAACCCGUUGAUGCUUCUUUAAUAUGUUAUAAAAAAUAUUCACAUAUUGUUAUUUGAUUUGAAAAUUUGAUUCUAUAUGAUAUAUAAAGAACUUGAUUUAAAUUUCUCUCUGAAUUUUUUUUGGCUAUAAUGCUAAAUAGUGCUUUGUAAUUGUGGAAAUUUAUAAAUGUAGCAUUUGAUAUUUUCUUUCUCUUUUUUAACUAGGGUAUAUGGUGGCGGUUGAUAACGAAGUUGUAUGGUUAGAUCAAGAAAAUCCCAUCAACGUUGAGUUUG
This 141848-nucleotide long non-coding RNA is filed under the name Glycine max (soybean). Its description in RNAcentral is "long non-coding RNA (GMAX_LNC000251)". Lineage: Eukaryota; Viridiplantae; Streptophyta; Magnoliopsida; Fabales; Fabaceae. The record is from RNAcentral.